This 152881-nucleotide long non-coding RNA is filed under the name Citrus x clementina. Its description in RNAcentral is "Citrus clementina (C. clementina) long non-coding RNA (CCLE_LNC001002)". Lineage: Eukaryota; Viridiplantae; Streptophyta; Magnoliopsida; Sapindales; Rutaceae. The record is from RNAcentral.
GGAACUAAGUUCUAUAUGGGCCCUUCUUGCUGCAUUUGAGGACCUCCUCCCACUAGGCAGUGCAUCAACUUUGAAGGUGCCUUUGCUACAGGUGUUGACUGUCUGUCUCAUGGAUGGCAAAUAACUCAGCAAAACUUUUGAGUUCUCAGAGUGAUGCUCCUCACUGUUGGACUUCUUCAACGCUGCAGCUUUAUGGAAAACGAAACAAGAUUCCACAAGUCAGUUCAUAAUAAAUGUGUGUCUUGUUUAAAGUACUUGCUUAACCUGUUACAUCAUCAUUAUAUGCUAGCAUUGGCACACUUUGGUGCUGUGUAGAUACAUAUAUGUUGCAAUUUAGGCUUUCUGCAAGAUUUUUUAUGAUUGUUUUGAUCAUUUAUUAGGAAAUUAUCCCAACUGCAACAGCAGAGAAGGUGAAAACGGGUAUGCUCGAGGGUGUUGAGGCUGCACUUGGCCUACCAAAAAGUUCACUUCAGAAGCCUGUUUAUACUUGAGUCCAAUUAUGGUAAGACUCCACUUUUAAGGACAUGACCUUGUAAUUUCAUUUUUAUCUUGUCCAUUUGGAUCCUUGUGACCUACUUGGGCUGUAACUAUUUGCUGUUGGUGUUGCUUUAGAAUGAGUGGUUUAUUUGGACAAACUUAACAAGUUUUUGUGAGGACUUGUUUAUAGUCCUAGUUCUAUUUUCCUGUUAUGCUCAUUUGAAAAACAAGAUGGAACAUGUCAUUCCAAUUUAUUAAAUAUAUAAAACAACUUGAGAAUUUCAUAGUUAAGAAAAUAGUUCCUCUGUGAUGAAUUUGGUAUUUAUCUUUUUUUUUUGGUUUUUUUUGGGGGGGGGGGGGGGGGGGGGGGAAUGUAGGCGUGCAGCUAGUCCAACUAAUACUCCAAGUGUUCCAUGUAUCCUUUGAUCCUCAAGGAAGGGCCAGUAUAUGUGGCGGUUGGCUGUUGGCUUCAAGUGUAGAGUCAGCUGCCUUAGGUGGCAUGGCUCUUGCCAAUCAUGUAAGCAAGAAUAUGAUUUUCUUUUGCUUAUUGGUUUUAUUUUGUGCAUAUAACUGUAUAUUUCAUGAUUGACAUAAAGUAAAUAAAUAAAUAAAUCUAACGCAACCUUUUUGUCCCUCUAUGGACAUCUAAAUAUAAAUUUGUGGAUUGGCUUCAAUCAGAUUGAAAUAUCAGACAAGUUUAACAACGUAAGCUUGAAGCUUUGAUUAUUCUUAUAUAAAUAAUGUAAUUGGUCUACGUAGAUUGCAGACAAUUUAGGAAGUGGUGGAGUUCAUCCUGAGGAACUUGCUGUCGGUUUAUACAAUGAGUUUCAGCCACUUGAAGGACAUGAUAUUGGACAAUUUCCGGGUUUUGGAGUCCACGGGAAAAGAGGAAGUUCAAGCAUAUCAACUUACUUCUUGAAUCCCUAAGCAGGCCACAAAAAUUUCUAGUGUUUGUCAAGGUAUGCUUCUAUUGAUACACUGUCUGUGGCUUUCUGUUUUUCACUUGGGUUACUGUGAUGUUUAUUCUCUUGUUUUUAUAGCUAGGAUUAAGAAGUUUGUUCACUAGGUGCUGUUGUCCUCAUAGUUGCUAAGCAAGUAUCCUGAAGUUCUUUUUGUGUACCAUCCAUUACGAAACAUAAUGAGUGCAGAUUCAGAGUAAAGGGGACUCUUCGGGCAGCUACAUCUUUACUGAAAACUUCUUUUCAGUAGCAUAGAUGACAGGAAUCUUGGUAUUUCCCGGGCUUUCAUGGAAUAAAAAUUUCUAAUAACCGAAACUCUUUUCAGUUCUCCACAAAUCAAAUUUGAAUAUGAAGCCAAAUAUCAGAUGCAGAUUUACGGGCUUCGUUCAGAGCGACAAAGUUCAAUGGUAUCAGUUGUAUGGGUUCAAGUGAUCAGAGCUUCAUCCAGCUCAAGUACACAUAACAGAGUAUGAAAAAUAUCCAAACUUACUGUUAAAAGUUCUCAAGUUCCAGAUUUGACCCGUAGUCACAUUCAAGUUUAUACAUGACUUCUGAUAUACGAAAUGGCAAUAUUAUUCAGUUCCAGAAAAGUUACAUGCAGAGGAUCUGAGUUUUAUUUUAAUUGAAUGGGUUCAAGCUGCAAUAUAUUAUAUAUAUAUUUUAUAAUUAAUGGAGUUUGCAUUCCUCAUUACAGGAUAAAAAAGAAAGAUUAAUUCUCAGUUGGAAAAGCAUUGAAACAAGCUUCUCAUGCUCAUAAUCAGCUUCCCAGUUGCUCGCCACGGUAUCUUUUCCAUAUACACGUGUUGAUAAAAUUAUUUCUUGGUUAUAUAACCUGGAUAAAUAGCUGUUCGUUGGCAACACAAGCAACAAAAUUACACAAAUUAAUUCCAACAAAAAUAAUAUUUUUACACGAGAUAUUUGGUUGAGAGAAGAGGGUUAAUUAGAUGUUUGCUAUUGAGAUCACAAGUUUGAAAUGAGCACAGGCAAUUGAACAAGCUGUUACACAGACCAUCCAGCUGAAGAAAUCGACGACUCUUCGGCAUUCGUAUGCAAGCUUGAAAACCACUGUCCUUCUGCUAAAUUAACUUGAUAGCUAGCAACCAAGACAAGGAGGGGAACCCGGCACAUUUGCAGUUUCUAGUUUUUCAUGCUUGCCAUCUUUUCUUUUGAUUGAAAUGAGUUGAGAUUUAUUAAAGGCUUUAUCUUAGUAUGCAAAUAAUGGUUUGAAAACAGAUUAUAUGUUAUUACAAGUUAAUUUUUCUGAUAACAAUUGUUUGAAUAAGAUUCUUGUUGUAGUAUAAUUAUUAAACAUGAUCUUAUAAUUAAUGAUUCAUACAUUAAGUAAAAUAGAAACCAGGAUUUGAAAACUACCAUGUUAGUAAAAUCACUUGGAAGCAAAAGCUUAGAAUUAUCAGAUGGUGUGAAAACGGGGAAGUUCUAUGAAGAGAGAUGAUAUUUUCUGAAGUUCAACUGAAAUGAUUGCAAGAUUUAAUCCAACAAUGCAAGAAUAUAUUUGACAUAUUAAAACUUAUGAAAAAUUCUUUAUCAUUUUCUUGGAGGUAAUCAAAGUAUUUUUCAAUUAUACUUUAUUGUACUCCAAAUGUAAGACGAAAAAGAAAUCUGUGGUUAUUUCCAGAAUGGCAGAAUAUACUAUUUUGAAUAAAAGUAUAUCAUUAGAACAAGAAGGAGAACUCCAUUUAACCCCACGGUUAGUGUCUUUNNNNNNNNNNNNNNNNNNNNNNNNNNNNNNNNNNNNNNNNNNNNNNNNNNNNNNNNNNNNNNNNNNNNNNNNNNNNNNNNNNNNNNNNNNNNNNNNNNNNCUUUGAGAGCUACCUGAUAGAGUGCUCCAUUCUUGACCGAGUACAGGCCUUCGUCGUCAUGCCACAGAAUCUGAUCUUCUUUGAGGAAAUGAAUGCUUUGAUGGAAGAAUAACUUGAGCAAGAAAAAGGCCAACACGGAAGAGAGAUGAAGAAAAUCUCCAAUUAUGCAAAUAUGUUCUGAUUGGCCUGUAAGAUAACUAACCAAACUAAUCACUACUUUCAAUCUCAAUCAAAUUCCAAAAACAAUCUAUUUUCUAUUCAAACUCAGGUGGUGAUCGGCUAAAUAAAGUUGCUUGAAAACUACUCGAACAAAGCUCUGGGGAUAUAGUACAUUGUUUGUUAAAAUUGAAUAUGUAGACAGAAAUAUAAAAGCAUCAUUGUUUGUUGAAAUUGAAUAUGUAGACAGAAAUAUAAAAGCAUCAUUGUUUGUUGAAAUUGAAUAUGUAGACAGAAAUAUAAAAGCAUCUUGUUGAAAUUUGUUCGAGAUGUAGUGAUUGAUUUGGUAUAACAUAUGUAUCCAUGACCAGGAUGAAGCUUGGUCGAAAUUAAGAAGGUUAGAAUAAUAUGAGCUGACUUUCAAUCUAUGCCAUUGAUUCAAUGACUUUAGAUAUGUCCACAACUCGUCUUGCUGAUAAUGUCCUAUCUGUGACUUGUAAAAUUUCUCUUAUGAGUAUUACAUAAGCUGUUAUGAAAGAGCCUUUGUUAGAGGAGUUGAUUCUGCCUCAUGGAUGGCAAAUAACUCAGCGACGCUUUUGAGUCCUCAAAGUGAUGGUUCUCAUUGUUGGACCUUCUUCAGCACUGCAGCUUACGGGACAGGAAACAAGGUUCCACAGGUCAGUUUGUUUGUAAAUGUGUGUCUUGUUUAAAUACUUAUGAUUAUAUGCUGGCAUUGUGACACUUUUUCAACCAAUAGGCUAGGCCUCUAGUUGAAUCCAUUCAUCCUUCAGCUUGAGAUCCCAAGCUAUUGAAACAUGGUUGCAAUAAGUUCCCUUUUUUUUUCCCCCCACUUAUUUAUAUAGAGUUUGAAAUAAGAUUAGCUUUAUCUUCUCUUUUAUACUUGAAUCAAUAUGACAUUUCAACUUUUAUAGCAAAAUUUUGUGCUGCGUUGAUAUGUAUAUGUUGCAAUUUAGGCUUUCUGCAAGAAUUUUAUGAUUGUUUUUGUCAUUUAUCAGGAAAGUAUCGCAACUGCAACAGCAUAGAAGGUAAAAACAGAUAUGCUCGAGGUUGUUGAGGCUACGUUCGGCCUGCCACGUCGGAAGUCCAUUUAUACUAGAGUCCAAUUAUGGUAAGGCUCCACUUUUAUGGACAUGACCCUGUAAUUUCAUUUAGAUCAUGUCCCAUUUGGAUCCCCUGUGACCUACUUGGGCAGUAACUAUUGGCAGUAACUGUUUGCUGUUGCUGUUGCUUUAGAAUGAUUGGUUGACUUGGACAAGCAUCAAGCAUAAUAUUAAUACGAAGGUAAGAAACAAGAUUAGGCUCAGCUCGAGUUCUUCAAACUAGUGACACUUGAAUUUUUUUUUUUUUUGGUUUCUGAGUUUGUCAACCACAGCGAUGUUGGAAAUAUUCAGGUUCUUUUUACUGUGCUUUGUUGUAUCAGGGGAAUAUGGCUCGGGAGGACAAAUGGGAUAAGACCCUGCAAACCAAUUAUAUGAGUAAAGCCCAAGAACAAAUGAGAGCCAUAGUCUCUUUGUUUGCAUUUGGGAAAUAGUACAUGAAACAAUAGUCUCUUCGUUUGCAUUUUUUUUUCCAACUCGCUGUAAUUUUUAUUUAUAUUGUGGGGUGUAAAAAGUUCUUCAACUAAAUAAAGGAAAAAAAGAAAUCAUGUGUUGAUUUAAUUGUAUAUGUCUUUGUUCGUCUUUGAUUGUAAUUCUAAGGAAAAUUUUAUGAUGUCGCAAUUAAAAAUACAGUAUCAAUACCGUAAUUAUUAUGAACCGUUACAUUAUAUCAACAGUUUACAAUAAUUAUAAAAUAAUAAUAAUUUUUAAUUAAAUUACAUCUAACCGGUUAUAAGCCGGUUAAGUACUUUUUUAAAAUAAAAAUUUACCGGUAUAACUUUAAAGGAAAAAAGAAGAUUUACGUUUUGAAGAAAUAAAAAAAUAUAAAGGGAAAACUCGUUCACAUUGAAAUCCCUAAUUAACGAAUUCCAAAAGAAACCUACUGUUGCGUUAGCUUCCGUUCAGGUGCACCGGCGAUACGUCUGCAAAUUGCAGCCAUUAAGUUGAUUUUCUGUCUUGUUGAGAUUUGCCAAGAUUAUGGACAGUUAUUGGCAAGAUUAUGGACAAUUGUUCUACUGCAGUAAUGGACGUAAUUUGUUAGUCAACUUUCUCUUAUAAGCAAUUUCAUUUUCUAUUGUGUACAGCUAGCAAUCAAUCUCUUCUUUUUAGCCUUUUAGUUAGCUGACGCUUUUGUAUAUAAAUGGUGUAUAACAAUAAUAAUAGAGAGAUCUUUUCCCCUUUUUUUUACAUGGUAUUAGAGCAUUACGGUCUUGGGAGAAUAUUUUCUUAGCUUUCCUUUAGUCACAAAUGACGAAAGCUACUUCAUCGAAAACAAAAACCAAUGUUAUUAUCGAUCCUUCGGAUCCAUUUUAUCUUCAUUCCUCGGAUCAUCCAGGAAUUAGUUUGGUCACCAAGCCAUUGAAUGGUGAUAAUUACGCCACUUGGAGUCGGUCAAUGAGUAUUGCUCUAAGUACGAAAAACAAAACAGGUUUCGUUGACGGUUCAAUCGAUAAGCCACCGGCAGCCGAUGAAAAACAUGCCUUAUGGCAAAGAUGUAAUGAUAUGGUAUUAUCUUGGAUCCUUAAUUCUAUUGAUCCUAAUCUUGGUGAUAGUGUAUUGUAUACAGAAUCUGCAGCAGAGGUAUGGGCCGAUCUAAAGGAGAGAUUUUCUCAAAAUAAUGCCCCAAGGAUCUUUCAAAUUGAAAGAGACAUUGCUUCUUUACAUCAAGGGACCAUGUCCGUGGAAGCAUAUUACUCCAAACUGAAGGGCUUGUGGGAUGAGCUCUCAUCUUACAAUGACAUGUCUAUUUGCACCUGUGGGGCAAUUAAGGGAAAUGAAGAACGAGAACAACGAGGGAAGGUAAUGCAAUUCCUUAUGGGUUUAAAUGAUACAUAUUCUGCUAUACGUGGUCAAAUUCUCCUUAUACAACCACUUCCUACAAUUAGAAAAAUUUAUAAUUUGAUUCUCCAAGAAGAAAAACAACGUGAUGUGGCUGUGUCUAGAGAAAUCUUGUUGGCAGCAACACAAACCAGCAACAAUGAUAGCAGUUCGCAUAACAAAGGGAGAGGAAAAUUGCAUUGCAGCCACUGCAACAGAGAUAACCAUACAAUUGAGAAGUGUUUUCACUUGCAUAGCUUCCCCCUUGGUCACAAAUUUCACAAGAAGGGUGAGAAAUCUAGAAAUAAAUCAGGGCCUACAGUUAACAACUCACAACUUGAAACGCCAAGUUUCACGCAAGAGCAAUACCAACAAAUCAUGGCUCUCUUGAAUAAUGGUAAUGCUCAACCUAAGGCAAAUGUAGCAGGUCAGCUUUCCCCUUUUUGUCUUUCAUCCCAUAUUAGCUCCUCUCAUUCGAAUAAAUGGAUAAUAGAUAGUGGUGCAACUCACCAUAUCACAUCUACUCUUGAUUUGUUAUCUGAAGUAAGUCAUUCUCCACACACCUCUGUUAUACUACCCAACGGAAACAAGGUUCAAAUAGACUCAAUAGGCUCAACUAACUUUGGUUCUGAUUUUUCUCUCUCAAAUGUUUUCCAUGUACCCUCGUUCUGUGUCAACUUGUUGUCUGUUAGCAAAAUGACAAAGUCCUUGAAUUGUUCAAUCAUUUUUUUUGCUGACUUUUGCAUCUUACAGGACUUGGCAACGAAGAGGACGAUUAGUCUGGGGAGACAACAUGACGGUCUUUAUUAUUUUUCUCCAAACAUUACACCUUCGCCUAAUUUGCUCACUCCUCAAGUCAACCAGACAUCUUCGCAACCAGAUUUGUGGCACAAACGUCUCGGACACCCUUCCAUCCACCCAAUGAAACAUCUUGCAGAUUUAGUACCUGAAAUUUCUUUCUCUUCAAAUAAAGUUUGUGAUAUUUGCCCUUUGGCUAAACAAACAAGGUUACCUUUUGGUUUAAGUAUUAUUUCUACUAAAAAACCUUUUGAGUUAAUUCAUUGCGAUAUUUGGGGACCUUUUUGAGUAUGUUCUCUUUUAGGUGCUUAUUAUUUUUUGACUGUUGUGGGUGAUUACUCCAGACAUACAUGGAUUUAUCCUAUGCGGUUUAAAUCAGACACACAAAAUUUUUUAAAAUCUUUCUGUGCUUUUGUUUCUACACAAUUCAAUUAUAAAGUUAAAAGGUUUCACACAGAUAAUGGUAAAGAAUUUACUUCCAUGCAUAACUUCUUUAAGGAUGAAGGAAUCCUUUAUGAGCAUAGUUGUGUUUCCACACCUCAACAAAAUGGUGUACUAGAACGCAAACAUCGACAUAUUUUGAAUGUAGCCCGAGCCUUGAGAUUUCAAUCUUAUUUGCCUCUAACCUUUUGGGGUGAAAGUGUUAUUACUGCAGUUUAUCUUAUUAAUCGCAUACCUACACCCUUACUCUCUCGAAAAACGCCAUUUGAAAUUCUACAUAAAAAGCCACAUACUUAUGACCAUUUGCGUGUGUUUGGAUGUUUAUGUUUUGCUACUAAUGUCGAACCUCAACAUAAGUUCGAUCAUCGUGCCUGUAAAUGCAUUUUUGUUGGGUAUCCUUCGAGUCAAAAGGCUUACAAAGUUUAUGAUCUAGAAACUAAGAAGAUUUUUUCGAGUCGAGAUGUUAUUUUUCAUGAGAAUGUAUUCCCUUUUACAAACUCCAAAUGUGAUAUCAAUCAUAAUUUACAAGUUUUGCCUUUAUCUAUACCAGACCAUGAUGCUCAGUUAAUUCCCAUCGUUCCACAAGAAGACAAUACAUCUAAUGAAUCUCAACCUGUACCUUUACAUAACCAGCCCACUCAACAUAUGCUAAGAAGAUCUGAUCGAAUCCGAAAACCUUCCACUUGGCUCCGUGACUUUCAUUGCUCACAGGCCACUCUGUUGUCCCCCAGCUCAAUGUCAUCUUUUGUGCUUCAGUCUCGGCAAGGUACAUGUUAUCCUUUAGUUAAUUUUGUCUCUUAUAAUAAUCUUUCCUCUUCUCAUCACGCCUUUGUUGCAUCUAUCUCUAGUUCUGUUGAACCUAACACAUUUGCCCAGGCUGAGCAUGAUCCCAAGUGGCGUGAGGCCAUGAAUUUGGAAAUCGAAGCUCUUGAAGUCAAUGGUACUUGAACUCUUACUACAUUGCCCAAAGGGAAGAAACCAAUUGGUUGUAAGUGGGUCUAUAAAAUAAAGUAUCGUUCUGAUGGCACAAUAGAAUGAUACAAAGCUCGACUGGUAGCUAAGGGAUACACUUAGAUUGAAGGGAUGGAUUAUCAAGAAACAUUUUCCCCAGUUGCCAAACUUAUUACUGUGCGAUGCAUUUUGGUUAUUGCUGCUGCUAGAAAUUGGCCUCUCCAUCAACUAGAUGUUCAAAAUGCCUUCCUUCAUGGUGAUCUAGCUGAAGAGGUAUACAUGCUUCCGCCACCAGGUUAUAGUCGACAGGGGGAGAACUUGGUUUGUCGACUUAAUAAGUCACUCUAUGGAUUGAAGCAAGCUUCACGUAACUGGUAUUCCAAGUUUUCUUGUGCCAUUCGCAAAGCCGGCUUCAAGCAAUCUAUGGCUGACUACUCUCUUUUUACUAGAGUGCAUGGAGACUCAUUCACAGCAGUAUUGAUUUACGUUGAUGACAUGAUAAUAACAGGAAAUGAUCCAGCUGCAAUAACAACUUUAAAAAAGUUCCUUGAUGAACAUUUUAGAAUCAAGGAUCUUGGAAAGCCAAAGUAUUUUUUGGGAAUAGAGGUGGCUCGUUCCAAGAAAGGCAUUUGCAUCUCCCAGCGUAAAUAUGUAUUAGAUAUACUUGAUGAUAUGGGACUCCUGGGAGCAGCACCAGCUUCUUUUCCUAUGGAACAAAACUUGAAGUUUACGCCAUCAAGUGGUGACCUUCUCAAAGACCCAUCAAAAUAUAGAAGACUUGUUGGCCGUCUCAUUUACCUCACAAUCACAAGGCCUGAUAUUAAUUAUUCUGUACAUCUUCUUAGUCAGUUUAUGAAUCAACCCCGCAAGCCACAUUUAGAUGCGGCAAUUCGAGUCCUUCGAUACUUGAAAGGAACACCGGGACAAGGACUAUUUUUUCCAGCAGAAAAUAAUUUGAAGUUAAUAGGUUAUAGUGAUGUAGAUUGGGGAAGUUGUCCUACCACAAGGAGAUCAGUCACUGGAUACUGCGUAUUUCUUGGUCCAUCUCUCAUCUCUUGGAAAACCAAAAAGCAAACAACGAUUUCACGAUCUUCAGUAGAAGCAGAAUAUAGAGCCAUGGCAGCCAUUACUUAUGAGCUCACUUGGUUGAGAUACCUCUUCAAAGAUUUGCAAGUUAAUUUCGUGAUCCCUGCUAAGCUCUAUUGUGAUAACCAAGCAGCAUUACACAUCGCAGCAAAUCUAGUGUUUCACGAACGAACAAAACAUAUUGAGAUGGAUUGUCACAUGGUCAGAGAAAAGAUUCAAUCUGGGCAUAUUGCUACUGCUUUCACUUCAUCACAAACUCAAGUUGCAGAUUUAUUAACCAAGCCUCUUGGAAAAGCCUUAUUUCAUACUCAUCUUCGCAAGUUGGGCAUCAUUAACAUCCAUGCUCCAACUUGAGGGUGAGUGUUGAGAUUUGCCAAGAUUAUGGACAGUUAUUGGCAAGAUUAUGGACAGUUGUUCUGCUGCAGUAAUGGACGUAAUUUGUUAGUCAACUUUCUCUUAUAAGCAAUUUCCUUUUCUAUUGUGUACAGCUAGCAAUCAAUCUCUUCUUUUUAGCCUUUUAGUUAGCUGACGCUUUUGUAUAUAAAUGGUGUAUAACAAUAAUAAUAGAGAGAUCUUUUCCCCUUUUUUUUACAUGUUCAAAUUGCUGAGUCGCUGUCGUCGCUGCCUCUAUCUUGGUUUGGCCGUCGUCCCUGUGUAAGGUAAGUUUAAUCCUCUGUCUCGCCGAAUUGCUAAGCAAUUUCGUUUUCUUUCAUGGUCAUAAUUUGUUCACGGAAUUGAAUCUAAGAAUUAAGAAGUUGCUGCAAAGUGUUUGGGUUUGCAUAGUUUUCUUUCAUGGUCAUAAUUUCUGCAUUUGUUCACAGAAUUAAGUUCCUGUGCAAAGUGUUUGGGUUUCUUGGCUAACGCAAUUUUGUUUUCCUCCAAUACUCUUUUCCUGCCAAUCAUUGCUUUGGAAGUUGCUUGAAGCGAAAACAGAGGUGAAAAAGAAGCAAAAAAUAAUAUAUGGAUAAAUUAAAUUAAGAAAUAUAGAGCAUGCACUAGACUUUGAUAUGAUUUUUUCCUGUUAUUACAAGUAAUAUGGAUAAAUUAGAUUAAUUGAUUUAUUUUGCAGGUAAUAUGGUUGCUUGAAUACAGUAAUAUGUCCUAUUCUGAAAACACAUAUUGUCGAAUUAUGUAAUGUUCAUUUGGUUCGUAUCUUAUAAGAAUCUUAGCUGGACACUUAUGAAAUUGAUGAAAGAAAUUAGAUGUAGCUGCUUGAGUUCACUACGGGCUAAGCAUGGGGAAGGAAAGAGGGAAUAAGUUUCCCAGUUGUAGUUUUAGUGCAAUGGUCCAUCUCUUAGAGAUAUAUUUGUGUAUAUAUAAAUGGCAAUUGAAACUGAAAUUGUUGGUGAUUUUUUUUUUGUGUUUCUGUUUGUUUUAUAUUUCACUUCGAGGAGAAGAUUUGUUGCGGCGGGUUGUAAUUUGCUUUCACAAUUUGUGAUGAUCAGGUAGUUAGAGAUAUUUUAUUUAUUGUUGAUCAAUUAUUAUCGUUACUUAGGACACAUAAUUAAUUCAUACUCUCCUAUAAGAAUAUCAUUCAAUCUGAGGGUCAUAAGAAAGAUUCAAUUCAUAUUGGAGUGCCGGUCUAAUUUCACGAAACAUUAAUUUUUUAUAUGUAUCUUAUUUUAGUUUCGGUCUAACUAUUAUUCCACUGUAAUAUAUAGGUCAAUUAAUAAAUCUAUCUUGUUAUCCAUUAGAAUGUUAUUUUUUUUUUAGCCUAAAUAUAUAUGUUUAGGAUGAUUUUUGAAUAUGGGUGAAUGAUAAGAGCUAAAGGAACUCCUUGCGCAUAUUUUAUUGCCUUGUGUGUGAGCUCUGUAUAACUUGCAUCAAGAUGUCCUCCCGUAAAAGCACACUGACGGAAAAGCUUAUGAGCAUCAGCAUAUACUAAUUCCUUCAUUCGAUAUAUUUGACUUAAGCUCCGAGUGUGGGUGAAUGAUAUACAGUACUAUAUGAGUUAUGCUAACUGUUGUGACCUUGAUUUUGUAUUAUUGUGUGCAUUGAUUUUGGUUUAUAAACAAAUGUGUGGUGGCUCAUGGAUGGAUGUAUGGAUGGGGAUAAUAAAUAAAUGAAAAUAUACAUCAGACACAAGUAGAUAAACUAAGGGUAAGGGAUCAAAAUUCUGAAACUGGAAGUGGGUUUUUGUCUCAAAUAUAAUUGACGUGACAGAGAAUUAUGUGAAGUUGCAGAUAAAUUUUGGGUUUGAUAUGCUUUUGUUUAUGGCCAAAUUUUCUGCUGUAUUUGGGAUGAUUUGCUGCUGUUUUUGGUUAAAUUUUUCUUGUAUUUUGGGCUUCAUUUGCUGCUGUUUUUAGGUUAAAUUUUCUGCUAUUUCUAGGUAAAUUGGCUGCUAUUUUUCAGUUUAUUUUUUGUUAUUUUAAGAUAAAUUUAUUGCUGUUUUGGGUUAUAUUUUUUGCUAUUUUCAGGUAAUUUUUUCUAGUGUUUUGGGCUUCAUUUGCUGCUGGUUCUGGGCUAAAUAUUUUUCUGUUUCUGGGUAAAUAUACUGCUAUUUUUCAGUUAAUUUUUUUGCUAUUUUUAGAUAAAUUUUUUGUUGUAUUUGGGAUGAUUUGCUGCUGUUUUUGGUUAAUUUUUUUUGGUAUUUUUGGCUUAAUUUACUGCUAUUUUUAGGUUAAAUUUUUUGCUAUUUUUGGGUAGAUUGGUUGCUGUAUUUCAAUUUAUUUUUUUGUUAUUUAUAGAUAAAUUUACUACUGUUUUGGGUUUUUUUUGCUAUUUUUAGGUAAUUUUUUCUGGUGUUUUGGGCUUCAUUUGCUGCUGGUUCUGGGCUAAAUAUUUUGUUAUUUUUGGGAAAAUAUACUGCUAUUUUUCAGUUAAAUUUUUUACUGUUUUUGGAUAAAUUUUAUGCAGUUUUUGGGAUGAUUUGUUGCUGUUUUUGGUUAAAUUUUUAUGGCAUUUUGGGCUUCAUUUGCUGCUGUUUUUAGCUUAAAUUUUUUAUUGUUUCUGGGUAAAUUGGCUGCUGUAUUUUAAUUUAUUGUAUUUCAGGUUAUUUUUCUAUUGUUUUUAGAUAAAUUUACUGUUGUUUUUGGGUUAUAUUUUUUGCUGUUUCUAGGUAAGUAUUUUUAGUGUUUUGGGCUUCAUUUGGUGCUGUUUUUAGGUUAAAUAUUUUGUUGUUUCUGGGUAAAUAUAUUGCUGUUUUUGGAUAAAUUUACUGAUGUAUUUGGGAUAAUUGGCUGCCGUUUUUGGUUAAUUUUUCUGGUGUUUUGGGCUUCAUUUGCUGAUGUUAUUAUGUUAAAGUUUUUGCUGUUUCUGGAUAAAUUGGCUGCCGUUUUUCAGUUAAAUUGUCUGCUGUUUUUAGAUAAAUUUAUUGCUGUUUUUAGGUUAAAUUUUUUGCUGUGUUCAGGUAAAUUUUUCUAGUGUUUGGGCUUCAUUUGCUGCUGUUUUUAGGUUAAAUUUUCUGUUACUUCUGGGUAAAUUUGCUGCUGGUUUACAGUUAAAUUUUUUCCUAUUUCUGGAUAAAUUUAUUGCUAUUUUUGUGUUACAUUUUCUGCUGUUUCUGGGUAAAUUUGUUGAUGUUUAGAUAAAUUUAUGACUGUUUUUGGGCUAAAUUUUCUGCUGUUUCCAUGUAAAUUUUUGGUGUUUUGGGCUUCAUUUGCUGCUGUAUUUUGGUUAAAUUUUCUGCUGUGGUAAAAUUUGCUACUAUUUUUAAGUUAAAUUUUUUGUUGUUUUUGGAUAAAUUUAUUGCUGUUUUUGGGUUAAAUUUUCUGUUGUUUUACAGGAUCCAAAAGUUGUGAUAUUUGACAUUUCUUUUUGUGCCUAAAUCUUCAUGUAUAGGUUUGUGUAAACUUGAAAAUGGCUGAAAUGAUACAAAUAUACCCACUUCAAGGUCUAAAACAUGAUACUGCAAUGGUGUUUCAACAGAAGAUCAGGUACCUGUCUCUGGAAAUGCUUCAAUGAACAUCUUCAUUUCCUCCCCACCAAGGCCAGAUAAGAGGCAUAUCCAUGGCAAUGACUCUACAACCUGAGGAACGAAAUACACUUUGUAAUCUAAAUAAAGAAAGAAAAUUGAAUACAAGAUAAAUCUUAACAAGAGUCAUCAUAUCAGAUGAAAGAUUCUUAGUCUAUAAGCUUCUAAAACCUUAAGAGGUUGAACUUUCCUGCUAAAGUCUUCCCAGGUCAUAAAAAACUUAAGAUGGCAGUAUAUUAAUAGUAGCUGAAAGAUAGACAGAUUAGCUCACAAGCAUGGCUGCAAAAUACAUCACAGCCCCAUUCAAAAGCAAAAAAGACCCAAUUAUAUUGUCCGGUUUUGUAUGCUUUGUUCUUUUACAAGCUCAUCAAAUUGGGCAAAUUAAUGUCUAAAUAGUCCAAUUUCCCUAUGCUUUGUUCAUUUAUAAGCCCAUCAAAUUGAUCAAGGCAGUACUUGUCUCUCCAUCAGCAUACAAUAUCUAAACACAUAGUAUGUUCAAACAAAGAUGGAAAAUAAGAAAAAUUGAGUUUUUAGACAGGCAAGAAAAAAAAAUUUCAAUAGUAUAUUAUUGCCAGCAAAUAAAUUUUAAACCAAAAAGUUCACGCAGGGAAUUAUGUUCUUGGAAAACACAAUACUCUUAUUCUGCUCCAAAAGACAUUACCAAACACAUUUGUCAAAACUAUUCUUGAAAAUCAUUAGAAAACACAAUUUUCAAAUAUUCUAAGUCUAAGCUUCUUGUCUUCAUUCUCGAUAAUAAUUUGUGAAAAAAAUAAAAAUUCUAAAAUGAUUUUCCAAAUUGCUUACCUCGCAUGAUGCGCUCCAAACCGAUCUGCAAAGUUUUGGAGUUGGAAGACAAUUUUAGGGAUAAAACUAGCGGAUGCUUUUGGUGCUCUUCUUGGUUUCUUUCAUAGCCUUACCAUCACCAGAAUCUGAACGACAAUCUGCAUGUUAUCUCUUCGACAAUCUACAUUCCCAACUAUUUGGAUUGUGAUUGACGGUUUCACGGUUCAUGAGCCAGCAGAUUCAGGUUCGGAUUUGGCGAAUCUUGGCUUAAAAUUUAGGAGAACUGAGACAGAAAUUCACAUUUGGGAAUGAACAUUAGGGGUGGACAGGGCAGUGCUUUUUGUUUUGAUUUUUUUUCUUCUACAGUGACAUUGAGAGUCAAUGAGAAAUGUUUUUUUUUUCAGCCUUUUAUUUUCAAAAGAGGGGAAAAAAUCGAUAGUAUAAAAAAAAGUUUUUUUUUUUACUUUUUUGCUGUUGAUGCUGCCAUAAUUGUUAUAAUAUUGAAUUUUUUUAAUAAAUAAUAACUAUAAAAAUAUUUUAAUAAAUUAUUAUAAAUUUUAAUUAGGUAAUAUUAAAUAAAUAAAUUAUAAUAAAAGAUUAAUAAAUUAUAAUUAUAAUAAUAUUAUAAUAAAUAAUAAUGAAAUAAUUUCAUACUGAUAAUAAUAACAAUAAAAUUAUAAAUAUAAUAAUAUUUUUACUAAAUAAUAAUAUAAUAAAAUAAUAAUAAUAAUAACUUAUUAUUAUAAUAAUUAUUAUAAAUUUUGAACACAAUAAUAUUUUCAUAAAUAAUAAUCAUAUAACAAAAUCAUGAAAUUAAUAAAUAAUAACAAUAAUGAAUUAGUAAUCAUAAUUAUAAUACUAUUUUAAUAAAUAUUAUGAUGAUGAUGAUGAUUAUUAUUAUUAUUAUUAUUAUUAUUAUUACCACCAAUUGACAAUAAUCAACAAAGGGCAUUUAAGUAAAUUAUGAUAAUUCAUUCUGAUUCCAAGACAAAUUAAACGCAUCGAUGGAAAUGAAUCUCAUUCCGACUUUAAUUUCUACAGCUCAAAUAAAUAACUUAUUCUUAUUCACAUUCUUGAUUCUGAUUGUAGCCCGUUCCGAUUACUGAUUAGUAAAUGCACCAUGAGCAAAUUAUUGUGGUUUAAUUGGGUCUGUUUUUUUCAAACCUAAUUAAUAAUUAGUUUGGGUUGGAUAAAUUAUAAUUAACCAGUCUAACCCAACCAAAUCUACUAUAAUAAUAAUAAUAAUAAUAAUAAUAAUAAGGAUAAUGAUAAUGUGUUAAUUCUCAGUUGCAAAAUUAUAAAGACUUAAAUGGCUUAUCUAAUUUUUUAUUCUUUUUAAUCUUUUAAUAGAAGAGGCUAUUUCAUUCUUGCAUUUGCUGCUCUAGACUACAAUUCCUAAACCAAAAUCACACUCUCUUAUAAGUAAAUUUAUUAUUUUAUAAGAUUAAUAUAAAAGUAAGUUGGUUUUAAUUUCUUUUUAUUUUUUAGUGAAUACUUAACGGCACAUAAUUAUAUAUCACUUUCAUUUUAUUUUUGUAUAUGAUGCUAGCUAAUUAUCUAAAAAGUCUGAAUUUAGAAUUGGAAAAGGAGAUGCAUGAGAAAUAAAGUCUAUAUGCUUUUUGUGGAAAUUUUCUUAAUUUAAAGAUAGUUAAUUUAUUAACUUUCUUUAUCGUACACUAGAUAGUGAAUGAAAAUUUCAUGUUAUAAAAGAUUUAUAUUUGAUUUUAAUAAGUUUCAUUCCAAGUUUCAUAUCAUUUUCACUGUUCAAUUUAAAAUUUUGAUUUAACCUUCAACCUAAUCAACUUAACCAAACGAUAUAAGGUUUGAGUAGAAUUGGGUUAAAUAAGUUCAUUUAGUAAAGUUGGGUGGAUUUUAUCUCAACUCAUUAAAAAGUAGACCAUGUUAGAAUUUCACUAACCCUAUCAAACCCAACUCAUGCCCACCCUUAUAUUAUUCUAUCUAAAUCAUAAAUGCCAAUAAUCCAACUCUUUAACCAUUUUCACAUUGGAUUAAGUUGAGCCAAUUGACCUAAACUACAUAACUUAAAUUCCAACUAAAUGUGAAAUAAGACAAAAAAUUUCUAAACCACACGUAUGACUGGUAGAUUGAAGGUAAAACGGAUAAAUUAGCGUUAGAGUGGUAAAUUGGUCUACAAAAUUAAAAAAAUAGAAAAAAAAAUUUGUAAAUUGACAUUAAGUAUGAAAUGAAAUAAAAGAUUUGUAAUUCACACUUGGAAAUAGUAAAAAAAGGGAAAAUGAGUAAAUUAAAGUUGGAGUGGUAAAUUAGAAGAAAAAAUUGCAAACAAAAUAAAAACUUAGAAAAAUCACAUAAAUCUUGUAAAAUGACAUUAAGUGUGAGAUAAAACAAACAAUUUGUAAAUCACACGUAAGACUAAUAAAUUGAUGGAAAAAGAGAGUAAAUUAAUGUUAGAGUUGUAAAUUGCAAGAAGAACUUGUAAACAAAACAAAAAUUUAGAAAAAUGAGGUAGAACUUGUAAAUUGACAUUAAGUGUAAAAUGAAACAAAAAAUGUGUAAGCCAUACAUAAAAUUAGUAAAUUGAUGGGAAAAUGAGUAAAUUAACAAUGGAGUUGUAAAUUACAAGAAAAAAGUGUACAUAAAACAAAAUAUUGAAAAAAUGACUUAAAAUUUGUAAAUUAACAUUAAAUGUAAAAUGAAACAAAAAAUGUGUAAACCAUACAUAAAAUCAGUAAAUUGAUGGAAAAGCGGGUAAACUAAUAAUAGAGUUGUAAAUUAGAAGAAAAAAGUGUAAACAAAUCAAAAACUUGAAAAAAUGACUUAGAACUUGUAAAUUAACAUUAAGUGUAAAAUGAAACAAAAAAUGUGUAAAUCAAAAAUAAAAUUAGUAAAUUAAUGAAAAAAAUGGUAAAUUAAUGAUGGAGUUGUAAUUUACAAGAAAAACUUGUAAACAAAACAAAAACUUAUAAAAAUGACAUAGAACUUGUAAAUUGACAUUAAGUGCGAUAUGAAACAAAAAAUGUAUAAAUCACACAUAAAACUACGAAAAUUAAUGGAAAAAAUGGUAAAUUAAUGUUGGAGUUGUAUAUUUGUAAGAAGAACUUGUAAACAAAACAAAAACUUAGAAAUAUGACAUACAACUAGUAAAUUGAUAUUACAUGUGGAAUGAAACAAAAAAUAUGUAAAUCACACAUAAAACUAAUAAAUUAAUGAAAAAAUGGGUAAAUUAAUGGAGUUGUAAUUUGCAAGAAGAACUUGUAAACAAAAUAAAAACUUAUAAAAAUGACAUAGAACUUGUAAAUUGACAUUAAGUGUGAAACAAAAUAAAAAUGUAUAAAUCACACCUAAAACUAGUACAUUGAUUGAAAAAUUGGUAAAUUAAUGUUGGAGUUGUAAAUUACAAGAAGAACUUGUAAACAAAACAAAAACUUAGAAAAAUGACAUAAAACUUGUAAAUUGAUAUUAAGUGUGAAAUGAAACAAUAAAUUUGUAAAUCACACAUAAAACUAAUAAAUUAAUUGAAAAAUUGGUAAAUUAAUGUUGGAGUUGUAAAUUACAAGAAGAACUUGUAAACAAAACAAAAACUUAGAAAAAUGACAUAAAACUUGUAAAUUGAUAUUAAGUGUGAAAUGAAACAAUAAAUUUGUAAAUCACACAUAAAACUAAUAAAUUAAUGAAAAAAAUGGUAAAUUAAUGUUGGAGUUGUAAUUUGCACGAAGAACUUGUAAACAAAACAAAAACUUAGAAAAAUGAUAUAGAACUAGUAAAUUGACAUUAAUUGUGAAAUGAAACAAAAAAUGUAUAUAUCACAAAUAAUACUAGUAAAUUGAUGGAAAAAUGGGUAAAUUAAUGGAGUUGUAAUUUGCAAGAAGAACUUGUAAAUAAAACAAAAAUUUAGAAAAAUGAUAUAUAACUUGUAAAUUGAUACUAAGUGUGAAAUGAAAUAAAAAAUGUGUCAAUCACACAUAAAACUAGUAAAUUAAUGGAAAAAUAAGUAAAUUAAUGUUAGAGUUGUAAAUUGAAAGAAGAACUUGUAAACAAAACAAAAACUUGUAAAUGUUGCAUAAAACUUGUAAAUCUACAUUAACUUGUAAAUGCUUCAUAAAACUUGUAAAUCACACAUAAAAUUAGUAAAUGUAACCUAGAACUUGAACAAAAAAGAGUAAUUACCUACUACUUAGGUAACAGGUUACCUAUUUAUUUAAAAUUAAUGGUAGAAAUUUUUUAUUUAAAUCUAACGAUUCACGCCCAUUACGGCAUCAAUGCCGUAAAUUUAAUUACGGCAUUAUAGAAUGAUCCGUAAUUCUAAUUAAGAUUAAAUUUAUAAACUGCAUUGAGGAAUUACAAUAAAAGACGAACAAAGACAUAUACAAUUAUGAUAAAUUUAUUUAUCAGGACUUUUGAGAAGAACGAGAAGAAGCUCACAUCUACAGAGGGGUGCCAUUUGUCCCACCUCAUCGAAGGGAUGUUAAAGAUUUUUAAUGGGCUAAGACAACAUGGCCCUGCUUAGAUAUUUUGGGCUUUUACCAACAAGUUCCUGAUCACACCCCUCAAACCUCCUUAUCAAACCUUUUUUUUUUCAAAAAAUAAAAAUAAAAUCACUAAAUAACUAAAUACAAUUUAAUUUCUUUCUUUAUUUUUAAAUAAAAAGUUAAUUAAAUAUUUAAAUAAAUUGUUAUUUUAACAAAUAUUUUAUUCCUACCCCAUUUUAUAAUUAUUUUUGAUUUCAAUAAAAAAUAUAUUUUGAGAAAAUUAUAAGAAUUUAAAAUUAUAAAAAUAAAAAUUAUAAAUAUAUUUUAAGAUUUUAGGAUUUGUAUGUAAUUUAUGAAUAAAAACCUUAAAAAUAUACAAUUUUUUUUAAAAUAAAAAAUUUCAUAGAAAGAUGGUUAACUUUAAUAUAUGUACGUGUAUUACUUGUAUUAAAGGUAUUUUAGACAAUGGUAAAUUUUGAAUUAAUUUUUUUAAAAUUGAUUAUUUUUAAAUUAUUUUUAUUUUUUAAAAUUUUAAAUUAUUUUUAUUUUAUUUUAUUUUAUUAUAAGUAAAUUAAGAUUUUUAAAAGGUAAGGAAAAUUAUAUUUAAAUAGUCGGGGAAUAAUUAGAAAUUAACUCAAAAAUAACAUUAAAAAUGCUCCGCCCUUACAACCAAUUGUUUACUCGUCUCGGCAACCUAGGGUUGGUUCGUCACCGGAAAUAAGCUAGAUCUAGACUCUCUGUGUUAUGGGUGCAGGCUGAAAACAGAGGGGACGAAGAAAGAGGAUCUGAUUCCGACGGUUUGGAUUCAAUGUGAUGAGUUCCUUAUGAUAAGCAAGCUGAAGAGAGCUGAAGAAGGAGGCAAGAUCAAGAUCUCGAGGAAAUUCAGCGAUGGAUGAAGCGAGGGUUCUAACUCUCACUUUUUAAAAAAACUUAUGCAUAUUCUUUCAUGUGCUGUAGAUAGGCCCUUCAACCUCGGAAACCUCACCAUGGACUGGGAGCGAAGGAAGUGGGAUCUGAUGGUUGGCAUUGUAGGUGGCAAGCUGCAAAAGAAAGAUGACGUUUUCAAAGUUGAAGGGCCUUUCUAGAGCACUGGAAUCCAUUCAUACUUCAGCUUGAAAUCCCAAAACACAAGGCCUUUUGUGCAUAUUUGUUUAGACUUUGCACUAAGAUUGGCUUUAUUUUUCCCUUUUGGACUUGAAUCAGUAUAACAUUUCAAUGUUACAGCACACUUUGGUGCAGAAUAUGUAGAUCUGUAUGGUUUGCAAAUGAGGCUUUCUGCAAAGACUGUUAUGAAUUUUUUUUUUAAAUCAUUUAUUAGGAAAUUUUCCCAACAGCAACACCAGAAAAGGUGAAAACAGGUAUGCUUGAGGUUGUUAUAGCUGCCGCUUGGCCUACUGAAAUGUUCAUUUAGUCCAAUUAUGCUAAGACUCCACUUUUAUGGGCAUUAUCUUGUAAUUUCAUUUUUAUCACGUCCCGUUUGGAUCUCCGUGACCUACUUGGCCUGUAGCUAUUUGCUGUUGGUGUUGCUUUUGAAUUAGUGGCUGAUUUGGACGCGCUUAACAAGUUAUUGUGUGGACUCUAGUUAUAUUUUUUUGUUAUGCUUGUCUGAGAAAAGAGAUGGAACAUGUCGUUCCAAUUUAUUGAAUAUUUAAAAUAACUUGAGAAUUUCAUAACUAAGAAAAUUCAAGGUUCCUUUUUGAAUUUUUUUUUGGGGUUUUUUUGUUUGGUGGGAGGGGGGGGGGAAUUGGGGCCAAGGGGAUGUGUAGGGAUGCAGCUCUUCCGUCUAACACUCCAAAGUAUUUCUUGUAUCUUGGAUCCUCGCGGAAGGACUGGUAUUUGUGGCGAUUGGCUGUUGGGUUCAAGUUUUGAGUCAGCUGCCUUAAGUGGCCAGCUCAUGCCAAGCAUGUAAGCAAGAAUGUGAUUUUCUUUUGCUUAUUUGGUUUCUUUUUUGUGCAUAGAAAUAUAUAUUUCAUGAUUGAUAAUUAACAUCAAAUAAUAAAAUCUGUAACAACAUGUUUACCCCUGUAUAUGGACAUCUAAAUAUAAAUAGUAUAUUGGCUUCAGCUCUGUUUGAAAUAUCAGACAAUUUUCAAUCGUAAGCUUGAAGCAUGAUUAUUCAUAUAUAAAUACUGUAAUUGGUCUAUCUUGAUUGUAGAUUAUUUAGGAAGUUGUGGAGUUCAUUUUGAGGAGUUUGCUGUUGGUUUACAAACAAGUUUUCUGCCACUCGAAGGACAUGAUAUUGGGCAAUUUCUAGGUUUAGAGUCUAUGGAAAAAGACGAAGCUCAAGCAUAUCAACCUAUCAUUUGAAUCAUUAAGCAGGCCAUGAAAAUUUCUACAGUUGUUAAGGUAUGCUUCUAUCUACACACUGUUUAUGGAUUUAUGAUUUUUACUUUGGUUGCCCCAUAUUUAAUUCUCUUGCUUUUAUAGCUUGGAGUAUUAGAUUGCAGUGAUUGAUGAGAGUGAAUGCUUGUUUAAUGAUAAUUGAAACAAUUUGCUAUCAACAGUGUAGCAUGUGUUAAUCGUUGAAUAUUGUUUUUGUGACAACGAUUUUGUGUAUCAUUAAUUGCAUGUAGCCAUUGUGAUGCUUAGUUUAUAUGAAAAUUAGGCUAGCCCAAUCUUUUUUGGAUUUUUUGUUAUGAUUAUCUCCAUGUUUGUGAUUGAGGUGUUGUGACUUUUAAUUUAUUGAGGAAUGGAAUUAAAACAUUAACUGCUUAAUAAAAAUGGGUGUUUAUCAAAUAUCUUAGCUAAAAUGCUGUCAAAAUUAUACCGCCACCAAAAUAGGACUCAACUCGAGUUAUUCAAACUCUUGAAACUUGAAUUUUGUGUAUCUGAACUGGGUGCUCAGUUAGUCAAUCGCAUCCAUGUAAUGAUUCGCAUUUAUUUAUUUAUGUUACUAUGCUUUGCUGUACCUGGGGAAUCAUGGCUUGGGAGGAAGAAUCGGAACCAGAAUGAUAUGUCCUCAACCUCUGAUAUUUGGUCAUGCUGCUCAUUUCAUUGCUGCGAAUGAUUCUCAGUUUCGUCCAUUGGUUGACUGGAAGGUGGAAUCAGUGUUGGCAUGCGCAUACGGGAUCAUCAAUAUUGACAGAUCACCAUUCCCGCUUGUGCUAACCGUUCGAUUGACAUACUUUUACCAUGGAGGGUUGAGAUUUCGCCACGCCACCAUGCGUGGAAUACACUCACUGCAUUGGGUCAUACACCCAACCAUUCUUGUCUUAUUAGGAAGCAAUCUUGUUUGUUCAUUGUAUUGAUCCGAUGUUCCACAUUUAGCCACGUUUCCCCUUUCACUCAGCGAACGUUGUUGACCACAUCUGAACCGUUGGAUCGAGCAUCAAGUUUUCCUCAAUGCAUGCUCACCAUGAUUAUUACGGUCACAGGAUUUUAAAAUGGAAGUUUUGUCUUCGGAUUGAAUUGAAAAGGUCGCGUGAUUUGGCUGAAAUAAUAAAAUUUCUUCCCUUUUCCUUUUUUCUUUUUCAAUUUCUGGCUUUUGUAUGUAACUUUUGUAAAUUAAUUAACAAAAUAUGUGCUUUAUUUUCCACUAUCUGUGGUUAAUUUUAUCAAGGUAGGGUGAGGUGAAGCUCUUCAUAGAAAGAUAUGAUUUAGUUAAGUUUUAUUUUUUUUAAUUGGGGAAAAAAGAUGGUAAACUUUAAUAUAUUUAUUUGUAUUAAUUACACUAGAGGUCUUUUAGAAAAUGGUAAAUUUUUAUAAAUUGAUUAUCUUCAAACUUUUUUUUUAUUUGAAAAUUUUAAACUGUUUUUAUUUUAUUUUAUUUUAUUAUAAAAAAAGGAGUAAAUUAAGAUUUUUAAAAGGUAAACAGAAUUAUAUUUAAAUAGUCCAGGAAUAAUUAGAAAUUAACUCAAAAAUAACAUUAAAAAUGCUCCGCCCUUAUUACCACUAAGUCUAUGCGUGUUUUUGUGUUUGUGUGUGUGUAUACAGAUCCAUUGUUACUCAUCUUCGACAGCCUAGGGUUGGUUCGUCAUCGGAAAUAAGCUAGAUCUAGACUCUCUGUGUUAUGGGUGCAGGCUGAAAACAGCGGGGACGGAGAAUGAAUUUUCCCUUUUUAACUUGAAUCAAUGUAACAUUUCAAUGUCAUCGCAUGCUUUGGUGCAACAUUUGUAGAUAGGUAUACGUUGCAAAUCAGGCUUUCUGCAAGACUGGAAUGAAUUCUUUUUUAUCAUUUAUUAGGAAAAUUUCCCAACUGCAACAGCAGAAAAGGUUGAAAUAGGUAUGCUUGAGCUUGUUGUAGUUAGGGGUGGCAAAGCGAAUAAAUGAAUCGAAUCCGAAUUGAAUCGUAAACGAAUUGGGUUAAAAUUUUAUUGAGUGAGAUUCGAUUCGUUUAAUAAAUGAAUCGAAAUCUCAGAAUUUGAAUUCGCUUCGUUUAUUAAACGAAUAUUCGGUUCGAUUCGUUUAAUAGAAUUAAUAAACAAAUAUAAUCGAAUUCGGAUUCGUUUACUAUUUGUUUAUUCUUACGAAUUCAUAAUGAAUCGAAUUGAAUUUAGAUUCGUUUACAAUUCAUCUGUAAACUACAAUAUUAACCUUCAAAUUUUAAAAAAAUUUCAAAUAAAUUUAAGGACAAAAAAGUAAUUUAAUUAAACGAAUGGACCAUAUUCAAUUCGUUUAUAACUCAUUUAUUAAAUUGAAACGAAUAAACGAAUCAAUAUCUUUAAACCUGAAUAUGAUUUGUUUAAUUAGCAAAUCGAUUGAACUCAUCCAUUUAUUAAACGAAUCAAUUUUUUCAAAUGCAAAUCUAUUUAAUUUGUAUAGAAUCAAAUCGAAUAAAUGAAGCCUAAGUCAGAUUGCCACCGCGAGUCGGAGCUGCGCUUGGCUUUAGAAGUUGGCUUUAGAAGCCCCUUUUUUUCUCAAGAGUCCAAUUAUGCUAUGACUCCACUUUUAUGGGCAUUACCGUUUAAUUUCCUUAUUUUUUUAAUCGUGUCCCAUUUGGAUCAUUGUGACCUACAUGGGCUGUACCUAUUUGUGGUUUAUGUUGCCUUUGAUUUCGUGGUUGAUUUGGACAAGCUUAAUAAGUUACUGUGUGGACUCUAGUUUUAUUUUCUUGUCAUGCUCGUUUGAGAAACGAGAUGGAACAUGUCAUUCCAAUUUAUUGAAUAUUUAAAAUAACUUAGAGAAUUUCAUAAUUAAGAAUAUUCAAGAUUUCUUUUUCAUGAUUUAUGUAAUUUUUUCCUUCUUUUGGGGGGAUGUGUAGAGAUGCAGCUCUUCCUCACUAGUGCUCCAAGUAUUCCGUGUCGCGGAAGGGCUGGUAUAUGUGGCGAUUGGCUGUUGGGUUCAAGUUUUGAGUCAGCUGCCUUAAGUGGCCGGCUCAUGCCAAUCAUGUAAGCAAGAAUAUGAUUUUCUUUUGCUUAUUUGGUUUUACUUUUGUGCAUAGAAAUAUAUAUUUCAUGAUCGAUAAUUAAUACCAAAUAAUAAAAUCUGUAACACAACAUUUAUCUAUACCCCUAUAUACGGACAUCUAAAUAUAAACUAGUAAAUUGGCUUCAAUUCUGUUUGAAAUAUCAGACAAGUUUCAAUCAUGAGCUUCAAGCAUGAUUAUUCAUAUAUAAAUACUGUAAUUGGUCUCUGUAGAUUGUAGAUUAUUUAGGAAGUCAUGGAGUUUGUUCUGAGGAGUUUGAUGUUGGUUUGCAAACAAGUUUUCUGCCACUCGAAGGACAUGAUAUUGGGCAAUUUCUAGGUUUAGAGGCUAUGGAAAAAGACGAAGCUCAAGCAUAUCAACCUACCAUUUUAAUCAUUAAGCAGGCAUGAAAAAUGCUUGCUGCGUCUAUUACAGUUCUUUUUACAAAAUGGCUUUCAAUGUAAAUUGUUAAUUUUUUUUAAUAGAAUUAAAACCAUUCUGUAUGUAUCAUAUGUAGCCUUUAAAGAUUAUUACGACCUUUAUUGCUUUAAGCCCCACUUCUUGCCGCUGUUAGCGAUAAGUUGAAAACAGUAAUGGUUCCUUUUUAUCCACGUUACACAUAACACUCAUUCAAGAAUCUAGAGAUUACUUAACCGUGUUGUAAUUCAAGAGUAGUGUCCAACUUGGCCUAGUGGCAGCUUCUUAAAGCAAGAGUUUGGCCCAGAGGAUUGUUGCUCUCCACCAGAUGCGUUUGGACUUAAGCUGAAUUCGCUUUUGUUGCCAAGUUCCAAUGAAAAAAUGUAACUAAAAAAAAAAAACCCCAUGAUUGAAUCUUUGUGGAAAAAUGAUCUGGAUGCAAUGCUGUUGCGUAGUGUGGUUUAGUUAAUUAUCCACAACAAAAGAGUUAUAAAAAUAUGUUACGUGUCCCAUUACUUAUUGAAUCAUUUUUUGGCAUCCACACUUAUUAUAGAAUAACUAAUUUUUUUUAUAAUGGUUAUUCAAACAGUAAAAAAUGCCAAAAUUUUUGAGUAAAAUGGUCGUUGUUAUUGUUUUUUUUCCUUUUAAAACGGUGCCUUUGCUAUAUGAGGGGAAUCAUGGGAACCAGAAUGAUUGGUACUGAUUCAAGGUCCCAUAAUGAUCACAGUUACAAGGAAGAUAAGAACCUAAAAUUAAUUACAUGGUCACGUGAUUGCAGUUGCAUGGGCUGCAUGGCGGCCGACCGCUGUACCAUGACUGCAAUUCCUGCACAGUAACAAGCAAGCUGUUUUACAUAUAUAUAUGCCACGUUGACAAUUAGCUUAUUUAGACAAACAUCUUAUCAAGGCACAAACGAACUUGAACGUAAAGCAAUAAUAUCCCAGCAACUAAUUGUCUUAAAAUAAUUAUUGUAAUUCUUCAGAAUACACAACCACAAUUUUGAAGUUUUGAAAGAAAUUAAGCGACGAAUGCACCGAAAGCUUUCCUCCCUAACCCCAAUUGAUUACUUACGUAACCGUGCAUGUUUGGCCCACCUUCAGUGCAUCUUUUUUUGAUUUUGGCUACCUUAUCACGAAACACAAAUGGAAGGGGACUCUGACUUAAGUCUCAAUUGACGAAACAGUAGUGCUAAACAAACAAAUAUUGGGGACUCUGACACAUAUGUGAGGUGAGGAAAUAUUACAACAUUUAGACUAGGAAUGUAAACAAAUGAAUAAAUAAAUAUAUUACUGGAUUUAAGAAAAUGAAGCCGGUGGCGAGUACAAAGGAGCUCUUAUGUGUUGAUUCCCUAAUAUCGUGUGCACUUCCUCAUAUACAAUAAAUUUUGAAUUUUUUGUUGUUGUUAUCUAUGUCAUAAUUGUUAUAACAUUAAUUUUUUUUCAAAUAAGGAUAAAAUUGAUAGAUUUAUGAUUUUAUUAUAACACACACAGUCAAAUAUACAUCUAAAAUAUAUGUAGAACCACUACCACCUUAUAUAUAUAUAAAAAAAAAAAAGUGUUUACAACAGGUUAUCAAGGCAUACCAUUAGUACUAAAUUAUGUAAAUCAAGUUUCUUUUCCUUCAUGCCAUGUCCUUUACGGGUCGGCUGAUUCGGUUUUGGUGCUUGUUGUCGAUGAGCAUAUAAUAUAUACAUAUUUUACUCUUAAUUAUAUAAUUACUAAUUAUUAUUAUUUGUUAUUUUUAAUUAAUUAAAUUAUUUUGUUGAAUGAGGAAUUAAUUAGAGAUUAUGGAUAAAAAAGUAUAAAAAAUUUUAAUUUAGAAAGAAAUAAAAAUUAAAUUAGAAGAUAAAAUUACAGUCGAGAAUUAAUGAAAGUCCGAAACCAAAAAUCAAAGUCAACUUCCUUAAUAAUGAACGGUGGGCAUGCAUUUAGAAGACAAACAUUUGGUGAUGGCAAUUGCAUUUGCAUGACAUUAUAUAUUAUGGAAAGUAAUUUAAAGGGACCUGUGACUUGGCUUUCAAAGGUGGACAUAAACUGAUGGAUUAUGGUAUUGACAAAUAAUGAUGACAUAAAAUAGUAAAAUUGACUUUAGAAUUGGAAAUAGAAUCCCGAUUGAAUUGGGCCAAUUAAUGCAUAUGGAAUCCUUUUCAUAAUUGGUGGCCAUGGUGGAAGUGUGGCUGGUGCUUGCAAAAGAUGCAGCUGCCAUACUCAUUUCAAAAACUUUCCGAUCCAAUGAGUUCUACAGGAGGAUUUAUAAAUUAAGUAAUAUAAUUUUGUAUAUUUUUAAAAUAAAAACUUUAAUUGCGCACCACUUGAGUUCUUAUCCAAAACUACCUUUCCUGGUAAAGCCAAAGCAUUUUGUGUUUUCUUACACGGCAAAAUAUUUUUUUUUUUAAUUUUUGAAAGGAAAAAACCUUCAUUUCACAAAAGAAAAUAAGUACAGCAAAUGAGGAGGGAAUGAACCCAUCCACACAACAGUUUCAAGUCUCUCUAAAGCUAACAAAACAUUGUUUGUUACAUAAACAGUUCACGGCAAGAAGAGCAGCCAUUUUUGACUUUUUGGAAGGGAAUAAUAUUGGAAUAAGCUUUCGAAUUUACCGAUUACGAAUUACGAUGGCUUUCUAAGCAAAUGGGAUCUGAGAUGGACCGAUGGUUAAGUUGAGGGGAAAAUUACAGAUAGAUUCCAUCUUCAAAUAUAAGUUAAAAAUAUUUGAAGUUUUAAACUUAAUUUUAAAUAGAUUGUGAUACUUUAUUCUUUUUAAAUUUAAAAACGUUAUAUUUAAUUUCUUAUACUAACAAUUUAAAUUAUUUUACGAUAAAAAAUCCAUAUUAUCUCUGAUCAAUUUAAGUGAUUUUACAAAGAGUAACAUCCAUCAAAACGAUUUUUUGUGUAUGUGAUAUGAUAAUAUUAUCCUUUAUAAAUUAAGUGAAGGUAGUUCCAUUUGAUUCCAUCACAUCCUGGAUUAUCUGUCACUUUUAUUUACAUAAAAAAUAUACAUUCUCUCAUUGACAACAUAUAAAAUAAGCUUCACCAAGUCUUUAAAAACUGUAUUGCCUACGUUGUUUAUGUUUUUCAGUUUUUAAGCCAAGAAAAAUGAAAGAGAAUUAAAGAUUACAUAAUUAGGUAAUUAACUCAAAUUAUUAAAGACAAUAUUGUCAUAACACCUGCAUUCAUUUUCAUGGAUGUCUACAGAUUGUAAAAUAACUUAAAUUGAUUAAGGUCAAUAGGAACAUUUCAUUGUAAAAUAACUUAAAUUAUUAGUGUAUGGGGUUUAGUACAACAUUUUUAAAUUUAAAGGGUUAAGUGUCAUAACCUAUUGAAUCUGAGUAUAAAUAUUUCUAACUUAUAUUUGAGGAGGAAUAUGUAAUUCUUCCUUUAGUUAAGUUUCUAAUCAAUUUACAAAAUGACUUUCCAUGUAAGUUAUUAAUUUUUCAGAAUUAAUGAAACCCAAGGAGAGAUAAUAACAAUUUGUUCAUUUACAUUAAAAAAAAAAAUGUAUCCACCUAGUUUAAAUUUACACAUCCUUUAUAUGGCUGUUGUGUGUACAAAAGAAUACAGACACACACACACAGAGAAAAAGAGGGAGGGAGGGAGACAAAAAGAGGAAUAAAAAGAAUAUCUAAGUUACGAAAAAUUAAAAAUAAUAACAAAAUUGUUUUAAGGACUAACGAUUAAAGAAACAGGGAAACAAAUUUUUUCUUUUCAUUCAAUAAUCAAUACUAUUGAAAAAAAAAAUAUUUAGACUAAGAAUGUAAAUAAAUGAAUAAAAAACGCAUAACUGAAUUUAUGAAAUGGAGCUGAUGGAGUACUAAGGAGUUCUUUUAUAUAUAUGUGCGCGCGCGCACACACACACAGAAUAUAAAGCAAAAUAAAUGAUAUAUCGACUACAUCGGCAAUUAAACAGAAACGAGUGAAGAAUGAUGAUACAAGUACGUAAAAGAGAAAUGAUGAAGGAUCAGCAACUCAGGCACAAACUGAUGUACACAAGACUAGACUAGCUCAGCCCAGUAAGCAAAGCCGGACACUACAACAAAAUUGAGAUAUAUAUAGCAUCUAAAAUGUGCUACUAAAAGUAAAGGUACCACUUUUAGAAGUGAUAUGUUAGUCCAUGUUAAUAAAAAUAUAUCUUUUGGUAGCAGUUAUGGAAUGUUAUAAAUUACAUUUUGUAGCAUGAAAUAAAAGUUAUAUAUGUAUUUUUAGUAGCUUGAGGUAGACGUUACUAUUUCAUAACUCGUAGCAUUUAUAAAAUGCUACUAAAUACCUUGCCAUAGCAUUUAUAAAUGCUAUCAAAUUCUAAGUCAUAGCAUAAUAAAAAUGCUACAAUAUUCUCUUAUGAUUUAUAGCAUUUUUUUAUUGCUUAAAAUUACAAAUUUUGGUAGCAUUUAAACAUUGUUAUUAUAUUUGGUAACAAUGUAUCAUCGUUGUCAUCAUAAGUUUAAAGAAAUUGCUAAUUAGCUUGGAUAUUUAUAUCAUUCAUCUUGAUAAUAAUACAAAACUUUCACAAAUACAAGCUUAUAAUCCAAAUGAACAAAAAGUACCAUAUAUUAUAUCAAAUAUUGCAUCAAGGUCAUAAGUUGAAGAUAAAUAUCAACUCCAAAUAAAAAUUAUGCUUGACUAUGAACAAGGGCAAAACUAUGUUGCAACAUGAGUUUGGUACCCCUUCUUUUUGUCUUUUUCAAAAUCAACUACCAUGGAGUCCUGUUAUUUGUUAUGAAAACAAAAAAGCUAAAAACUUUUAAAUUUUUACACAUUAGUCCUGCACCUACACUAGCAUCAUUUUUCUCACCCAUUUUAAUUAAAAGAUAAUUAAAAUUAUUUUCAAUAUAGAAAUAGAAUAAUAAUAAUAAAUUAUUACUCUUAUUUUUUAAUUAAUUACAAAAAGAUAUUUUACAUUAAAAAAUAUAGACAAUCACUGGUGAACACUGCUUCUUUACGUGCAAUAACAUUAUUAACCAAAAGGGGUCAUGAAGGGUACCAUUAGACUUGAAAUUGGAUGAUCUACGCAAUGAUAGCCUCAAUACUAGAAAAUGGUGAUAUGUAGAGUUGCACUCCCCUUCCAAAAUAACUGCGACCAUAACUACACCACAAAAACACAACAAGUUACAUUGCACUACCACCUUUUUUCAAUUUAGAGACCGUCAUUUGGUUGUUAAAGGCAAUGAACCUUGAAAUGUCAUUUAAUCAUAGGGUCUUACUACAGUUGUUUGCAUUGGAAGGUGUCUCUAUCGCCAAUACAUCCAUUUAUCCAGCAACAUUGUCACCAUUACACAGAUAUGAGAAUUUUGAAUCUGUUGAUAAUAUUUGUUUUUCUAUUCACUCACUUUUAUUUCUUAGUGAUGAUGUCGUCAUUGUUGUCAUUGACGGUGCAAUAAAUUUUAGCAAUGUUAUUUUGAUUUUUCAUCUAAUUUACAAAACUUAAAUAUUAAUUAUAAUAUUCAAUUUUAGUCUCGUAUGCUUAAAAAAUACUAAUAUUUAAGUUCAUGGAUGGAUAUAAGAUAAAUCAAAUCCAGAGUAUUUUGGAUGGAUAUUAUCCAAUCUAUUUGGACCAAAUACUUAGAUAUCCAACUUGAAUGGAUUUGUUUGCUCUUCCUAGUUGUCAAGUCGAUUAAUAAAUUGGAUUCGAUUUUAAAACUCCUAAUAUAAUAACCCAGUUCUAAUACGAUUAAUUACUCAAUUAAUUAUACUAAUUGACUUAUAUUUUAAUUGAUAUAUAUGUCCUGAAUUGUCAUCUCUAUUGUUGUCCAUGUGCGAUGUUAGCAAGAGAGAAGAAAGAAUAGAAAAUACUUAUUUUUAUUUUAUUUUUACUACAGAAAUAUUUAAAUUAUUUUCAAAUACAGUAAUUGUUUAGAAUUUUUUUUUUUUACCCUUCUCUCAGGUAAGUUAAUAAAAGAUCUUAACCAUAUGGAUAAUGGAUGUGUGCUAAUGACUAUUUAAACUGUUGGGGUGGAGUAACAAAAAUUAAUUUAUUUAAGUGUGCAAUUAAAUUUAUUCUUCUUAUUUAAGAACAAAAACUCAACAAAAAAUACAAAACUUAUUGUUCAAACAAACAAAAAUAAUUUUACAAAUUCAUAAACUAACACUUUAUAUAUUAUUAUUAGUGAAUUAACAUAUUUUUACUACAUAAUUAAAUAAUUGAUAGUAUGUUAAAAAAAAUAUUAUGUUACACAAAGAAUAAUAAAACAUGAACUACAUAGAAUAUGAAAUUAAUUCAUUUUUGUAAUUUGCACAUUUUAUCUGCUUGAGAUAGUAAAGUCUCUUGUGCUUGAGGGCAUCUCCAAUGCUUAACACCAUUUUGGUGUAACACCAACACUAAAAAUGUACCUUUUUUCACACCAAAUUACUAUUUCAUUUCCAACCCAUUUACACCAAAAAGAAUAUUCUUCUUUUUAUUCUUUUAAUUCUCAAGAAUUAAUUCAAUUAACACUAAAUUUACUAUUAAUAUAGAUAAUUAAGUAAUAAGUAAUAUUAUAUCGAUUAACAAAAAAAUAUAGAAAAUUAUUAAAUUUGCAUUUAAUUAACUAAAUUAGUACAUUAUGAAAAUUAAACUUUACAUUAAUAUAGAAAAAUACAAUAACAAUAAUAAAGAAGCCAAUCGAUGACUUUAUGAAAUUCUUAAAAAAUGCAGUGAAGAUAGGCAACAAAAUUAUCAAAUUCAAAUAAUACGAGCCCAAAAUGAGAAAACAAAAUUGGAGAUGGUCACAUAUCGUGAAGAAAACAAAAUUUUACUUAAAGAUUUAAAUUCGCUAAGUGAUCCAAGCUUACGUCAAUAUUUUCAAAAUGAACAAAUUAAGAUUUUGCAGAGAAGAUCUCAGCAAGGCCAAGCAUCUCAAAAUACUUCCAAUAAUAUUGGCCAAUAUUUUAAUGAUAUUGGAGGAUCUAAUAAUGAUCUCCUAAAUUAUUAAAUAAUUGUUCUAAUUUAUGCUAGUAGUAGUAGCUUUUUUAAUUUGUGUUAAUUUAAUUUUAUAAUAUGUAAUCUAGUAAUUAAUGUUAUUGGCAUUUUAUUUUUAUUAUUAAUUUUUGUGUUGAAUUUUUUUAAAAUAUUAGUAUAAUAUUCAAAAAUUAAAAAAUGAAAUAAAAAUAAUAAUAAUAACUUAAAAUAUUAUAUAAAAUAGGACAUAUAUGUAAAUAAGAAAAAGUAAUGAGGAUAUUUGAGAUUUUUUUCCCUAGCACCAAAUGAAUAGUGUUGCACCAUAUUUGGUGCAAUACUAUUCAUAACACCAUUUUGGUGUUGGUUUUAUGGUUACAUUGGAGAAGCAUUUUACACCAAAAAUGGUGUAAAAAGUGAUUUGGUGUUAGUUUUGGUGUCAUAUUGGAGAUGGCCUGAGAUAGUAAAAUCUCUUGUAUUGAAAAAAAAAAAAAAGUUACGGGGUUUGAAUCCUAUUCACAUGGGUGAAAGAAAAUUGGUUGCCAUUAUAUUUAUUUAAAAAAAUCAUAUUUAUAAUUAUCAUUAAUUGCAACUAGUAAAUAACAUACAUGGUUUAACUACAUAAUAAAUUAGUUAAUUUAUUAAUUAAUAUGUAAAUUUAUUAAUUUAAAUAUAUAUUAAUAAAUGUAAGAAUAAGUCAUUUAAUUGGAAACCUAGUUCAAUAGUGUAAAAAACAAUUUACAAUAUUAUGGACUUAUAUGUCAUAAUUUUAAAACUUUUGAUUUUUCUUAUUUUGCAUGAACAAUAAAAGCUCCAAUAAUCUCAUCUAAGCCAUUAUACUACUGUAGUGUUAAAUCUAAUGGUAGAUUUGAAAAAAAAUAAAAAAAAUGAGGUACCAAACUCCGUGGGUAACAUAACUGGACCCACAAACAAAUAUGCUACUUUUAAAAUAGGAAAACAAUAAACAAAAACUAAUGCUUUGUCUUCAAAAUGUGGCCAAAACUUCUUCACUUGUAUUUAUCAUCAUGGCCUGCAUUAUUAUAAAUUGAGAAAAUAAAAAGAUAAGUAUGUACUAUCAUAAAAGAAACAAAUAAAGUGAAAAUUUUGUGUAAGCAUUUAGAUAUAUGAACUUAUUGCCAUGAGUUUUGCAUCUAAGAAUUUUCAGCAUAAUGUUUAAAUAAUAGUAAAAUUUUGGUCCUAAGAACUUUGUUAAUUUUCGACUUGUAGCUCUGGAUCAUCGUAGUUGUAAGAGGGUAGCAACUCAAAUAUUGAACUAAAAUAGAAAAUGAAGCAAAUUAAAGGCAAUUUAUUUUCAAGAACAACAUAUAUAAGAAGGAGAGUUGUAGUAAUUAAUGGAAGACAUUUAUGGCAUUUGAUUCAAAAUGUAUCUCUUUUUUUAUGCAUCACCAAAAUUGUCUUCUCACAUGCAAUACUCAUUUGGCUAAUUCAAUUAAGCUCUACGGAGAUAAAAAAAAAGCCUACCUCUAUUUCCAUAAACUUUUUUGGGAAUACAUGAAUAUUAACCGCCAAUAUUUAACUGUACUAAUAAUUGCUCAAAAAUAAGUUUUAGACAAUAGUAUUUUCAUUCUCAUAUGUGUAGUACAAUAGUUUGCUUUUAUAUAGAGAAAGAGAUGAAUAUACCAAUCCCAAAAUCAUUCACUCCAUGCAGGAUUUGAAGUGCUGAUAGCCUCUAAAACCUAAACUCAAACUAGCUUAAGUCCAUGUCAUAAUCUUGCUUGAUGUUCUCAUCUUGAAAUGAUUGAACUAGAUGGUAUAGAAGUCCCAAUAGUUCAAACAAAACCUCAUAUCCCAUAAUAGCCCAAAAUUGAUCCUGACAAAUAAAAAUGACAAUGAUCUACUACCCCAACCAAUAAGUAGAAAUCAAGUCACAUCAAUAAUAUGCAAAUACAAAUAACAGUUACACAAAGAUAAGAUGUCAAUCUUCAAUACAAACCCACAAGCACAUCCAAAUGUAAAGAAUUCUAAUCUAGUAAAGAGAGUUGGUGAAAAUUGAAGAAGCAAAAAGAGAGUGAUAAUAUGAAAUUGACAGACACGAAGAGUUUUGCAACCAAUUUAGGGGAGAUAUUAAAAGAAAUAAUAAAAAAAAAAACUUGAAAUCAAAACCCGUAAAUUACCUUUGGCAACCCAUAUUUGGGAUGAAGCUUCUCAGCAAGGUAUGGAAUUGAUUUGGGUGUACGAUUUUUAAUGUGAGAUUUUGAAAUAAAGAAACUGAAUUGAGGGAUUUUACGAAGUGUGGUGUCAUUGGCUGGUUGAGAGAAAUAUUAAAAAUAAAAAGCGUUUGUGGUUUUGUAGUCAAAUAAGAGUUUUAGGUAACAUAUAUAUAUAUAUAUAUGGAGGCUUAUUCUUAAUGUUUGGAGUUAGACAAAAUUUUUUGGCGGUAGACAAAUUUUUUCCGAUUGAGUAUUCUUGUCCUUUUUAUAGCAUUUUUCUGGUGCCACAGAACUUAUAGCGUUUUUAUAAUGCUAUAUUAUUCAAUGUUAUAUGUAGCACAUAUAAAUAUGCUACUGCGUUAGAUAUUAUUUAAUAUAAUAUUGUUUUAUAGCAUUUGUAGGUGCUACGAUGUUAAAAAUUAAAUUUAGCUCUAUCAAAAAAAAAUUAAAUUUAGCAUUUUAAAAGUGCAACAAAUUAAAUGUGAAAUACAAUUAAAAAAUUAAAAAUAUUAUUCAAUGACUAAUUGUAGUUUUUUUUUUAAAAUAAAAUGCUACAAUAGCAUGAUAUUUGGCAACAUUUAAAAAAAAAAUGCUACCAAAAUUGAUAUUUGUUGUAGUAUAUAACUAAAAAAUUGAAACAUAACCAUAGCAGGCUAGGAGAAGCGCAGGGACACAAUGAUGCAAGUGUUGGCUGGUGGGCCACAGGUGUCUACAAAAGAUGGGGCUACUCAUCGUUACAAAACUUGACAAAUUGAUGAAUGAUAGGCUUUUGGUUAAGGCCGUUAAGUUUCCUCAUCCGUUAUAAAACGUGGCAAAUUUUUAUUGUUUGUUAAAUAAUAUCUUUGAUUUGCUUUAUGUUAAAUCCUUCGUCGAUUCGAUUAUUAUAUGUAGGGUAUGCCUACCUUACGAUUAACUUCUCUCUGUAUCAUUACGUUAAAUGUAAGCUAAUGAGACUCACUACUAUAAAGAGAAUUGUAUCUUACGUUAAACGUUAUUCAUUUGUCAAUUCAAUUAAACGUUAAAUAUUAUUUAUCAUACAUAAUAAAUAAUUAAAUUAGUAACCCAACAUGUCUUAUCCAUUUACUCUUAAUGAUUAAAUUAUUGACUUUUAGCAUUAAUUUAGUUGGAGGGUACUGACCACCGCAUGCAUAGGCUUUAGAUUUUUUAGCCUUGUGCCCAUUGAACAAAGCGCAGAGGAAAAGCAUGCCACUAGAAGCUAAAAUCAUGGAUGGAGACAACGAUAAUCAGAGGAAAAAAGUAGCGUUGAAAAUAAUACUGAAAUGGAGUUAUAUACAACAUGUUAUCAAGGCAUACCAUUAUUACUAAAUUAUGUAAAUCAAGUUUAUAUAUAUAGAGAGAGAGAGAGGUAAUGAUUAUUUUGGAGCUGCUACAAGUUAGAGCACAAAUUACAGUCGCACCCGUAAAAUAAUAAAUUUUAAUUUUAUGGUUAUAAAGACAUGUUUUACAUUUUUUUAUACGUGUAUAAUGACAUAUAUACAUACACACAAAUGACAUAUCUUGUAAAUCAUUAUAAAAAGUACAGGACACAACUACAUCUGCAAUCAAACAGUAACGAGGGAAGAAUGAUUGCAGAUGUAGAUUAUAUAUAUAAAAGAACUCCUCAGUUUGUUUGAUUUAUAUAAAAGAAUUACACCUUUUUCGAAUGCCUAAAAGAGGAAUCACGAAAGAUAGCUUUUUUCAGUGUCAAUAUAAAAUAAUUACGCUUUUACAAAUGCCUAAAAGAAAAAUCAUGAAAGAUCAGCAUUUUUCAGUGUCUGUUUGUCCCGCUCGCACUGGCGCGCGCGCGUGUUACAGUAUUCAACAAAUUUCAUAGAAAUAUAAAAGAAAAAUCAUGAAUUAUCAGCUUUUCUUAGGGGCUGUUGUUACACCAUUCCCGCUAGCAGUGGUGUGUAUUUACGCUCUCCAAAUAGUAACCUUUCGAUUAACAUACUUUGACCAUGGAGGGUUGAGAUUUUGCUCGCCACUAUUCGCAGAAUGCACCUCACACCCAACCAUCCUUGUCUUGACCCGAUGCUCCAAGUUUUGCCACGUUUUUCCUUUACAUGACCACAUCUGAACCGUUGGAUCGUGCAUAAACUAUUCCGGGACGCGCAUUAGCGACUCCAGGACCAACUUUCCACUUCAGACACACACAAUUUCCCUUUCACUCCCAUGAGUGUCGUACGCAAUAUUUACUUGGCCACGACUCCCUCCCAAAAUCCAAGAAACCCUAGCAUUCAGCUCAGGCCUCAAAAUGAGAAAUAACCCAUAUCAGCUGCACUCUGUGUUCUGGGAUGAGGAUGCAAACCUCGUUCGCUUCAAGUACCCUCUUCCAAUAGGGACGAACCAAGAGGAUGUGACGAUUGAGGUUGACGAAGAUGGGAAUUUGCUUACAAUGAAAAGCAAGGUGGUAAGUUCACAUAAUGAUCCUCUCUCUUCAGCUUUUAACUCGAUGGUCAUAUCCGGAUCUUCUCUCUUAAGCUUCCUGAGGAAAAACGAAGGAGACCCCGCCACCCCGAUAAUCUCGAUGAAAUUCAAGUUGCCAGCGGGUCUUAACCUGAAUGGCUUCAAGACUGCAAUGGAUGAUGCCGGCGUUCUAACUGUUACCUUCACUAAACUCAAGCCAGAGAAGAAAAAGCUGGUGUCAGUAGCAAAGAAGAUGCUGGGAUGUUUGGCUCAUGCUGUGCCUGCUGCUUGUUUUCUGAUGUGUGAGAAGAUAUGUGAUGCGAUUUGUUCAGGAGACUAAUAAUAAGCUGGUCUCAAAUAGGUAUUUGCUUUGUGUUCAUGUAUGUUGCUUCUGUCGUUUAUCUGCUAGUGUCUGACAUAAAGUCUGGACUCUGUGAGUCUAGACCAUGUGUUCACUAAUUACUGUUGCGGUAUCUAAAUGUGGAGUGAAAAAUAAAUGCUUUUUUUAAAUGUUUGUUUUGCUUUUUUUUUUUUAACGUAUGCAAUAAGAUAUCCCUACUAUAGAAUCUGCAAGAUAGCAAGAUCUCUCUUUUUUUCUUUUUCUUUUUUUAAAUUGUUAGCGUUGGAAAUUUUCUUUAAGUGAAAUAGAAGAUCUUGUCUAAUAAAAAUGAUGAUGGCUGUAUCUCCUUUUUUUUCAGAGAAAUAGAAGAACUUUAUCUAAUAAAAAUGAUAAGUAUUGAGUGAAAAAUAAAUGCUUUUUUUAUUAGUGUUGAAUGAAAAAGAAAUGUUUGUUUUCCUGUUUCCGGCCGCCUCCCGCAUCACCCCUCACCGCUGAUCACUACCCAACCAGCCGGAAGCCCCUUUGCUAACCGUUACCGCCCCAAAACGUAAAUCCAAGUUCACGGCUUCCCCAUUAAAAUCUAGCCGCCAUCUCCUCCACCACCGUUGGUGGUGUUUUACAGCCGCUUGAACCGUCCUCUGUCACCUCACAGCCACUGUCCAGCCACAUGGUUCACUAAACCCCGUUGACCACGCAUCUCCCUUCAACGCGUGUCCGUCCAAAGCGACACAAUAAAGCCUAGUUCGUUGCCAUCUUCCCGUGGCGCCACCACUCUUCAUGCCAUUGCUGAACCUGAUGUGCUGCCGGUGGUUCACUCUACAUCAUCCCAACAGCCGCCGCUUAGCCUCCCACUGCUGCUUUUGGCCUUCUGACUCCGAAAGCCUCCUACAAUCCAAAUCCGACUCUUCACCAAACCCUAGCUCGCUUUCUCUUGGCCAAACACAGACCCUAGCGGCUGCCCUCUUUCUUUGGCCGCUCACUCCUUCACCGGUGAUGUUGGCUGCCCUCCUUUGUUUCCCUCACAGCCUCCGCACAGCCAACAAACAUCCACCUCCCAACUUGGCGGCCAUGAUUCACGCUUCCUGCCUUCAACUAGACUACAACAGCGGAGAAGGUGAUAACUGGUAUAAGAAUAUGAAUCUCUUUUGCUUAUUUGGUUUUGUUUUGCACAUAAAAGUCUAUAUUUUAUGAUUGAUAAUUUAUAUCAAAUUAAAAAAAAAAAUCUGUGACACAACCUUUAUUUCCCUAUAUAUGGAUAUGUAAAUAUGAAUUAGAAAAUUUUGUUCUUUUCAGUUUGAAAUAUCAGACAAAUUUCAAUCAUAAGCUUCAAGCUUGAUUAUCCAUAUAUAAUUAAUGUAAUUGGUCUAUGCAGAUUAAUUGCAGAUAUUUACUUAGUUAGGAAGUAAUGGAGUUUAUCCUGAGGAGUUUGCUUUUUGAAUUACUCUUAUUUAUUAAUUCUCUUGCUUUAUAGCUAGAAUUAUUAGAUUGGAGUCCGCAUAUCCCGCCACCAAAAUAGGACUCCGCUCGAGUUAUCCAGGCUUGUGAAACUUGAAUUUUGUGUUUCAAAGUUUCGUGCUGAGUUAGCCAACCACGCCCAUGUAAGUAUUAUUCAUUACUACUAUUAUCAUUAUUGCAUGUAAAUUUUGCACCACCGUAUUAUGACUACAAUUCCUGCAAUGUAAUUAGCUUGUUUAUACAUGCCGCAUAAAUAUUGAAAUGGAGUUAGGUGUAAGCAAGCAUCUUAUCAAGGCACAAAUGAACUUAAAUUCAAAUAUGGCAUUAACAUUGUGACAUGGUGUAUGGAUACAAGCUUACCCUUUGUUCUAGAUCUCUUUUGUUAAUUUUUUUUUUCCAUUGUAACGAAAAUGAUGUUUCCGAUUUUUGUACUGGACUACGAACGUAAUUAUAGUUGCUAUGGCCUUGUAGGCACGGUUGGCAGAUUUGGUAGUUUUUAAGCCAACAAAAAAAAAAUCAAAAUUACAUAAAUUAGAUAACUCAAAUUAUUAACGGCAAUAUUGUCAUAACACCUGCAUAAUAUUUCAUUUUCAUGGAUGUCUAAGGUUUGUAAAAUAACUUACAUUGAUGAGGGUCAAUAAGAACUUUUUCUUGUAAAAUAAUUUAAAAAACUUAAACUAUGAGUGUAUCGGAUAGGAAAAUUCUAUAAUGUCGUAAUGAUAAUUACGGUAUCAAUACAGUGACAAACAUAAACAUUGUAAAUUACACAUAAAAUUACUAAAUAUAAAGUAAAACUAGUAAAUUCAUACAAGAUUAUUAAUUAUUUAAAAAAUUAACAUCGUUUCUGUAGAGUUUUAGUGAAAACUAUUUUAUUCAUUUACAAAAAAAUAUUUUCUUUAAUAAAAAAAAUACUCAUUAAUUAAACAAAAAACUGUACUGAAAAAAGUGGAAUAUGUUUUAUUGAAUUUGUUUAACCAUUAAUUCUAUAUUUAUUCUAGGACAUUUGUAUACUCUUUUCCUCCCAUUUUCUAAAAUAAUAUCUAUUUAUUACAUAAGUGAAUCAAGCACAAUUAUUUAUCAUGAUAUGGAUCAAGCAAAACAAAAUUAAAAAAAAAUCUUAUAUUUCUAGACACAUAUACAAUAUAUUAAUGAAAUUAUAUCUAAUUUUGAGCCUUAUACAUACUUCAUGUAGUUUCCAACUUUUUAUCUAUACUUAGAGACCAUUUAGGAUUGUUCUUGAGGAAGUGUAGAAAGAUACAAAAUAACCUCAUUUUUACAACAACUAUGAAAGAUAUUGAAAUAAUUUUUUUUUUAAAUCCAAUUUUGAGAAUAAAUUCAUCCUUAAUAAAAUAUCACAUGUAUUACAUAAAUGUAAAACUAUCAUUAUUCAAUUUAAAUUAAAAAAAAUAUAAGGUAAUAAACAUUGUAAUGAGUUUUUAUUUUACAAUUGUGAAAUUUUUUUGUAAUAACUCUUAUAUCAAUUUAUUUAUUUUACGUUUUAUUCAUAAGUUUUAGGCGUAAUCUAUAAAAUUUAUGUUUUAUUUUGCACUUAAUGUUGAUUUACUUGUUUUAUGUUAUAUUUGUAAGUUUUCGUUUAAUUUAUCAAUAAUACAUUAAAUUACCAGCUUUAUAGUAAUUUACUUGUUUUACCUUCCUUUUACAAGUCUUGUGUUCUAUUUCCAAAAUUUAUAUUUUAUUUUUUAGUUAGUGUUGAUUUACUAGUUUUAUGUUCUAUUUACAAGUUUUUGUUUUGUUUAGCAUUAAUACAUUAAUUUACUAGUUUUAUAUUAAUAUAUUUGUUUUACCUUCCAUUUACAGGUUUUAUGUUCUAUUUUUAAAAUUUAUGUUUUAUUUUGCGCUUAAUGUUGAUUUACUAGUUUUAUGUUAUAUUUCUGAUUUUUUGUUUUAUUUACUAGUAGUACAUCAAUUUACCAGUUUUGUAGUAAUUUACUUAUUUUACCUUUUCUUUACAAGUCUUUUGUGUCAUUUCCAAAAUUUAUGUUUUAUUUUACAGUAAAUGUUUGAUUUACUAGUUUUACGUUAUAUUUGCAAGUUUUUGUUUUGUUUUCUAGUAGUACAUCAAUUUACUAGUUUUAUAUUAAUUUACUUGUUUUAUCUUUUAUUUACAAAUCUUAUAUUUAAUUUUUAAAAAUUAUGUUUUAUUUUACACUUAAUGUUGAUUUAUGCAUUUUAUGUUAUAUUUGCAAGUUUUUGUUUUAUUUACUAAUAAUACAUCAAUUUAUCGGUUUUGUAUUAAUUUACUCACUUUACCUUUCAUUUACAAGUCUUAUGUUUAAUUUCUAAAAUUUAUGAUUUAUUUUACAAUUAAUGUUAAUUUACAAGUUUUAUGUUUUAUUUACAUAAUUUAUAUUCAAUUACGGUAUUGAUACCGUAACUUUAUUCACGACAUCAUAGAAUGACCCAAAAUAUAAAGAAAAUAUUUUGAAAUUUAAAGGGUUUAUAACCCAUAUUAAUUGGGAUUCAAAUUGAGACUUAGAUGAUGGGAUACCUCAUAUUGCUCAUUUAUACUUACACAUCCUUUCUAUGGCUAUUGUGUAUACAAAAUAAUGCAGAGAGAGAGAGAGAGAGAGAUUGAGAAGGAAUACAAAUAAUAUCUAAGUUUCAAAAAGUCAAAAAUAAUAAUAAAACUAUGGUAAUAUAUCCAUGAUGAAGAACUCAAAAAAAAAAAAGAUAAGAUAAUUAAAGCAUUAAAAUAUGUUCUUAACAAAGUGGGGAAAAUACUGUGUGAAAGGGGGAAAAAACAUUUGUAUAUGUUACAAGAAAGACAAAAAACUAUAAUUUUUUUGUAAUGUAUUUAUUAUUAACUUACAAAUUCAUUGAAACUCAAAAUCAAGAUUUGAGAUCACCGAAAGACUCUUUAAAUGAGAUUUUAUAUCUCAUUUGAAGAGUCACAUAAUAAAUGAGAUUCUUCAAAUAAAAUUGUCGUUCUCUCUCUUCAAUAUUAAAGAGAAAGAAGCACUAUCUAAUUUGAAGAAUAUUAUUUCAAAGUGUUUUAGAGCCUCUAAUUUAGUAUUAAAUUAGUUUUUAUCUCAUUAUUGUUGAAGAGAGAGAAGUGUUAUAAUUGCCACUAUUUUAGUAAAUUAAAAAAUUUGAUUAAAACAAAAUAAAUUUAUUUUUAUUUAAAGAGUUUUGUCGGAGAGGUUUUAUUUUUUCACUCUUCUAUUUGUCAAAUGGAUAAAUAAAUAAAUAUUUAAAGAGUAAAUUAAAAAUUUAUUUUGGUGAUGCUUUAAGAAGACGACUCUUUAGAUGGAAUUAAUUAGUCCUCGGCUUAAAAAUAUAAAAAAAGAAUAAAGUUUAUGCUUGUCCAAAAAAACAAAACUGUCGAUCUAGUAACCUUCAAUAUUUUUGGACGGUUUGAAUUGAACAUAAGCUUCCAGAGAUUUCUUCUCAACAAGUGGAUAUGUGUGCUCGCGCAGUCGCACUACUUAAUUUGACCCCCCACCAACCGGCUGCUAGUUUUCUCCAUGCCACAUCCCAUUACACGCAUUGAGUUUGCAAUUUUGAGGUUUAAUUUAGCCGAAAAAAUGGUAGCCUGAUAUGAUUUGCGCCUAAUUCCUUGUCUAAAUUAUUUUAAUUACCUAAUUAAUAGUCGCUUGAUAUGAUUCAUGUGGGAACAGGCUCUCUUUCGAUGAUGUGACUAAGAUGACAUAGCCCGGGCAACGUCACUCGGAUUUGCAUAUGGUUAUGGUGGGGCAAAGCCUUUUUGACAAUCUGUGUCCAGAAAAGAAACUAGAUGCCGAAAGAAAUAAUACACGUGGUACCCCAUUAAUAAUUAAUAUAAUCCAUGUAGGUUCAAAACGUCAGGUCACACGUCACAACUUUUCGUUUUCUUACCUGUCUUUUCAGAUCGGUUGGCAAAAUCCGGAUGUAGGCCUAUUCGGAUCCGUAUUCAUAUUUUUGUACUCGUAUAUGCAUUUGUAUUUGUAAAAUAAGAUGUAAAUCCGGAUAUAGGUAAUAUCCGCAACGGAUGCGAGUGGAUAUUCCGAAUAUCCGGAUCUGUAAAAAUUAAAAUUUAAUAAUUUAAUAUAUAAUUUAAAAUUUUAAUAAUUUACUUAAUAAUAUCAAAUAAAAUCUAAUCAUAAUUUAACAAUUAAUAACUCAAAGUGAAUAACAUACAAUAAUCUUAUAAAUCUACAAAUAAAAGUUUAUUUUCAAUACAUAUUUUUAAUUUAAUUUUUACUUUAAAAUAAAAUUCAAUAAUUUACCUAAUAAUAUCAAAUAAAAUCCAAUCAUAAUUCAACAAUUAAUAAUUCAACAUGAAUAACAUACAAUAAUCUUAUAAAUCUACAAAUAAAAGUUAAUUUUUAAUUUAAUUUUCAAUAUAUAUUUUUAAUUUCAUUUCAUUUUAAAAUAAAAUUCAAUAAUUUACCUAAUAAUAUCAAAUAAAAUUCAAUCAUAAUCCAACAAUUAAUAAUUCAGCAUGAAUAAUAUAACAACAUCAUAAAUCCACAAAUAAAAUUUAUUUUUAUUUUUCAUUUAAUUUUUAAUAUAUAUUUUUAAUUUAAAAUAAAAUUUAUCCCGAUCCGGAUCCAUACGGUUCCCAAAUUUUCAUAUUCGGAUCUGCAUUUUUUAAUAUAUGGAUCUAGAUUUUUCCGGAUCUAGAUCUUCCGGAUCCUUACAAAUCUGAGCUGGAUCCGAAUUUAAUUGUCACCCCCAUAUCAUAUUUUGGCUAGGUCAUAUUUUGGUAAUUGCGGUUCGAUGUUCUUGCUUAACUUUUUAAGGAUUUUAUUAGACCUAUCUACAUUAGUUAUUAAUGGCUAAAUUUGUUAUCCUUGUAUUUGUUUUUUUAUUGAAUUUUAUUAAUGUAAUUUAAUUAUUUUUUUUAUUUUCUAGGGUUAAAUUGGUAAUUUAAUUAUUUUCUUUUUAUUAAUGUCCAAACAAAAAAAUUAUUAUAAAAGGGUAAUAUUGUAAAAGUAAGCUAAAAGAAAUAAAAAGUAACGGUAGGAGUAUCAAUAUUUUAACGGCAGGGAUGUUUCGAGAUAUUUUUAAAAAUAUAGGGAUUAAAUAGAUACUAAUCUUAAAAUACAUGGACUAAAUGAACUUUUACCCCAUUUUUUUCGUUGAUUAAAAUGCCUAUAACAACAAUUAAUUCAGAAAAUUUAAUUGAUUUAUCCUACAAACUGAGACUGGGCAUGGAGUUUGAUUAAGAAGAAGUAGCAUGUGAAUUCUAUAAUAAGCAUACUGAUGAGAUUAAGGAUAAAACUAUCACAAGCACAUGGAAUGAGGCAUAUUUAGAUCCUAUUCAAGUUUCCGUUGGACCUGUUACAAGAGCUCGAGCAAAUAAAUUCAAAGAAGUGUUUAAUGGAUUGAUUCACGCAACUUGGACUCAAUCUAAUUCGUAGAGACCCAUUGAAGGACUCGCACAUGAUAAAUGCAUGAUUCAGGCUCUUGAAGUUUCCAAAUAGUCACUUCCAUGUAAUAGGGAGUUGGCUUAAACAUUAUGACGGGAAAAUAUAUUAUUUUCUUUUUUCAGAUACUUUCUUGUUUCUUGAGGAGACUAUUAGGGAAUCAAAUUAGUUAUUUCUAUUUUAAUCACCCAGUUUCCAUUUAAUUGAUGUAAGACAUUUAAGAAAAUUAGGAUCUCGAUUUAGUUUAAAUUCUUUCCUAUUUACUUAGAUUAGGAUUCUGAUUUGAUUUAAAUUCUUUCCUAUUAGGGAAGAUUUAGAUUUGAUUUUUGGGUUAGGAUUUAUUUCCAAAAAUUCUUGUAACCAACCCUAUAUAAAGUACUCAUAUUCAAUAAACAGAGAAGAAGUUUUUGAUGCAAUUGCUGAGAGAGUUAAUUCUCUUUGGUUCUUUACGAACUCUUUGAACUUAUCGGAUUUCUGUGGCAUUCAAAUUCUUGACUUGUCAAUCAGACCAUCCAUAAUUGAUUGUGGUGUCUUCACAUACCAAGGUUCGUGCUUUCAAUAAGCAUUGGGUCGAGGUUUCAUUCCAUUUCUGGUUUAGAUUCGAUCUUGGGAAGUAAAUUGAUUAGGAUCGCGUCAGUUCUUGACGGGGUUCGUAUCACAUACCUUAAGUAUGGGCUUUAGUAUUAGAAAAGAUACCCAUGCUAAUAAUAAGUGUACUAGUGAAAUUACAUCCAAAGUAUGUGUUUGUUGCAAACAAGGUUAUCGAUCGAAAGCCAAACAUAUCUUCCAAAAGUAAAGUAUAGAGCAAAUACAAGAGCCAUGUAUCAUGCUGGAUUAUUUAUCAAGCAAAAAGGAAGAAGAAUAAUUGAUUUGUUAAUCAAUUUAUUGAAUCUCAUAACCAUCCGCUUGUAAUGCAAGAGUGUGACCACAUACUACAUUCUCAAAGAUAAAUAAUUGCUUCGCUAGCAAUUGAAGUAGACUUGGCAGAAGAAUCCAGGAUUUCACUUAAAUAUGCAUAUAGUUAAUGGGCAGGCAAGUGGGAGGGCGAGAGCCUCUUGUAUACACAAAAUUAGAUCAAAAGAACUAUCUUAGAACAAAAAGAUAGAAAGAUUUAGCUUAUGGAGAAGUAAAGCAUUUAUUGAAAUAUUUUUCUGAUGAAACUUUAAAAAAUCCAUCAUUUUUCUACUCUAUACAGCUAGACAAUGAGAAAUAAGUCACAAAUAUAUUUUGUGCAGAUUCUAAGAGUAUUAUUAAUUAUGGCCAAUUUGGAGAUGUUUUAAGUUUUAAUACAACUUACAAAGUAAAUAAAGAAAAUCGACCAUUUGCAACUUUUGUUCGAUUUAAUCAUCAUCGAGUGACAGUUAUAUUUGGGGUAGCUUUGAUGUAUGAUGAGACUAAUGAUUUAUUUAUAUUCGAUUUGAAGGCAAUGUCUGCGAAAUCACCAAAAAUGAUCUUCACUUAUCAAGAUGCUGUGAUGACUAAAGCUAUUUCUCAUGUAAUGCCUAAUACUACAUGGCAUAUAAUGCAAAAUGCCUUGAAGCAUGUAAAUUAUGUUUUUAAAGGUCCUCGAAGGGUAAAAAGUGCAUUAUCUACAUUCAUGGAAUCCAUUGAAGAGAAAGUUUAGUUUUCGAGUGCUUGGAAUGCAAUGCUAGAGGAAUACGAUGUGUAUGAUAAUAAUUUGUUGAAAAGUGUAUUUGAGUUAAAGGGAGAAAUGGGCUUAUGCAUGUAAGGCAAGCAUGGUUAGAUAGAAUCAAUAGUAAUCAACUUAGUGAGAGUUUUAAUACUAUAACAUAAAAGAUUACCUCAAGUGAGACCUCAAUGUAGCAUAAUUUCUUAUGCAUUUCGAGAGGGUAAUUAAUGAUAAAAAGUACAAGAAGUUGGAAGCAGAGUACGAUUUAUGCUAUAGGCUAGUUUUAUUUUUAAAGAUUAACUGAAGAAAAUUAUUAUGACUAAUGCAUUUGCUGUUGCAGUGUGGUAUUCAAGAUAAGUUUCAGCACUUAUUUCACUUUAUGCUUUUUAUAUUUUAAUUGAUGAGUAAAUUGAUUUAAAGUUUUGUUUGCUUGAGUUCAUAUAUUAUAUAGAUUGACGGAUGCAAAAUUUUAUGUAGUCUUUUAAACUUCAUUAGCCAAGACAUUUAUUUUAGAGUGGAAGACAUUCUUACAUUUGAUGCAUCCAUGAAAUUUCACAUUUUAUUGUUUUCAACGAGCACAACUCGGCUCAAUUGAAAGCUAUCUCAGAAACAGAACAAACUUUAUACAGAAAUUGAACUUCAGAUGCUAAUAAACAUCUAAAAUAGUUUUGUUACUUGAUUAUAAUCGAAGACAAUAAAAAAUAUUGUAUUUUCCCUUCAUCAUAAUAAUAAUAAUAAGUAUUACGUAAAAUAUGAAGGGUAAGAAUGACAUGAUAAACGUGGCAUCUGCAUAACAUCCCUAACAAGCCAAACAUGGCAUGUAUUCUAUAAAAUCUUUUUCUUUUUCCUUUUUUCUUCUGCCCUUCUUCUAUUUUAGCUUCCAUGUAUUGGGAAUUGGUUGUUAUUGAUUUGGUGAAAAUGGAAUUUGCAUUAUUUGGAUCCUAAAAGGGGCAAUCAGGAUCCUGAUUCAUUUUUCAGAUUUCUUCAAAAAGAAUAUUUUGGUUAAAGAGUGCAGAGUAGGCCACCAUUAAAGUAUUUUGCAGAUUUCUUUUUUUUUUAGGGAUCCCACAUCGACUAGGUGGCCAAUCACUCCGUUUUUUCUUCACCUCCAAAAUACAUUGGUGUUAAAGGGAUGUGCUCUAUUGCUGACCUUUUAUUGGCCCCGGUAACAUAUCUUUUUUCUUUUUUUUUCCCCUUUUAUGUUCUUUUGUUGUUGAUUCUAUCACGCUUCUUUGAUUAAAAAAUGGGGAAGUUGUCUAAUUAAGUCACAAUGGUAAGAAUCUGCAGUAUUAUUUUGAAGUUUGCUAGUGUUGAAACUUGGCUCCCAAAAUCAUUAUAGUUUUGGGGUUGGACUAGAGAAGGAAGAUAAGAGUAUAUCAAACUAAAACCACAAUUACAUGAUCACAUUAUAUCAGUUUGCUUAGGCUAUAUGGGCUGACUUAAUGAAAUAGUGACGAUAAUGAUCGUAACUGAGGAAAAGAAGAACAAGCAUGAACAUCUGCAUAAGAGUAUCUCAGAGUGAUGCUCCUCAAUGUUGGACCUUCUCAGCACUGCAGCUUAUGGAAAACGAAACAAGGUUCCACAGGUCAGUUCGUUAUAAAUGUGUGUCUUGUUUAAAUUACUUGCUCACACCGUGACACAUGAUUAUAUGCUAGUGUUGGCACACUUUUCAACCAAUUGCCUAGACAUCUAUUUGAAUCUAUUCAUGCUUCAGCUUGAAUUCCAAGCUAUUGAAACAAGGCUGCAAUAAGCUCAGUCUUUUUGUGCGUAUUUAUUUUCCCUUUUAUACUUGAAUCAAUAUGACAUUUCAAUUUUACAGCAAACUUUGGUGCUGUGUAGAUACAUAUAUGUUGCAAUUUAGGCUUUCUGCAAGAUUUUUUAUGAUUGAUUUUAUCUUUUAUUAGGAAAAUAUCCCAACGGCAACAGCAGAGAAGGUGAAAACGGGUAUGCUCGAGGGUGUUGAAGCUGCACUUGGCCUACCAAAAAGUUCACUUCAGAAGCCCGUUUAUACUCAAGUCCAAUUAUGGCAAGACUCCACUUUUACGGACAUGACCUUGUAAUUUCAUUAUUACCAUGUCCCUUUGGAUCAUUGUGACCUACUUGGGCUGUAACUAUUUGCCGUUGGCGUUGCUUUAGAAUAAGUGGUUGAUUUGGACAAGCUUAACGAGUUAUUGGGCGGACUUGUGUAUACUCCUGGGUCUAUUUUCCUGUUAUGCUCAUUUGAAAAAACAAGAUGGAACAUGUCAUUCCAAUUCAUUAACUUGAGAAUUUCAUAAUUAAGAAAAUAGUUCCUCUCUGAUGAAUUUGGAACUUAUUCUUUUUUUUUUUGGUUAGGGGGGGGGGUUUGUGGGGGGGGGGGGGGGGGGGGCGGGGGCGGGCAUGUGUAGGGGUGCAGCUCUUCCAACUAAUACUCCAAGCAUCCCAUGUAUCUUUGAUCCUUAUGGAAGGGCCGGUAUACGUGGCGAUUGGCUGUUGGGUUCAAGUGUAGAGUCAGCUGCCUUAGAUCGUGUAAGCAAGAAUAUGAUUUGUUUUUGCUUAUUUGGUUUUAUUUUGUGCAUAUAACUAUAUAUUUUAUGAUUGACAUAAAAUAAAUAAAUCUAAGACAACCUUUCUAUCCCUAUGACCCUAUAGGGACAUCUAGAUAUAAAUUUGAAGAUUGGCUUCAAUCAGAUUGAAAUAUCAGACAAGUUUCAACAACAUAAGCUCGACGCUUGAUUAUUCUUAUAUAAAUAAUGUAAUUGGUCAAUGUAGAUUGCAGACUAUUUAGGAAGUGGUGGAGUUUGUCCUGAGGAAUUUGCUGUCGGUUUACACAAUGAGUUUCAGCCACUCGAAGGAUAUGAUAUUGGACAAUUUGCAGGUUUGGAGUCCAUGGAAAAAGAGGAAGUUCAAGCAUAUCAGCUUACUUCUUGAAUCCCUAAAGCAGGCCAUGAAAAUUUCUAGAGUUUAUCAAGGUAUGCUUCUAUUGAUACACUGUUUAUGGCUUUCUGUUUUUCACUUGGGUUACAGUCAUGUUAAUUCUCUUGUUUUAUAGCUAGGAUAAAGAAGUUUAUUCACAAGGUGCAGUUAUCGUCACAGUUGCUAAGCAAGUAUCCUGAAGUUCUUUUUGUGAUACCAUCCAUUACGAAACAUAAUGAGUAAAGAUUCAGAGUAAAGGGAUUCUUCCGGCAGCUAAAUCUUUACAGAAAACUAGUUUUCAGUAGCAUAGAUGACAGGAAUCGUGAUAUUUCCCCGGCUUUCAUGGAAGAAAAAAUUCUAAUAACCGAAACUCUUUUCAGUUCUCUACAUAUCAGUUUGAAUAUGAAGCCAAAUAUCAGAUGCAGAUUUACGGACUUCUUUCUGAGCGACAAAGUUCAAUGCUACCAGUUGCAUUGGGUUCAAGUGAUCAGAGCUGCAUCCAGCUCAAGUACGCAUAACAGAGUAUGGAAAAUAUCAAAACUUACCAUUAAAAAUUCUCAAGUCCCAGAUUUGACCUGUAGUCACAUUCAAGUUUAUAAAUGACUACUGGUACAUGAGACAGCAAUAUUAUUCAGUUCCAGGAAAGUUGCAUGCAGAGGAUUUGAGUUUCAUUUUUAACGGAACGGUCUUGAGCUGCAUUAUGAAUUUUUUUAAUAGUUAAUGAAGUUAGCAUUACUUAUUGCAGGACAAGAAAGAAAGAUUAAUUCUCCGUUGGAAAAGCAUUGGAGCAAGCUUCUCAUGCUCUUAAUCAGCCCCCCAGUCACUCAUCAUGUUAUCUUUUCCAAACUUAUUCGCGUGUUGAUAAAAUUAUUUCUUGGUUAUAUAAUCUGGAUAAAUAGCUGUUUAUUGGCAACACAAGCAACAAAACCGCACAAAUUAAUUCCAACAAAAAUAAUAUUUUUACACUUGAGGUACUUGGAUGAGAGAAGAGGGUUAAUUAGAUGCUUGCUUUCUGCACCGCGGGCAUGAGUGAAAUGAGCACAGGCAAUUGAACGAGCUGUUACACAGAGUCACAGACUAUCCGGCUGAAGAAAUCGAAAACUCUUCGGCAUUCGUCUGCAAGCCUUAAAGCCAUCCGAAAACCAUUGUGCUUCUGCUAAAUUAACUUGAUAGCUAGCAACCAAAACAAGAAGAAGAACCCAGCGCAUUUGCAGUUUCUAGUUUUUCAUGCUUGCCAUCUUUUCUUUCUUGUGAUUGAAAGGAUGUAAGAUUUAUUUAAAGGGUCUUUAUCUUAAUAUGCAAUUAAUGGUUUGAAAACAGAUUAUAUGCUAUUACAUUAUUACGAGUUAAUUUUUCUGAUAACGAUUGUCUGAAUAGGAUUCCUGUCGUAGUAUAAUUAUUAAACUUGAUUUUACCGGCAAUAAAGUUUCAUAUUUAUCAAUUACUUUCAACUUUUAAUUCAUUGCAAUUGUAACUUAAUUUUAAGCAACAGCACUCUAAAUAAAUCUUUAGCAAUUAAUGAUCUCUUUAACCUUGAAAUAUUAAUAACAAAAUUACUCACCGUUGGUCACUAUGAACCACUACGAACCGCCAUCUACAUUCAUAUUUUGGUAACUUUUGACGUCAAUUUUAUACCAUGAUAAUCUUUACUAGUGGAUCUCAACAAUUGCAUGUAUCACCAGCAAUAAAGUUUCUUGUCAUUUUAAAUACAUGAAUAAAGUAUCAUGUGUAUCACAUUUAGCCACGUUGGGGAGCAUUCUUGUCUUGUUGGGGAGCAUUCUUGAUCUUUUCAUUGCAUUGAUCCGAUGUUCCACAUUGAGCCACGUUUCCGCUUUUACUCAACCAAAGUUGUUGACCACAUCCGAAUUAGGGGUGGUAAAAAUUACACGCCCGAUCCGAAUCCGGACUGCAUUCAGAUGUUGUGGGCCGGGUAAUGAAGGCGAGUCAAUUUUGAGCAUUAUUUGAUAAACCUGAGACGCGGCCCAUAACUCGAAUUUUAUUAAAAAAUUAUAAAAUAUAUAUAUUAUUUUAAAUAUUUAUAUUUAUUUGACUCAUCUAUUAAACAUAUUUAAAGUUUUAAACAUUUAAAAUUUAUUUUCUUGUCAAAUUUUAUUGAAAUGAAUUUAAAACUUAUAAGAUUACAAAAAAAAAACUACACAUAUAUAAUAUUAAAAAACAAAUAAAAUUGUCGAAUAAAAUUCAAAUUUUGAAUAAAUAAAAUUUACGGAGUUGAAAAUAAGAGGUUUCGGUCACACUAAUUUAAAUGGGGAGGAUAUUAAGUUCAGGCUAAUUAAUAAUUAAAAAAUUCAUAAUAAAAAAAAGUAAAAUAUUCCCAAUCUGUUUGAUCAACAAGGAUAGAAAAUGAUGAUUGGGCUAAAUAAUAAUUAAAAAAUUCAUAAUAAAAAAAUCAAAAAGAAAAUAAAAAUAAUCCGAAUCUGUUUGAUGAACGAGGAUAGAGAAGGAUGAUUGUUUUAUGAGUAGAUUUGGCUGGGACAGUUUGGUUAUUGACUUUGUCAAGUGUUGAUUGGAUGCUCAUCUAGUGGUCCCCAAAACGUGAUUGAAUUAUUGUUACUACGGUUGGCAAAACGCGGGUCCGGGCAUUGAAAUACCCAGACCCCACCCGACUGUAAUUUUUAGAUGUCCGGUUUGGGUUUUUUAAGCCUGGCAUCGGGCCGGAUUUUAAUCAUUUAGCUGGAUUUUGAAUUUUUUAAUAUUAUAUAUGUAUAAUUUUUUUUGUAAUUUUAUAAGUUUUAAAUUUAUUUUAAUAAAAUUUGAUAUGAAAAUAUAAAUUUUAAGUGUUUAAAACUUUAGAUAUAUAUAAUAGAUGAGUUAAAUAAAUAUAAAUAUUUAAAUUAAUAUAUGUUUUAUAAUAUUUUUUAAUAAAAUCUGGAUUUUAAAUCGGGUUAUAAGUUUAUCAAGUGAUGUCUAAGAUCGAUCCGACUUCAUAUCCGGAUCAGGUAUUAUAACACCCGAGUGUAGUUUGGGUCCGAAUCGGACGGAUAUUUUUACAACCCCUAACUGUUAUCUUCUUUCGUUUUCGUUUCCACGUUUCAAGAUUUUCUAAUUAUUUAAUUAUGCUAUUUUCUUGUAAUAACUAAUAUGGUACACACACCACACAAGCAAUCCCAUUAAUUACAACUUUCUCAUCUUAUUUGAAUAAUUAAGAUGUCUUUUUGUGUGCACAUGGUCCUUAAGAUGAUUACGUUGUGGGGGAAAAUUGUGAUAAAAUUUUGGGGUAAUACCUAUCUUACAUUUAAUGUAAGAUGCAUCCUCACACAUAAACAGUGUAUAUAUGGGUAUAUAUUAUAUGUUCAUGUGUGAGGAUGUAUCUUACAUUAAAUGUAAGAUAGGGGAUCCAAAUUUUCGACAAUUAGACUUCGUUUUUUCAGACUGCCGAAAAUUGCGGCUAUGUGUUCACACUUUAUUAAUUUAGUUUAACAUGCAAAGUUUUUGGGUUGCGUGACACUGGAGACAAUUUAUAUUUAAUAGCUGGUUAGACAUUUUGCUUGAUAUUAUUUGGACUCGUAGGGGUGUUGAAAUUUUUGUUCAUAAUUUUAUAAUUCAGAUCUUACUGUAAUAAGAUAGCAAUUUUUAUUGUGGGUCAGAUUCUCUUAAUUGAUAUUUAGUUAAAAUAUCUCAAUAAUCCCUAUUGGUUAAGUAUUUUUAAAUUCAUAUGCUUGAUUUUUAUUUUUUUAAUCUGUGAUUCAUAUGCUUUAUUUUAUUUUUUUAUAUUAAUAUUUAGGGCCUUGAUUUUAGUUUGUAAAGUUCAACUCUUUCAAUUUGUAUUUAAAAUUAUUGGAGGUGAAAAUUAAGUGUAAAUAUACAUUGAGCGUGUGUAUAAUUUAUUGGGAGUAUGAUAAUAAUUUAUCAAAGAUUUUGAGAAAAAUACAAUUAAAUAUUAAAAGAAUUUUUUUAUUUUCAACGGGGACAACUUCAGUCCCCACUAAUCCUUAAGUAAAUCAGAAUGGAUAAACUACAUUUAUGCACAUAUUAUUAAUUAGAGAGCUUUUAAGUUACAUUUAAUAUAACUUACACCACUCAUAUAAACAAUAACAUUUAACAUUCAAUAUGGGAUCUUAAAUUUAUAUGAGUGAUGUAAGCUACGUUAAAUAGAAACUUAGUAUUUGGCUAUUAAUUAAUUAUUGUGAAUAAUAUCAAUGAAAAUCUGAAAUCACACGUGCAAAUGAUUGCCGUCGAUUAAUGGUGAUGAUGACAUGAUUUGAGAGAUACAUCCAAUUUGCUUUUGACUGUUUGACCAUAAGCUUCAGACUUCUUUCUUCGGCCGCUUCUUCCAGCCGCUGUCUCCGUGUCACACUGACACAUCACAUUGCACGCGCAUUGAGUUGAAAAUAUGCAGUUUAAUUUUGUAUUUAGAAAAUAUUAAAUGUAUUGUUUACUUUUCAAACUACAUUGGUAAUCUUAAAAAGUAAUUUUGAGAUUGGGAGUAUAGACAGAAGUAGGAGCAUGUUAUUUAUUUAUAUUAGAGUGAGAAUGUAGAAUAGAUAUUAAAAUCUUAUUUAUAUAUUUAUUUUGUCUUAUAUUGAGAGUGAAUUAUUUCAAAUUAUAAUUUUAUCCUUAAUUAAAGAAUUGUAGUUUUCAAUUAUAAAGUGAAUAAAAAAUUUAUUUAUAAAAUAAAUCAUUUAUUUUAUUAUUAAUUUUAAUUAUAUAAAUUAAUAAUUAUUAUUAAUAACGUAAAUCACAUUUUCUAUUAAUUUUAAUUUUAAUUAUGUAAAUAAAAAAUUAUCAAUAAGGGUAAAACAUGAAACAUUAUUAAUUAAUAUUAUAGUACAAAAUUAUUAUUUUCUAAGAAUAAACUUUUAAUUAUUGUUAGUUAUUAACAUUAAAUAAAUAUAAUACUAUUAAAAUUAAAAAAUAUAUAGUAAUAUUAUUAAUUCUCUAUGAAUAUAACAAUAUUAUUUUUAAACAAUUUAACUUAGAUUAAGUAAAUUAUUAUUUUUAAAUAAAGUUAAUAAUAUUAUAUUUAAAUAAGUUUAAUAUUAUUAUUUUUAAUAAAUGUAAUACUAUUAAAUAAUAUUAUAAUAUUAUUAUUUAAACAAAUAUAAUAUUAUUAUUUUUAAGCAAUGGUAACAUUAUUUUAUUUUAAUAAAUAUAAUUAUAUAACAUUUAAUAAAGAAUGGGUAAAAAAAGAAGAGGUAAGAGUGAUAAUCUCUCUCCACACUCCAAAAAUAAGUGGGACCCACAGAGUUGAUUUCCCACUCUUACUUGAGCAAGUAAACACAACAUAAUAUUCUUUAUUAAUAUAUGUUAAUCAAUUUUAACAUAAUUGAAAAGGACCUAUUUGCAAGUAUGCUCUCCGAACUUCGUCUUGAAUAUUAGGAUCUAACUUUGAAAUUACCGUUUGUAAACUGGGAUCCCUUGGAAGAUCAUGCAAACUAAGUUUAACUUUUUACUUUUGAAGUGCCACUCAUUUUUCUUGAUGAGAUUGCAAUUGUUGAAUUCUUUCUUAAAUAUUUAUCCAUGAUUGUUCAAAGAAAUAUAUUUAUCGAAUAAGUAUGAUAUUUAUUGUUCAAGGAAAAUUUUCAACAUAAAUAAAAAGAAUAUACAUGAAAAUUACAGUUAUGGAACUAGACAAAAUAUUAUGGGCCUUCACUAAAACUUCAAGGCACAGUGUACUGAUCUUAAUAACUUAAUUUGUUUAUAAAUCUUUUAAUAAUGACAAAAAUUCAUAUAUGGCAACACAAAAAUCAAAUGUGAAUAUAAAAUAAAAUUAGGGGUUUUAAAAUGGAAAAAAUAAUGAAAUAAGAAAAAAAUUAGAAUUAAUAAACUUACAAUUUUAAAACAUCAAACCAUACAAAUGAAAAAAAGUGAGAAUAAAUGCACGCACAUGGUGAAGCGCACUGCUAAUUGCCUAAUAUGCUAUGGAGUCCACACUUUUUAUUCCAUGGAAGAGGUUUAAUUGAAUUUUUAAUGGAUUUCAUUUGAUAAAGGCAGUUCUCUUGUUGUCUUUAUUAAUUUUUAUGAAAUUAUAAUAGCUAAUCAGAUUAUUUAGAAUUAGACAUUGAAGUUAGCAUUAGCAUGAAUUUUUUUUAAAAAAUUAUGUGUGGCACUUUCAAAAUUUCGCAAUUCACCUGGGGAAUUUUAUAAAUAAUAACUCAAAUAUAUUUUUUAAGAUAACCAUAAAAAAAGAUAAGCCAGCUGGGCCUGUGCCCCAGCUACGUCCCCUGCUUGUAAUUGUCCUAUUUCCUUAAUGGAUGUAUCUUUUAAGCUUUGCAUUUAGCAUAUGAAGUUCGGCGAGAAAAAGUAAACGAUCAGGAGCUGGUCUUAAAAGCAUGUUGUUUAAGGAAUACAAUAUAAACAGAAAUCUUAUCUGAGACAAUUCAUAGAGCUUUCCUCCUUGAGUGAAGAAUAGUCAUUUAAACUGACAUUGUAUAGAUUUAGAGCAGAUCCUUAGAGUGAAUGUUUCCUUUCCAUUCGAUACCCUACACAUUUUAGAUUUCCUUCAAUAUAUUUUUUAUUAGAGACAAAUACACUAGUUUUUCAUACCACGUCGUGACAUUGUUCAUAGUAUACAUCUAAGAUGAGAUUUAUGUAGCUAGCAAUCGUGACACUUAGUGUACAUGUGUUGAGGUGUGAGCUCUGAAACUGGUUUCGAGAAACUCAUCCGACAUGUCAGAUCGUGAUUGGAAUAGAAUACGACUGGUCGGUUAAGGUCAUUCAAAGCCGUAUGACAAAGUUGUUUGUUCAUACAUCUGUGAGUAAGUGAAGCACGUGACCAUCACAUGUUUACACUUAACCAUACGACUUUGCCGAGUGCCGUUUUGGAGCCCUCACUUAACGUGAAUCAAACACGUGGCUCAGAGGCUGUUAUAUUCUGUUACAAGAAGCGGGAAAAAUCUGGGUUUUGGUUACAGAGGUUAGCUGACUGGUGGGAGGGAAUUCUGGACUCUCUUAAGCGUGUAUAUAUAGCCUUAAGAGAUAAGAAAUCAACGUGUGUGAUGCUUGUAACUUCAUCUAUAAUCUUGUAUCUUGUUCUUGGUGAUUGAAUAAAGAUUGUUGCUCUGUUCUUUAGUGGAUGUAAGCCAUCUCCAGGUUGAACCACUUAAAUAUGUUUUUCUUUGGUUGCUGUUCUUUAGCUUCUUUUGUGUGUCUUUCAUUGUUGCCUAAGCAUUUCUUAAUCAAGCAUCAGAGUGUUUAGAUAAAUCUUAGGGAAUCUUGGUUGAUUAAAUUCGAUCAAGGUAUAACAAAUUGGUAUCAGAGCCCAACAACUCUGAUCUUUGGUCCAAGAAAUGUCAACCUCUAAGUUUCAAGUAGAGAAAUUUACUGGAGAGAAUGACUUCCAUUUAUAGAGGCUCAAGAUGAGAGUAUUGUUGGUUCACCAAGGGCUUGAAGAAACAUUGGGAGAUCCAAGAUCUGAAAAGAAGCCCAGCAAGCUCAGUGAAGAAGAAAUGCAAGAUGCAUUAGACAAGGCUCAUAGCACCUUAAUCUUGAGUCUGGGUGAUGGAGUUCUGAGGGAAGUGGGGGAUGAAACAACUGCUGCAGGCCUCUGGAAGAAAUUAGAAGACCUAUAUAUGAAAAAGUCCCUAACCAAGAGACUUUGCACCAAGAAGAGGCUGUAUACAUUGCAGAUGGAAGAGGGUAGCUCUCUAGCAAAUCACAUUGAUAACUUCAACAGGAUCAUUCUGGAUCUUGAAGAUAUCAAUGUGAAACUGGAAGAUGAAGACAAGGCAAUAAUCUUGUCAUCAUCUCUCCCACCUUCCUAUGAACAUUUCGUGGACACAUUGCUAUAUGGAAGACAAUCAAAUGAAAUAUAAGUGUGCAACCCAAGAGGGGAGGUGAAUUGGAAUUUUAAGAAUUAUCCUAGCAAAUCCACACAACAAGCAAUCUAAUUUCUUAAUAAAAAUUGAAAGCAAUAAGUUCAAUAAAAGCACAAUAAUAAAUGAGUAAGGGAGAAGAGAAACAAACACACGAAUUUUUACGCGGUUCGGCAAUCCACGCCUACAUCCACGCCUCCAAGCGAUCCAAGCUUGAGGAUUUCACUAUCCGAGCCUUUCCAAGGCUUCAACCGUUUACAAUUGACUUCAAGGUGUCAAUGAACCUUUACAACAAAGAGAUUAUCUCUCAAUCUCUUCACUCAAGUAUCUCACACACUCAAACUCUUACAAUUAAGAUGAAGAAAUAAAGGUUACAACAAAACUCACUCAAAGAGUAAAUAUUCAAAAAUGAAGAACAAGAGAUGAUUCAAUGUUUUGUGAUUUGCAAAUUGAAAGCUCAAGUUAUCUCGUGUACUUUUUGUUUAUGCUUGCUAGAGAGCUUGAAAAUGAGUUGGAUUUGAGUUUAUAUAGUUUGAACUCAAAAACUAGUCGUUAUGCACAUUUUGAUCAUAACCGGCUUGCCGUUUAGGAAUCCGGUAAGCCGCUUUUAUGUUACUGUUAAGGCAAAAAUUUGAAUUUCAGAAUAUUCGGCAUGCCGCUUUUCAUAUCCGGUAAGCCGCUUUUGAAAUCUAGAUUGCCGCUUUGCGAAAUGCGGAUAGCCGUUUAUGCUCCAGAAGCUUACUGCCCAAAAUCUGGUUUGCCAUUUACCAUAUCCAGCUAGCCCCUUGCUACAGCAACUGCUACAGUGAAAAUAUUUUCUAAAUUUAUAAUUUGACCCUAAAAUUUUAUAAAACUGUAGUAUGGCCCAAAACGUUAUGAAAGCUUUCAAAUAAGUCCAAUUUUAGAAUUUUAAAUAAUACUUUGUCAAUCCUAAAACUUUUUGAAAUUAUAAUUUCACCCAAACUAUGUGAAAUUAUAGAAUGACCCAAAAUAUUUAAAUAGUUUUAAAGAGGUCCAAAUCCGAAAUUUAAAACUCUAUCAAAGAUUUAAAAAUACUUUCAUUUUAAUCCAAAACUCUUUAAUUCCAUAACAUCAUUUUCUUAUUAUAAAAGCACAAUUCAUAAAUCUUUGCUUAAUCAACACAUGUAGUUUAUUAUCAUCAAAAUCAAUAUCUAUAGCCAUGUAGACUAACAUCAACUUCAUAUGAGACAUCAGAAGAUGAGGAAAGAGAUGCAGAAGAUUCUGAUGAAAUUUCAAAAAAACAAACGACAUUGCAUGAUUAUCAGCUGGCCAGGGAUAGAGAAAUGAGAGUUAUAAGAGCACCAAAGAAGUAUGCAUAUGCAGAUAUGAUUGCAUAUGCACUGACAUCAACUCAUGAACUGGACUAUAAUUAACCUAAAACCUACAAGGAAGCUGUUUCAGGGAAAAAUGAAGACCAGUGGUUGAAAGCCAUGAAGGAAGAAAUGGAUUCUUUGUAUAAGAAUGACACCUGGACACUUGUGAGAAAACCACACAAGAAAAAGGUGGUAUGAUGCAAAUGGGUGUACAAACUCAAGCAAUGUAUCACAGGAGUGAAACCAGUGAGAUUCAAAGCCAAACUUGUUGCAAAGGGCUUCCCUCAAAAAGAGGGGAUUGACUUUACUGAGGUAUUUUCACCUGUAGAGGCAUGCCUCCAUAAGAAUCAUCUUGUCAUUGGUGGCUGGAAACAACAUGCAUUUAGAACAAAUAGAUGUAAAAACAGCAUUCUUACAUGGGGAAUUACAAGAGUAUAUAGUAAUGGCUCAGCCUGAAGGCUUUACAGAUGAAUCAAAGGUUGACUGAGUUUGUCAUUUAAAGAAAUCUCUGUAUGGACUUAAACAGUCCCCAAGGCAGUGGUACUUAAGAUUUGAUAGCUUUAUGUUAGAGCAGAAGUUUCAGAGGUGUAACUUGGAUUGUUGUGUUUACUUCAGAGCGGAUUCAGGCAUAAUGGUUUACCUGGUAUUGUAUGUAGAUGACAUGUUUAUUGCCAGUGUGAGCAUAAGCUUAAUUGAAGACCUGAAACAUAAGCUAAAAUGAGAGUUUGACAUGAAGGAUCUUGGUCGAGCAAAGAAAAUUCUGGGAAUGCAGUUACACAGGGAUAGAAAAGCUAGUACUUUGUUUCUCAGUCAGGAAGAAUACAUCAGAAGGGUAAUUGAUAAGUUUGGAAUGGCAAACUCAAAGCCAGUUCAAACACCCUUAGCUCCUCAUUUCAUAUUAUCAGAUCAGUUGUGUUAAAAAGCAGAAGCUGAAAUAUCUGAGAUGAUGAAUAUACCUUAUACAAGUGAUGUAGGCUGCCUAAUGUAUACUAUGGUCUUAACUAGGCCUGAUUUAUCCUAUGAUGUGAGUGUUGUAAGCAAGUAUAUGGCAAACCCUGGAAAGGAACACCGGAGGGCUGUAGAAUAGAUUCUCAUGUACCUAAAUGGGAUAACAACAUAUGGUUUAAUGUAUGGGGGACAAAGACAAGAUGACAGUCAUAUUGUUGGUUAUGUGGACUCUGAUUAUGCUGGGGAUCUGGACAGAAGAAGAUCACUUACAGGAUACCUUUUCACAUUCAACAACUGCACUGUCAAUUGGAAAGCUCAACUGCAGAGUGUUGUGGCACUUUCAACAAUAGAAGUUGAAUACACAGCUGCUGCAAAAGCAGUUAAAGAAGCCAUCUGGCUGAAAGGAAUGCUUAAAGAACUUGGUGUUGAUCAGAGGUCAAUAAUGAUAAACUGUGAUAGCUAGAGUGCUAUAUGUUUGAGCAAAAAUCAGACACACCAUGAAAGGACCAAGCAUAUCGAUAUCAAAUUGCAUUUCAUAAGGUUGGAAGUGUUAAAAGCAACAGUGAAGCUGCAGAAGAUUCAUACAGACAAGAAUGUUGCAAAUAUGCUGACUAAACCAGUUACACUGCUAAGUUUAAGCUUUGCUUAGAAUUAGAAGGAAUCUGUCAAAAAUAAAUGACAGAUAAUUGAAGAGAAGAGUAGCAGAUUCAUGAGGGUUUCAAGCUCAAGGUGGAGAAUGUUGAAGUGUGAGCUCUGAAACAGGUUUCGAUAAACUCAUUCGACAUGUUAGAUCGUGAUUGGAAUAGAAUACGACUGGUCAGUUAAGGUCAUUCAAAGCCGUAUGACAAAGCUGUUUGUUCAUACAUCUGUGAGUAAGUGAAGCACAUGACCAUCACAUGUUUACACUUAACCAUACGACUUUGCCGAGUGCCGUUUUGGAGCCCUCACUUAACGUGAAUCAAACACGUGGCUCAGAGGCUGUUAUAUUCUGUUACAAGAAGCGAGAAAAAUCUGGGUUUUGGUUACGGAGGUUAGCUGACUGGUGGGAGGGAAUUAUGGGCUCUCUUAAGCGUGUAUAUAUAGCCUUAAGCGAUAAGAAAUCAGCAUGUGUGAUGCUUGUAACUUCAUCUAUAAUCUUGUAUCUUGUUCUUAGUGAUUGAAUAAAGAUUGUUGCUCUGUUCUUCAGUGGAUGUAAGCCAUCUUCAGGCUGAACCACUUAAAUAUGUUUUUCUUUGGUUGCUGUUCUUUAGCUUCUUUUGUGUGUCUUUCAUUGUUGCUUAACCGUUUCUUAAUCAAGCAUCAGAGUGUUUAGAUAAAUCUUGGAGUAUCUUGGUUGAUUAAAUCCGAUCAAGGUAUAACAACAUGAAACUUAGUGUAUAUUGUAGGUUUCUUCAAUAAAUUUUUUAUUAAAGAUAAAUACAGUAGUUUUUCAAACCAUACCAUGACACUGUUCAUAGUAUAAAUCUAAGAUGAGAUUUGGACUGCACUUUUGAUAUGAUUAUUGCCGUGUUUUGUGAUUGAGGAGUUGUGACUCGUAAUCUAUCGAGGAGUGGAUAUUAAUCUUUCGGAGUUAUGUAGAGGCACGGUAGUUGGCAAUGCACUCCAGUCAAAGGGUAGGGCCGAUAGGCUCCUUUGCCGCCGUCCCGGAACUUUCCUUUUGGGAUUAGGAGGAAGAGAUGCCUUGUUGACUAUCUAGGAAAGGAACUGGCAGACGCACACUUAAAACCUUCCAAUGCCUUGUUGACUAUCUAGGAUGCCUUCCUGCGCCGAGCACAUGGGCUGGGAGACGAUUGAAUUUUCAGGCAAAUUUGCAGACGUCGUUCAAUUUUUCAGCCGACGAAAGUUGUGGAUAAUUCACCACCAACGUGUAAUUUAAACGGCUUCGAAGAAGAAAUUAAUGUUAUCGUAUGAUAUAAUUAUAAAACGUCAAAAAGUGUAAUUAGAAAAUUUUGCUACAGUAGAGAGAAUAAAAGGUCACAAACUUGCUUUAAUUUACACUAUGCUUCACGCGGUAUACUAGUUAGUGGAAGUUCAGUACGAUCACUACUUUAUACAUGCAUUCCUUGAAGCUUAUAUAAAGUAAAUCUCUUUCACUUAUGAAACGUUAAUUUAAGUAUUAAUUAAUAAAUUAAUAAUGCUUAAUUAGAAGGGAGAAUAAAAAAACAAACCAAGGGAUAGUCCGGAAAGACUAUUUGAUUGAAAUAUGGGCCGCCUACCGUGCAAUACAGUACCACUGAAUUUUGUCUUUUUUCAACAAUUACACUACACUACCCUAUAUUUUAUAAGAAAACUGAAUAGAUACUAUAAGUUACAAAUUUUUAUAUAUAGGUUAUUUUCUCUGGAUAAAAUCAUAAAAUGACUUUUGAAAAAAAAAUUAACUGUAAUUAUUAUUAUUAUUUAUUAAUGUCAUUAUUAUUAUAUUAAUAUUAAUAUUAUUAACAUUUAUUAUUUUAAUUGUUAUGAUUGCUUUAAUUAGUCAUUAUUAUUAUUUAUUUAUUUUAUUACUAUGAAUAUUAUUAAAAUAUAUUAAAUUUAUUAUUGAAUUAUUGUUAAUAUUAUUUUAUUAAUAUUAAUAUUAAUAAAAUUUAUUAAUUUUAUUAUUCUAAUUAUUAUAUUAAUACUAAUGUUGUCAUCGUCAUCAUCAUUAAACUUUAUAAAUUUUUUUGUUUUGACUUUUAAGUAAUACCACUGUCAUUAUUAUUAUUUUGCCUUAAUUAAGCAUUAAAUAUAUUUUAAUUAUUUUUUAAUUUUUAUUAUAAUAAAUAAAAAUAUAAAAAUAAAAAUAAAUUAUACUAUAAAAUUAUUUUAUUAUAUCAUAUUAUAUUUAUUUAAAAAUUAUUUAUAUGAAAAUAAUAAUCUAAGCUAAUUAAUAAUAAAUUUAAAUAAUUUUAGUUUAAUAUUAAUACAAAAUUAAUCCAGUACAAAAUAAUACCAAUUAUCAAACGUUGUAAAAUACUAUUAUAAUUAUUAUAAUAUACUGCUAAUGUAAUAUAAUAUAAUACAUGUGCAUUACAUAAUACAAUAGAAUAUAAUAUAAUAUAGUGUGCCAAACGGACUUUUAACUUUUUGAGUGAUGAUGGUGUGGAGGGAUGUAGAGAAAGUAAAGAUAAUUGUGGCAGAUCAUUUGCAAUGGUUGAUUAGCUAUCACCACAAAGUUUAGGCUAAUAAAUAAAAUUAAGCAACUACCCUAUAUUUAAAAGAGCAUUUAGAAACCAAUAAAUUUACUAUUCAAUUAUUUUUAAUCAAGAAUAAAUAAUAAAUUAUCAUUACAACAAGAUUCAAAAGCUCAAAUAUCUUUAAAAAAAAUGAUAAUUCUCAAGAAACAUGAAGCUCAAAUGCUUUUGAAAUAUUCUUAAAAAAAAUAAACUAACUUCCUUUCAUAUUAUUCUUUUUUUAUCUUUCUAUAACUUUGUUGGGCUAUAUAUAUAUUGAUAUUUUAUAAGUAAAUUAACAUAUUGUAUGUAUAAAUAAACUAACAUGUCAACUAAUGCUAACAAUAAAAAUGUAAUAAAAAAGUAAAGUUUUGUAAUAUUAAAAUAAUAAAAUUUUACAACCUAAGACUUUUUACAUGUUUCUCAUUUUGAAAUUUCACCUUUUUUAUUUUAUAAUUUUCUAAAGUAUCAAGGUUAAUAACCUAUGUUCUUAAUACAUAUUCAGUUUAUUUAUUUUACAUUAAAUAUAUAGUAGAUAACAAAAAAUAUUAUUUACAUUUAUCAAAUUUUCAUGUGUUUAAAAAUUUUAUGUGAUAUUACUUUAUUAUAUUAACACCAUCAAUCAUUUUUAUGAUCAAAUUAAGUCAAUGAAUCAAACUUUAAAAAAUUUAAAACAACAGAAGUUAUAUAAGUGAAUAUUUAAAACUUUUACCUUUUAUGAUUUUGUAAUAAACAUUAGGAACUUAAGUGUUAAUAAUCAAUUGAACACAUCCUGGCCGUUGAACACUUUAGCCAUUGAUCCAUUGGCUGAGUUGAAAAAAGACAAAAUUUGGGGUACCGUGCAACUGUUGCACGGUAGGCAGACCCUGAAAUAUGUCUUUCAAUGGUGACUAUAAAGUACAAGUAUAUAAUUUAAUAAUUUCAGACAGAACGUUAAAUAAAAAACCGCUAUAUAAUUCUGAGUACUGGUAGGAGGAUGAAACCCUCGUUCACUUGAUGUACCGUCUUCCAUCAGGGGCGUUUGAGGAUGUUCAUAUUGAUGAAGAUGAGAAUUUGCUUACAGUAAUAAGCAAGGUGCUAGCUAGGGGUGUUUGCCGAUUGAAUUUUACGGAUUGAAAAUCAAUCCAUAUCCGAUUCAUGAUUUUGCGAAUUAUAAAUUUUCAAUCCAAUUAAAUCCACGGAUUAGUAAAAUUUAAUUCAAAUUCAAUCUAUAUAUAUGCGGAUCAAAUGCAAAUUUGACCCAAUUCAUAUGCAAUCCAUUAUUUUGCAGAUUGGUUUGCAGACUGAAAAUUUUUAAUUAUGCCAAUCCACAAACUAACUAAGUAAAAAAUUUAAUAUAAAAAUAAUUUUACUACCGAUCAAAUUUAAAAUUAAAUAAAAUUUAAAUAAAUUAAUUGUUUAAAUAAAAAUAGAAAAUACAUUUAAAGUUUCAAAACGUAACAGACCAAAACGAAAAAAAAACCUCAUUCGUUUAAAUCAGUACAUGGAAAUUAAUUAUUUAGGAAGCUAUAUUUGUUUAUUUAAUUAUUUUUUAUUUUAUAUUAUUAUCGGAUAAGAUAUAAUAUAAUAUAAUAUUAAUAUAACUAUAUUUUAACUUAUUUAUUUACUAGUAAGUACUAAUAUUAUAUUUACAAGUUUUAUUUUUUACGGAUUCGUGGAUUUUUACAGAUUUACAGAAGUAUAUCAUAUCCAAUCCAUCAAUUGUGGAUUAUUAAAUUUUCAAUCCAAUCAAAUUUACCAAUCCACGAAUCGAAUUUCUAUAGAUCAGACAGAUUGAGCGGAUCAGAUUGAAUUCUGAACACCCCUAAUGCUAGUAGGAGACACCACCACCCAGUGCCGGAGGAAAUCCAACAUGCCACCUGGUCUUGACGCGGCUGGGUGUAAGAUGCAAUCGAUGAUGGCGUUUCAUUAUUAUUAUUAUUAUUGUUAAUUUUGCCCUUUUUCUAUUUGAUCUUGCAUAUUGGUGAAAAAGGAAUUUGCUUUACUUGGAUCCUAAGAAGGGGCAACAAUGAUCCUGAUUCAUCUUUUAGAUUUCUUUAAAAAGAAUAUUUCAGUAAAAGAGUGCAGAGUAGGGCACCAUCAAAGCAUAAAACAUUCUAACAGAGGAUCAGAAACAAGGUUAUAGAAAACAAACCUACCAGUAAACGACAACCACUUUCAUUUUUUCUGCAAAUUCAUCAUCUCUCUGAGUUAGGAUCCCAUAUCAACUAGGUACGGGACUAGUUGGUGGUUUAUUAACUCCAAGUCAUCCUCCUCUUACAAGUCGGUUUUUUGGAGUUACAAGCAAUAGGUAUCAGAACAGUUCGGUGGCGCAAGCAUGAUCGGAGAGCAUGAAGUGGGUGGCCAUUCACUCGACUUUUUGUUUUUUGUUUUCAACCUCCAAAAUACAUUGAUGUCAAUGAGGUGCGCUGUCUUGCUGACUUUUUAUUGGCCUAGGUAAUAAACCUCUCUUUUUUUUUUUUCCUUUGGUGUUCUUUUAUAUUGAUUCUAUCAUGAUACUUUGCUUAAAAAAUGGGGAAAUUGUCUAAUCAAGUCACAAUGGUGAGAAUCUGCAGUAUUAUAUUAAAGUCUGCUGGAAGGUAGUGUUGAAACUUGGUAUUCAAAUUCCCAAAAUCAUUAUAGUUUUCAGGUUUGACUAGAGAAAGAAGAAAAGAGUACAUCAAACUAAAAGCAUAAUUACAUGGUCACAUGAUUUCAGUUGCUUAGGCUAUAUGGGUAGACUUAAUGAAAACGACAAUGAUCAUGACUUUGGAAAAGAAGAACUAGCAUGAACAUUUUGCACUACUGUAUUAUGUAUAUAAUUCUUUCAAAGUAAAAGACUCUAUAUAUGGAAUAUUAAUAUUGAAUUGGAGUUAGUUAUAUACAAUAUCUUACAUGGUAUACCAUUGUUAUUAAAUUAUGUAAAUCAGUUCCUUUGUCCUACAUGCCAUGGCUAAAUACAUUUUGAUGCUUGUUGCAGACCUAUGUGGUUAAUUUAGUGAGACCUUGCUAGAUCUUGAGCCAUUUAAUGGGACGUGGCACUUGAGCGAGAACAGAAAACCUCGUGGGCAGUUUGAUGUCAUUAUUAUUGCUGGUAAUAGUAAUAGAGUGCUGCUACUCUUGCUCUUUCUCUCUCAACAGAAUUUUAUAGACUUAAAAUUUUGUUUGUUUAUUGCAGUGGCAAAAUGUUAAAUGGGCUUCGGUAUUGGGGGAAAAAAGAGAAAACAGAAGAAAAUUUUCAAUUUUACCUUCCAUCAUUUCCUUGGAUUCAAGAGUGGCAAAGAUUCAAGCUCUGUACAGCAGUACAGGGAAACUGUAAGAGAGAUUGUAAUAUUUUGAAGUUUGAAAUUUUGGAAGAAAGCGGCUAGCUGUUUUUAAGAAAGCGGCUAACCGUUUUCAUCCAGAGAGCAUGUUUUGGCUUCGACUAAAAAACGACUAACUGGAUUUUAAGAAUCGGCAACCGGUUGUGAACAGAUGCCAAUUUCAAACCAAAUAGUGUCUUUGAAGAAGUACCAUUUUUAAUGGUUGUAAUUUUUCAAUGAAUAAAUGUUAUCUUCAUUAAAUAGACAUUCAUAUUAAAUACACACACACACACACACACACUAGAUAUUACAGAUUACAUACAAGUUCUUAGAAUACAGUCUUAUUUACUAGAGAUUGUGUUCAGGAUUUGUUAUAUCUUAGGGGUAAUUUGCCAUUAAACUCUAUAGCAAACCAAGAGUAGUGAGGCAAAUAAAACCUUAAAGAAAAUUGUACAAACACGUCUCAAAUCCUAUCAAAUUUUCUUUGUUCUUUGCCCCCAUAUUCGUAGACCCACCAACAAUCUUUAAGGUUUUAUUUUGUUUGCAAAUGGAGGCUGAGAAGAUUCUGACUUCAUUUCUUAAUCCUAAUAUCCAUCUCGAUCGUUUUGAUGGUACUAAUUUCACUCGUUGGAAGGAAAAAAUUUUCUUUCUUCUUACUGUUCUUAAAAUUGCAUAUAUUCUUGAUCCAAAAUUGGAACCAUUUCCAAAGCCAAAAGAAGAUGAUACCGAAGUUGUUAAGGCUGCAAGGAAACAACGUAAAGAUGAUGAAUUGAUGUGUCGAGGUCACAUACUCAAUACACUUUUUGACAGGCCCUAUGAUCUUUACAAUUCUAUGGUUUCUCUAGUGAAAAUUUGGAAUUCUCUUGAGUACAAACAUAAAACAGAGAAAGAAUGUACUGAUAAAUUCUUUAUCUUAAAAUAUUUUGAAUUUGUUAUAGUAGACACAAAAUCCAUUCUUGAUCAAAUACAUGAAUUACAAAUUAUAGUUACUAAGCUUCAUGAGUUAAAAUGAAAUUUAUGAAUCAUUUCAAGUUGGGGCUAUUAUUGCUAAAUUGCCUCAAAGUUGGAAUGAUUAUAGAAAGAAACUCAUUCAUAGUAGAGAGAACAUAACUUUAGAAGAAUUACAAAAACACUUGGUAAUCGAAGAAAAGAUCAAGUCUCAAGAAUAAAGGACAAGCAUGAUUCUACUAAGGUUAAUGUUGUUGAAGCUAGUGAAUUUUCAAAGAAUUUCAAAGUUAAGAAUGACAAGAAAUUCAAGAAGUCCAGCACAGAAAAGUUUUCUGAAAAUUGUUUCUUUUGUGACAAGAAAGGUCAUCGCCAAAGUGAUUGCAGAUUCAAGAAGAAAAAGUAAGAAGUGAAUUUUUAUAAAGCUAAUGUUGUUGAAGACAAAUCCGAAGAGAUUUGUGCUAUGGUUUCUGAGAUGCAAAUAGGCAUGAUUACCGAAACCAAUAUGGCUAAAACUAAGCCUUGUGAAUGGUGGCUCGAUUCGGGUGCAACCAUUCAUGUUUGUAAUGAUGAGAAGUUUUUCUUAUUGUACAAAGAAGAAAUGGAAGGACAAAAGGUUCUCAUGGGGAACAAUAAUGCAGCCAUGGUAGCAGGGAAAUGAGUUGUUGAUAUCAACUUUACUUCUGGAAAGAAAGUUACAUUGUAUAAUGUCUUUCAUGUACCUUCUAUUAAGAAGAAUCUUGUUUCUGCUAGUUGCAUGUGUAAGCAUGGGCUUAAGAUUGUGCUUGAGGGUAAUACUUGUAUUGUUUCAAAGAAUGAGAUGUUUGUUGGGAAAUGGUAUUCUUGUGAUGGAAUGUACAAAUUCAGCAUUAAUAAUAAUGAUAUCAACUUACCUUAUAUUGUUGAGUCUUGUGAUGUUUGACAUGCUAGAUUAGCACAUUUGAAUUUUAAAUAUUUAAAAUACAUGUCUGAGCAUGGUUUGAUUAAUUACAAUGAUGUUAAAAGUCAUAAGUGUGAAAUCUGCAUCCAAGCUAAAUUAACUAAGAAACCUUUUCCUAAAGCCGAACAAAACACUCAAAUAUUGGAUUUAAUACAUACCGAUAUUUGUGAGUAUAAUGAUAUUUUAACAAGAGAAAGUAAAAGGUAGUUUAUCACUUUUAUUGAUGAUUAUUCUAGAUACACUAAUGUGUAUUUACUUAGAAUAAAAUAUGAAGUUUUUGAUAAAUUUAAAUUUUCAAAGUUGAAGUUGAGAACCAAAAAGAUAAGAAAAUCAAAAUAGUUCAAAGUGAUAGAGGUAGUGAAUAUUUCUCAAUUGAGUUUGAUAAUUAUUCUUCACAAUGGAAUUAUUCACCAAAGAUCAGCUCUAUUUACUCCUCAACAAAAUGAUUUAGUUGAAAGGAAAAAUAAGAUCUUUACGGAUAUGAUAAAUUCUAUGAUCUUUAAUGCAAAACUACCAAAUAAUUUGUAGGGGGAAGCAUUACUCACUGUCUAUCUCAUCAUUUACUCAAUAAUUUUAAUUGAGGCUAUUUCGAUCUACUAAAACUACUAUCUCAUCUUUUACUUAAAAGUCAAUAAUCUAACACUAAAAUUUUAAAAUUACUUUUCACCCCUAUCUAAAAUACAGAUUAGACAAUAUAUUUUAUCUUAUAGUAAAUAUGAGAUAGUAGUUUUAGUAGAUCAAAAUAACAUCAAUUAUAGUAGCUUUAUAGAUAAUAAGAAUUAUAAGUUUCAAUAAUUUUAUAUAAUAAGCCUCAAUUAAAAUAUAAUAAUUUUAAAAUUCUUAAAAAAAUUUAUUAUCUCUCUCUCCUUUUUCUUUAUCUCCUUCUCAAUCAAUCAGUCCUUCUUUAAAUCUUAAUUUAUUCAUUCUCAAUAAUUUUUACACUCAAAUGUUUAUCUUAUGUUAACAACACGAAAUAAAAAGACUAUGUCAGAAGCCUUAAAAGUCAGUUAAUCUUAAUUUUUUAUUUGAAAGAUAAUUCUCCCAUAAUCCAUUAAUUUAAGUUAUUAUUCAUUCUUUACAAUUUUAAAUUUAAGUUUCACUCUUUACAACUUUAAAUUUAAGUAACAUAAUAAAUAUUAUACAAUUUUUUUGUUUUCACAUUAAGUAAAUAAUUGAGAUUAUAUUUUUCUAAAUAUUAUCUCAGCUCCAUAUAUUACAUAAUUUCAAAUUUGAUAUAGAAAUCUAUUAUUUUGAAAAUAUCAUUUAUAAACUCUAUAAUGAAACUUAAAUUACUAUUCAAGUACUUAUUUAAUAUUUAUUUAUUUAUUAUUUUAAUAUUGUCAAAACUUAUAUAAAACUUUGUCCAAUCCUAUAUUAAACUAAACACAAGAUAACAAUAUUAUAAUCCAAUAUGUAUUUUAAGUAAAUGGAUGUGGAAAGUAUUUUAGCAAGUUAAAAUAACCCAUCCACAUUUUUAAUACUUAAUUGUGUUUAUUUAUUAAAUUACCCUUGAUCCAUAUAAAGAUAAUAAAAUAUUUUAGUGGACUUAUGUGUAAAAAUUUUGAAAACUAACAUUUUCUUAUAAUUUUUGAAAAAAAAAAAAGGGCAUGCAACGUUAAUAAUCAAGUAAUUUAAUCCAUGCUGUCGGAAUAACUUUUGCAACUAGAAUAUGAUCUUCUCAUGAGCUGAGUUCUAUUGAAUUUUUAAAGAUCUUCUGUCAUGUAUUUUUUAGUGGUAGUGUAUGGAUAAAAUUUAAUUUUUUUAUUUAUUAACUACUAAUUAACAAUUAAAUUAUUUACUCAGAAUAUGAUCAGAUUAGUCAUUUAAAACUCUUAAGUUGAAUCUUAUCGUUGGAUCACAAAAAAAAUGAAAAAUAGGAUACUAAAUCACGGUUGCAUAGUAACUGAACCCUACAAUUUUAUAUAUUUUUAGAAUAAAAACCUUAAAUCCGCACCACUUAAGUUUUUCUCCAAUUAAUGAUGGGUUCCUGUUCCUGAUAAAGCCUUCUGGGAUUUCCUUACCCUUGGUUGACGUGGCAAAAUUUUGUUUGUUUCAUGAACAGUUCAUAGCAAGAAGAACAGCCACUUUUGACUUUUUAGAAGGAAAUAAAAUAUGAUAUGAUAUAAUUAUAAAACGUCAAAAAGUGUAAUUAGAAAAUUUUGCUAAAGUGGAGAGAGAAUAAAAAGUCACAAAUUUGUUUUAAUUUACUCUAUACCUCACGCGGUAUAUUAGCUAGUGGAAAUUCAGUAUGAUGACUACGUUAUAUAUGCAUUGCUUGAAGCUUAUAUAAAGUAAAUCUCUUUCGCUUAUCAAAUUUUAAGUAUUAAUUAAUAAAUUAAUAAUGCUUAAUGAGAGAAGAAAAAAAGGAAGGACAGUCCGGAAAGAUGGUUUGAUUAAAAUAUGUUCUUAAAUUCUACUAAAAGUUCAAUAGUGAAUAUAAAGCAUAAAUAUAUAAUUUAAUAAUUUUCAAAUAUAAUAUUCUUUUUUUAAUAAGAUUGGCUCAUAUUAAACUCUUUAUUAUUAAUCUAUAUUUCAUAAAAUACAAACUCUUUAUUAUUAAUCUAUAGUAAACUCAUGUUUCUUUCUAUACACAUUUGGCCUCCGUGUAAAAAGCAGCUUUCUGCGCGUAAAUAUUGUGUUAAUUUAGUGCAUAAUCUUAAGCAACAUCUUUGAUUUGCUAUUGUGUUGAUUAUCUAUGUUGAUUUCCCUAUUAUCAUAUCAUGUGUACUCUCUCAUACAUAAUAAAUUAUUAAAUCAGUGGUUUAUUCUUAAUAAGUUUUCUAGCAUUAAUUUGGGUGAAGGGAGACACAAUAGAUAUAAUUGCACAUGACUUGAAGUAUAGUACGAAAUGGUUUCUUUGAGGAUUUUGUUUUUAUGUUGUUUUAUAUGCUUGUGAAAAAUCCAAAACUGAGAUGCCGCAGAUGAAGCAGUCGGUAGGUACUAUUAGGAAUUUGAGUUGGUAUUUGAAAAUAUUAAUAUCCAACAUUGGUUAGAUAAAAAAACACAAAUUGAUUUGUUUAUAGAAACUAGAUAUGCUGUGGUAACAAGGCCCCGUGAACAAAACCAAGCAUAACUAAAGACCAAAAAGGCCACUAUAAAGAAAUACAAAAAGUAAGCUAACUUCAGACCUCAAAGCCUCAAAUUAGCAAUUAGCAAUCAGCAAUGGUGUCACAAUCAGCUUACCUCAAUUAGUCAGCAACCUUCAAUUACCGGUUAUCAGACCUUCAGACCUCAAAGCAGUAUCACAAAAAGUUCUCUUCAGACCUCAAAGCCUCAAUUAGCAAUCAGCAAUGGUGUCACAAUCAGCUUACCUCACCUCACCAACCUCCAAUUACCGGUCAUCAGACCUUGAAUUUCCCGACGGACCUUCAAUUACCGGUUGCCUCAAAGCAAUCAGUAUCAAAGCCUCAAUUAGCAAUCAGCAAUGGUGUCGCAAUCAGCUUACCUCACCUCAGCAACCUCCAAUUACUGGUCAUCAGACCUUGAAUAUCCGGACGGACCUUCAAUUACUGGUUGCCUCAAAGCAAUCAGUAUCAAAGCUCAAUUAGCAACCAUUUCCGGACGGACCUUCAAUUACUGCCUAUAAAUUCCCCCUCAAUUCCCUCUCAAACCCAUCAGACCUCAAAGCCAAUUCCCAAUUUCGCAGAUACUAUAAAGAAAUACUUCUUUAGUUGAAGCCUCAAAGAAACCCAGAAACCCUUCAAUUCAAACCUCAAAAAUUGUGCCUCGGAAACGAACCAUAUCAGCCCUCUGUUUUCUGGGAUGAGGAUGAGAACGUCGUUCACGUCAAGUGCCCUCUUCCCUCACCGACGAAGCGAGAGGAUGCGAAGGUUGAGAUUGAUGAACAUGGGAAAUUGCUUAUACAAAUAAGCAAAGUGGUAGGUUCACAUAGUGAUCCGCUCUCUUCAGCUUCUUCCUGGAUGAUCAGAUUCGGAUUCUGUCUCCUAAGCUUCCUGAAGAAAAAGGAAGGAGACACCAUCAGCCAGAUAGGCCCGAUGGAAUUCAACUUACUAGAGGGCCUUAACACGAAUGACUUCGAGACUGCGGUCGAUGACGAGGGGUUGCUAUCUCUCACUUUCAAAAAGCUCGUGCAGCGCUCUGUGUUCUGGGACGAGGAUGAAAACCUCGUUCACUUCAACUACCGUCUUCCAUCAGGGACGAAACGAGAGGAUGUGAAGGUUGAGAUUGAUGAAGACGGCAAAUUGCUUAUAACAAUACUAAGCAAGGUGGCAGCUGCACAAAAUGAUUCCUCCAUGAUCAUAUCCUCUCUCUUCAGUUUCCUGAAGAAAAAGGAAGGAGACACCACCAGCCAGAUAAUCCAGAUGGAAUUCAACUUGCCAGCGGGUCUUAACCCAAAUGGCUUCAAGACUGCGAUCGUUGACGAGGGCUUGCUAACUCUCACUAAACUCAAGCCGGAGAAGAAAAAGCUGGGGCCAAUAGCGAAGAAGACGCUGGGAUGUUUGGCUGAUGCUGCUCUUAUGCUGAUAUGUGGGGAGAUAAGUGAUGCGAUUUGUCCAGGAGACUGCUAACAAGCUGCUGGUGUCAAGUAGGCAUUUCCAUAGUCUAGACCAGGUGUUAGUCAAUUUCCGUCUUGCGUAGUGUUGUAUCUCCUUUGUUUCAGUGAAAUAAAAACUGAUAAACGUUGUUGAGCGAAAAAUAAAUGCAUUUUUUUUUUAAAUGGCGUUGAAUAAUUUUUUUUUUUUUUUUUGAUAAAAGAAGGCAUGUUUUCAUGGUGUUGCAUAUUAAAAAAAAAAAAGAACAAGGCCUGUUUUCAUGCAUACGUGCAGCUACAAGAUAAAGGAGUAACUGGAGAUCGGUCAGGUGAGGCAAUCAUGCUACAGAAUCUGCAAGAAAGCGAGAUCUAUCUUUUUUUAACCGCUAGCGGUUGGAUCAAUCUGCAAGAUACGGUAAUGGUGUGGGGCCAACGCUUGAGCCAGAGCCCCACUUUUCUCCUUUAACAACCGCUCAUUUCAGCGCAAUAGAGAGUAGGGUGAUGCUAAGUUACAGUAUCUGUACCUUACGGCCACCUGCCACCCCUGCACAGUAAGAUGAAAAGCGGACUCAAGUGGGGUUCACGGACAUUUUGUGAGGGUGCUGUAAGGUACAGAGACUGUACCGUAGCAUUCUCCGAAAGGGCACUUUUGAAGAUAAGAACGAGAUGACAGAGAAAAUAAAAUGACCCAUGUGAUGUCCACAGAAAAUUUACACCAAAUUCUCAGGUCUCUGCAGAGACACACGCGCAAAUAUUUCAAGAUCAUGGCAACUUCUGCAACUCAUUCCUUGAGCUUCAAGCUGGCCAUCGAAGGAAUAACUGGGUAUUAUGUUACAAUAAAGAUUACCUUCACCGAACUGAAGCCGGAGAAAAAGGCGGUGUCAAGAUCAAAGAAGAUCCCGCGAGGUUUGGCUGAAGCAGUGCCUGUUUGUUUCUUGAUAGGUUACCAGAUAAGUUGGGGAGACUACUAAUUAGCUGGUGUCAGGUAAGGUAUUUGCUAACAUCAUGAUCAUGUAUGGGGCGUCAUACUCUUCUAUGUUGUUCUGUUGUUUAUGUAUUAGUAUUUGAAAAUAACUCUGGAGUAGCUUAAUUAAUGGAUCUAUCUUUUAAGAGCUGCACUUGGCAUAUGAAGUUUAUUGUGUGGCAGCAAAUCAAGAGUUGGUCUUAAAAGCAUCAUGUUCAAGGAGUACAAUACAAACAGUAAAAACUAUUUGAGACAAUUAAUUAAUGCGGCUUCUCUUUGAGUGAAAAAUUAAUCCAUCUUUCGUUCGUUUUAGCAAGUGUUUCUUAAUGUUAUUUUUUUUCCUUUUUGCCCUUUUCCUAUUUUAGCUUCCACAAAUUGGGAAUUAGUUAUUAUUGAUUUGGUGAAAAGGGAAUUUGCUUUAUUUGGAUCCUAAGAGGGGGCAAUCGUGAUCCUGAUUCAUUUUUCAGAUUUCUUCAAAAAGAAUGUUUCAGUAAAAGAGCGCAGAGGGCGCCAUCAAAGUAUAAAACAUAGGAUAAGAAACAAGGUUAUAUAAAAAAACAAACCUAUCAGUAAAUGACGACCAAUUUCAUUUCCUCCGCAGCUUCAUCUUCUCUGAUUCCUUUUUUUGGAUUCCACAUUGACUAGGUUUGGGACUGGUUGGUAGUUUAUUAACCCCAAUGUACCCUCCCUUCACAGGUUGGUCUUUAAGAUUGAGUUCUACCUUGUGGGUUUGUAACAAUUGAUAUAAGAGUAGUUCGGGAACGUUCAUUCUGCUUUGCCAUAUCCAUAUAAUUAUUUAGAAUGAUCGGUCCUCAACCACUAAUUUUUUAUCAAGCAUGUUGCUCAAUUCUUUACUCUGAAUGAUUCUCUGUAUGGUAAGUGAGUUGAUGGUUGGUUGGAGAGAAUCGGAGAGCUUGAAGUGGGUGGCCAAUUCACUCAUUUUUUUCUUCACGUCCAAAAUACAUUGGUGUUAGUGGGAUGUGCUCUCUCGCUGACUUUUUAUUGGCCCAGGUGGCAAUUUUUUAUUUUAUUUUAUGUUUUUUGUUGUUGAUUCUAUCAUGCUUCUUAGCUUAAAAAAUGGGGAAAUUGUCUAAUUAAGUCACAGUGUUAAUAAUCUGUGGUAUUGUUUUGAAGUUUGCUGGAAGGUAGUGUUGAAACUUGGGUAUUCAAAUUCCGAAAAUCAUUAUAGUUUUGAUGUUCAACCAGAGAAGGAAGAUAAGAGUAUAUCAAAUAAAAACCGCAAUUACAUGAUCACAUUCUAAAGCAACAAUUGUAUGAUCACAUUAUUUCAGUUGCUUAGGCUAUAUGGGUUGACUUAAUGAAAUAGUGACGAUAAUGAUCAUAACGGAGGAAAAGAAGAACAAGUAUGAACAUUUUGCACCACUGUAUUAUGGAUAUAAUUCGUUCGAAGUAAAAGGCUCUAUAUAUGGAAUAUUAAUAUUGAAUUGGAGUUAGUUAUAUACAACGUCUUACAUGGUAUGCCAUUAUUAUUAAAUUAUGUAAAUCAGUUCCUUUGUCCUUCAUGCCAUGGCUAAAUACAUUUUCAUGCUUGUUGCAGACCUCUUUGGUUAAUGUAGUGAGACCUUGCUUGAUCUUGAGUCAUUUAAUGGGAUGUUGCACUUGAGUGAGAACGGAAAACCUCGUGGGCAGUUUGAUGCAAUUAUUAUUUCUCGUAUUGGUGAUACAGUGCUGCUACCUUUGCUUCCUCUCUCAGCAGAAGUUAAUAAUCUUAAAAUUUUGCAUUAAGAAAAUGCAUGUUUUUUAUAUUGCAGUGGCAAAAUGUUAAAAGGGCUUCACUAUUUGGGGGGGGGGGUUGAAUGAAUAAGAAAAUAAAAGAAAAUUUUCAAUUUUACAUUCCAUCAUUACCUCGGAUUCAGGAGUGGAAAGGUUCAAGUUUUGUACAGCUGCAGGGGAACCCUCUGCAAAUCCAAACCCCUGUGAAAGGGAUCCCACUUCAUGACAAUAUUUGUGGGUUUCGAGUUGGAAUAGUCUGGCAGGUUAGAAGUUGUUUCAAUUAAUUAUCUAUAACAUACAAGUUGUGUUACAUUAUAUGACCAUAUAAUGAUUCAUUGUGGGAUACUAGGACAUCAAAAAGAGCUCAAAAUUUCAGACAGAUUUUCUCCCUAAAUUUGGUGAAAGACUGAUGGAUGGAUUAGAACUAAGUUUCAUAGCAAUUUGUAGCUGUAAACAUCUAGAAGGCUGGGACUAAAUGCCAUUUGAUUAGGUUAGAAUAAUAUGAGCUGAGCUUAUAAUCUUUGUCAUUCAUUCAAUUGCUUUUUUAGAUGUCCACAAUUCAUCAUGUUGAUAAUAUCCAAUUGGUGCCUGGUAAAUUUCCUUUAUGACUAUGAUAUAGGGUGUUAUGGAAGAGAUGAGAACAUCCAUUGUAAAUUAGCUAGAAUAGGUUCCAGAUCAAAAAGACAAGUUUAUGCCUGUUUCCUUUCUGUUUCAUCAGUUGAUUAUAGACUGUUAAUUACCUAUGCCCUUUUCUGUUUCGGCUUUGCUUUAAAGUAAUAAUACCCAGACAUAAUGAUAGGAAAAUGUGCAGGUCGGUUGUUGAUUCAUCUUGUGUACCUCUAAUAGCCAAAAAAAUGAAGGUAUAUAUCCUUUGAAAUAUUCAGUUUGUUUAGUGUUAUCUAAACUAUGCUUUGUUCAGUCAACCAUUCCUAAAUUGUUUUUGAAGCUUCAUGUUGCGUUUAUCCAGUUUGUAAAGCCUGGAACUAAGUUCCAUGUGGACACUUCUUGCGGCAUCUGAGGAUCCCCUUCUGCUAGGUAGUGCAGCAUCAUUUAAGGCGCCUUUGUUAAUGGUGUUGAUUCUUUCUCAUGGACGGCAAAUAACUCAGCGAAGCUUUAUGGUUCCCAAAGUGAUGGUCCUCAUUGUUGGACCUUUUUCAGCGCUGCAGCUUAUGGAAAAUGAAACAAGGUUCCGCAGAUCUGUUUGUGCAUAAAUGUGUGUCUUGUUUAAUUACUUGUUUUUACAUGAUUUGUUAUAGAAUUGCUGAACUCGACUGUUAACUAAAGCCAAUUAAUCAAGUCGAAUUGAUAAAGAAUAGCCAAUUACGAAGAACACUGAGCUGAACAGUUAGAGAUCAAUUUAACCAAGAACAGACGAAUAAUGAAGAACAGCACUCAAGGAUUAUGUGGUUCAGUACCAAGAUACCCAUAUAAGCCAACUGGGCUUAAAGCUUUUAUAUAAGCUUUUAAAAGUGCAUAUUGUUCAAAUACAAAAAGUAAAAUCAUUUGAGACAAUUCAUAUGGCUUCCCUUGAGUGAAAAAUAGUCAUAUUACUAUUUAAACUGACAUGAUCUGUUCUUCCAGUUUAUUCAAAGAAUUAUGAGAAGAACCUUAGGUAUGUUAACUAAAAAAUGCCCAAAAUGGACUAUUCAUAUUCAUGCCAUUGAAUCCUAGGUAUGUUAAUUUUUAACUCCAAUUAAAUGCUCUAAUUUUCUUCACCCUUUUUAGCGUGUGUUCCAUAAUUCAUGCUUUCUUCUUCCCCUUUUAAUUUUUUCUUCUUCUUCUGUUUUAGCUUCCAUAAUAUUAGGAAUUAGUUGUUAUUGAUUUCAGAGAAAGGAAUUGUUCUAUUUAGAUCCUAAGAGGGGCAGUCCUGAUCCUGAUUAUGUACUCAUUUCCAUUCGACACCAUUCAUAUUUAUAGGUUUCUUCAAUAUAUUUUAAAGAUAACUACUGUAGUUAUUUCAUACAAUGCCAUGACACUAUCGACAGCAUAUGAUAAAUAGUAAAGAAAAAUGACAUUAUAGAUCUAAGAUGAGAUUUGCGGAGUAAAAUAAAUUACUUUACCUAAAUGCAGUGUGGCUAUUACUUGAACUAAAACAAAUGAGAUUUGUCACUAAGUUUUUGGUUUUUAACUGUGACUAGACCCCGCAACAACUAGGAAAUGUAGAGUGUGACUAUUAUGUCAUGGGUUACAAGGAGUACAUAAUCGCAGACUUUGGUUUGCUAAUGAACAGUGUUAUUGAUAAUUAAAUAAUAUCACAGGUUUGUUUUAUAGUAUAUACGUGGCAUUGUGUUGGAAGUUUGACGACAUUGAUUUUAUGGUUAACACUUCAAUAGGACACGUACGCUCGUGCUGAAAUAAAAGGUUCCUAUGGAGGGGGCUAAUCAUUUUUCUAAAAUCAUUGUCGCAUCAUCAAAAUGGUUAGUAUAAAUACGAAACGUUACGUGCACCUUAUUAUUACUUCUAAUUAAGAGUUUGGUGAAAUUUGAGUUGUAUUGUGAAACAGUAAUGUUUGACUUGAUGUUGUGAUGCCAUUUUUAGUUCUUACAGGAAUGAGUUGAUGUCGUUAUCUGUGUGAAUAUUUUUAGCUCUUGCGAUAAUGCUAUUUGAUUUCUGAUAAUUAGUGAUUGGGCUUGGAAAGUGAAACAAGGUUUUGCAGUCAGUUCAUAAAUAAAUACAUGUUUACAUUCACACACGUUUUUAAUCAAUUGCUUAGGGCACUAGCAUAGUAGAAUAGAUUCACACUUUAGCUUGAAUUCCCAAGCUAUUGAAGCAGGCUACAAUGAGUUCAGUUUUAUGUGCAUAUUUAUUUAGACUUGGUUGUAAAUAUUAGCUUGAUUUUCUGCCUUAUACUUUGAAUCAAUACAACAUUUCAAUUUUACAGCAGAGAUUUAUGUUGCUAUUUAGCUUCAGUAAAUAUCAGACAAGGAAUUUCAAACAUAAACUCGAAGCUUGAUUAUUCAUAUAUAAAUAAUGUGAUCUAUGUCGAUUGCAGAUGAUUUAGGAAGUGGUGGAGUUCAUACUGAGGUGUUAACAUGGACAAAAUUGUUGUUUCGGCUGACAUAUUGUUAGCUUAAGCAAUAGUAAUGAACUUGAGGUGGCAUUUUUUGAAGUCUUUUGUUUAUAUAUAAGUUGUAUCGAGUCUCUCUCGAUAUUCUUUACUCUAAUUUUGAUAAUUGCAUCAUAAUUUUAACAUCUGUGUUCCAUAAUAUAACUCUGUGCAUUACUUCAUUUUUUGGCACCUUUGGAUUCCCUGUAUCUUGAAUCAAAACUUUGUUGCUGCAGGUUCAAUAUUCUGGACUUCUUUUGUUGAGGGGCUGCCCUUCUGAGAAUCUGUUUUCAGUUAUCGCUUACCCCUUCUAAUAGGUUGGAAACCAAAUGUGGUUUUUGCAUGUUCAUAGACUUGCAGUGUAAUUUGUUUAUCAUGUUUCGUUAAUACAAACUUCAAAGCCGAAAAACACAAAACAAGCGAAACAACUAUUUAUUCCAAGUGUAUAUUAUCUAUCUUGGACAGCAUUGAAUUUUUAUUUCUCCCCCACCCAAAAUGUUACUAUUGCCACAUUUAUAAUCUUAAAGUCUAUUAGGGAUCUAGAUGUAUACACUUAGUAGUAUGAUCAAAAAGUCUAUCGAGCAAUAACUUGAAAGUAUGUUUCUACUAAUAUUUGGGAAGCGUGUCUUAUAUGUCUUGGAUAGCAUUGAACUUUCCUUACUGUUUCUUUUUUCAAAAUUAUUACAAUUUACACAUAUAUUUCAAUCUAAAAUUUGUUGAAAUUCUUGAUACAAAUACUUCAAAGAGUACAAUCUAAAAGUUCAUUGAACCGUUUACUUAAAAUUAAUCUCAGCAAGAAAAGAAAGAUUUUUGAUAAUUGCAACCAUGGAAGUUUCGUAAGCAGCGGCGAGUUAUUAGAGCAUGUCCAAAAGGCUCUAUAAAUUUUAUUAUUUAAAUAUUCAUUUGUUUACCUAUUUGGCAAAUAGAUGAGCAAAAAAAGAUAUCGUUCUCCAAAAGACUCUUCAAAUAGAAAUGAAUUAAUAUUAUUUUAAUUAAAUAACUAUUUUUAAAGGAAAAGUCAAUAGUAAUUAAAGCAUAUUUCUCUUUUUCUUCAACAAAAAGUAAUAAAAUAUAAAUUGAAGAGGGAGAAUAUAACUCUUCAAAUUUGAAGAGAGAUGAUCAUUUCUUAUUUGAAGAAUCUAGUGUCUUUUAGAGUCUUAAAUGUUGAUGUAAUUCUUCAAAUAAGUAAUAAAAUUUUAUUUGAAGAGUCUUUUGGUGAUGCUCUUAGCGAGAUAAUUUAAAUAUCUUCUACUUGCAUAUGUACAAUUAAUCGAUGUUAUUCAUCCCUGAUCAAUCAAAUUAAGGUUCAAAUUAACUAACUUGGUACCACUCUUGUUUGACGCGCCGGAAUCUCGUCCCUGGAAGAAUCAGGUCAUUACGCUGCCGAAUGAUUUCUCUGGUUUCAGGAUCUUCAAUGGUGAACAACAAUUAAUCGAUAAGCGAGCUAAUGCAAAGUUUCCACCAAUAAAGAGCAAGCCGGAAGUCCAUGGAAGGUCUUCAAAAAUUCUUUCAAUAUACAGUAUACAGCAUCAUUGUUACUACUUUUNNNNNNNNNNNNNNNNNNNNNNNNNNNNNNNNNNNNNNNNNNNNNNNNNNNNNNNNNNNNNNNNNNNNNNNNNNNNNNNNNNNNNNNNNNNNNNNNNNNNNNNNNNNNNNNNNNNNNNNNNNNNNNNNNNNNNNNNNNNNNNNNNNNNNNNNNNNNNNNNNNNNNNNNNNNNNNNNNNNNNNNNNNNNNNNNNNNNNNNNNNNNNNNNNNNNNNNNNNNNNNNNNNNNNNNNNNNNNNNNNNNNNNNNNNNNNNNNNNNNNNNNNNNNNNNNNNNNNNNNNNNNNNNNNNNNNNNNNNNNNNNNNNNNNNNNNNNNNNNNNNNNNNNNNNNNNNNNNNNNNNNNNNNNNNNNNNNNNNNNNNNNNNNNNNNNNNNNNNNNNNNNNNNNNNNNNNNNNNNNNNNNNNNNNNNNNNNNNNNNNNNNNNNNNNNNNNNNNNNNNNNNNNNNNNNNNNNNNNNNNNNNNNNNNNNNNNNNNNNNNNNNNNNNNNNNNNNNNNNNNNNNNNNNNNNNNNNNNNNNNNNNNNNNNNNNNNNNNNNNNNNNNNNNNNNNNNNNNNNNNNNNNNNNNNNNNNNNNNNNNNNNNNNNNNNNNNNNNNNNNNNNNNNNNNNNNNNNNNNNNNNNNNNNNNNNNNNNNNNNNNNNNNNNNNNNNNNNNNNNNUACCACUCUCUUCUAUUUAAAUGGUAAAUUACUCAUGUAAUUGUUUUGAAAAAACAAAUUAAGGCAGCUAAUAAUCGUUGGAAAAUAAAUUGGUAGGCUUAAUUUCAUCCAACUUCAUUAAUUGAUACAAAAGAAUACAACAAAGAGCAACCUUGACACAGUGAGUUGAACAUGACAUGCGUUUUUUAUUUACACCAAUAUUUUCAAGCCUAAUAGUGGACUGGACAUAAAAAUAAAUUAAGCCCUGUUAAUUUUUCUAAAUCAAUGUGAAAAAAACAAAUUUCAUUUGCUAAAGCUAAAAGGCCGACCAAGUUUAUAUUAUGGGAUUUCGACUUCCCGAUCCUUUCUAGGCUUUGGGAGCACAUUCCUCCCCACAAAUUCGAUAUCUAGGACAACUGACUAAAGAGCUCUGUUUACAUUCUUCUCCUUAAUUUUCUUUCUUUCUUUCUUUCUUUUUUUUUUUUUUUUAAAAUAAUGAAUGAAGUGGAGCUUUCUGGGUCGUCAGAAUGGAGAAUUAUUUGUCUCCAAUUAUUAUUAUUUUUUGCCCUUUUUUGAAGUCAGUUGAUUCCACGCUGCGGCUGCAAUCUUCUUCGCUAUGAUUCUAAUACGGUCUUCUCUUCAUUUCUCUUUCUCUUUCUGUUUGAAUAAGAGACGAAUUAUUAACAUGACACACGUCCCGUCAACUGAUGACGUGUUGUUUGACGAUUGCGUUUUAUUUAAUUAUAAAUUAAAAAUUUGAAAGAAAGAGAAAUAGUGAGUGAACGGGCAGUUUUGUCUGACAUAGUAAUAGCUUAAGCAAUACAAUGAACUUGAGGUGGCAGUUUUUGAAAUAUUUUAUAUAUAAAUAAGUUGUAUCGAGUCUCUCGAGACAUUCUUUCUUCUAAUUUUGAUCAUUGCAUCAUAAUCCUGCAUCUGUGUUCAUAAUAUAACUUUGUGCAUUACUUCAUUUUUUGGCACCUUUGGAUUCCUUGUAUCUUGAAUCAAAACUUAAUUGCAGGUUCUAGCAUGUACUUUUGUGUUUUUGAUGUGGGUUAUGUUUGUAUUUGAUGAGAGUAUAUGCUUAUUUAAUGGUAAUUGAAAAAAUUUGAUUUAAAACAGUCUAGCAUGUGUUGUUUUACAUUGAAUACUGUUUUCGUGAAAAGGGUUUUGUAUAUCGUUCAUUGCCUGUAGCUAUUGUGAUAGACAGUGUGUAUGCACCUUUGGCAAGCUCAACUCUUUUUGGAAUCCAUUAUUGAUUUGAUUAUUAAGCAUGUUUAGAAUUGGGUUGUAGUGAUUUUUAAGCUGUACGUAGUUGUUGAGGAAUGAAAUUAAAACAUUAGCUGCUAAAUAAAGUGGGGGUUUAUCAAAUAUUUUGGUCAACCACAUCCAUGUAAUUAUUUUUUAUUCUUUCUUUUUAACAAUGUGCUUUGCUGUAUCAGGAGAAUCCUAGUCCGGAAGGAAGAAUGGGAGAACCAGAAUGAUUGGUCCUCAACCACUGAUAUUUGAUCAUGCUGCUCAAAUCUUUACUGUGAAUCAUUCUCGGUUUGGUGAGUUGGUUGAUGGUUAGUCGCAGAAAUGUUUGGUACGACCAUGGGAAGGUGUGAUUGGAGAGUUGAUGUAGGUAGAUGUAACAAAAUGAAUAAACGAAUCGAGUUUGAAUCGAAUCGUAAACAAAUUAGGUCAGAACUGUGCAGAUUUGGAUUCGUUUUUUUAUUAAACAAAUUAAAAUCUCAGGAUUUAGAUUUAAUUUAUUUAUUAAACGAAUAUUCGGUUUGAUUCGUUUAAUUUAUUUAGUAGAAUUAAUAAACGAAUUGAAUUGAAUUUAAAUUUGUUUACUAUUCAUUCAUUUAUCAUAUAACAAAUUAAUAAUGAAUCGAACUGAAUAUGAAUUCGUUUACAAAAAUAUAAUUAAUAAACAAAAAUUAAGCAACACAAAUUAUAAAAAAAGACUACAAAUUUAACAUCCUACAAAAUGCAAACUUAUUAUUAUUUAUUAUUACUAUAAUACCUUCAAAUUUUAAAUUUUUUUCAUGUGAAUAUUGAAAGAUAAAUAAGUAAUUUAAACGGAUAAUAAACGAAUGAAUCGUAUUCAAUUCAUUUAUGUUCCAUUUAUUAAAAAAAUACUAAAUGAAUAAAUAUCCUCAAGCCUAAAUUCGAUUUUCUAAUUAGUGAAUCGAAUCAAAUUCACCCAUUUAUAACGUAAUCAUUUAUUUUUCAAAGGCAAACUCAUUUAAUUAGCAUCGAAUUGAAUGGAAAAUUCAUUCCAUUGUCUUCUUUACCUCCAAAAUAAAUUGGUGUUAAUGGAAUGCACUCUCUUGCUGACUCUUUAUUGGCCUUGGUAACAAAUCUUUGUUUUGCUUUUGUGUUCCUUUCUUGUCGAUUCUACCAUGCUUCUUUGCAUCAAAAGGGGGAAAAUUGUCUAAUUAAAUCACAAUGGUAAGAAACUGAAGUAUUGUUUUGAAGUUUGCUGGAAGGUGGUGUAGCUGCUUGGGUAUUCCAAGUCCCAAAAUCUUUAUAUUUUUCAGGUUUGACAGGAGAAGGAAGAUAAGAGUGUAUGAAACUAAAAGCUACAAUUAUAUGGUCACAUGAUUUCAAUUGCUUUGGCUGCAUUGCUAGACUUAAUGAAGCAGUGCUGAUAAUGAUCAUAACUGAGGAAAAGAAUAACCAGCAUGAACAUUUUGCACUGACACGGUGAGAGUAUAAGAUUGAACACUUAAUGAGAGAGCAUAUAUAUAUAUAUAUAUAUAUAGAGAGAGAGAGAGAGAGAGGGGGGGGGGGGGGAUUCUUGCGCCAUUAGUUAGGAACUGGUGAAUUAGGAAGUUGAUUUUAUUGUUGAAAUUUCUUUGUAAAGAAUGUAAGUUUGAGUGGGGAUUUCUUGUCAGAAUUUUUGAAGAUUGAGCAGCUUUAUUGAAGCCAGGAGCAAUCUUCUACCAAGCAAAGCUGUGCGAUCUCAACUUUGAAAAUAUGUUGUACAAAAUUAUCUGGUCACAUUCCUAAGUUUGUUUUCUUUGAUUACAGUUGUCAUAAUUCCAAGAUGCACAUACUCGAGAGAAUAACAAACAAUAUACCAAGAUAUAUAAUUGUUCCACUCUUAUUUAUGAAAAUGGCACAAAGGCACAAAUUAUAAUAUAGUGGGUGGAAAAAAAUAAUUGUUAUCACAAAAACGACUUUAAGAUUUUUAAUUAAUUUGUAAAGAUUGACACAAAAAAUCUUUGUAUGGACUUUGUGCAGUCUUCGUUUAAGUGUCUGCUUGUUACAUGGGGAAGAAGAGCCUUUUCAGAAGGUGGGGAAGGGAAACAUAGAAUAUCAGAAGGGACCAGCAAUGUUGCAGCAGGCAAGCCUUCGAGUUCCGAAUGAGCGGUGCUAGCGUCAUUUGCUUUUGACGCAGCCGCUGCUUCAAAUGGGGACACCUAACCCUCUGUUUUUUUUUCUUAAUCACUUGCAAUUUGUGAUUGAAAAACCCUCAUUCUUUAUGCUUAAUUACUAUAUUACCAUUUCCUUCAGUUUUUUUUUUGGAAAAAAUUACAUUUAUUUAAAGUUUAAAUUGACUACAAUGUUUGCUUAAUAUGACAGUAACAAUGUUACGCAAAUAUUUCUUACUCAAAAUUUUAUUUUUCUGAGAUAAGAUUCAAAUAAUAAUAAUAAUAAAUAUCAAUACACCAUUAUUAUUUUUUCACUUCUUAUUUUAGCCCCUCUCUUUAUUAUGAUUUUUACAAAUAAUUUGAUACUUUUUGUGAAAUUAAUAGGUCCUCUUAAUUAUUAGUGGAGUAGAUUUAACUAGUUUAAGUUUUGAUUUAAAUAUUCAAAAUGCUUUGGAUAAUCGAUUUAGGAGAUUCAAAUAAAUUUUUUACUAUAAAUAUCAAUAUUUUUAUCAAGUAAUUUAGUGACUUAUAAUGAAAAGUACUUUUUACUUGUGCAAUUUUUUAAUAAAUUUAAUCUGGUACUGACUUCAUAUUUUUAUUCAUAAAUAUCUUUUCUUUUUGGUUAAUUGUUUGUCUCAGGAAAUAGAUUAAACAAAUAUAUAAAGGUGUUUGUGUUAUAAAGGGUGUUAUUGAUAAUCAUACUAAUAGCAAAAACUGAAACUAUUUUUUUGAGAUAAAGUUGAGUUCUUAUCAAUCUUCAAAGUUGUUUGUUAGUUUCGUCAAUGAGUUUAAUUGGUUUAGAAAAUUAUUUGAAGGUAAUAGAAUUACAUUUAUACUUUAUGGUUCAAUGGGAAGCCACCAAAGCUAUUUAUCAUUUGAGUGAAAAAUUAACAGUCUUUCACUCACUGUGUCGAUUAAUACACUCAUUAUUCUUAAAUUAUCUUAACACUCCCAAAAUAUUUUUUAUGUUAAAUUAAUUUGUAAUAUGUUAAUUUUAUAUUGUAGAUAUAUUUUAAUAAUAGUAAGGAGUUGGAACUGGAAGCACGAACAAAGAAGAAUUAUUGUAGCCAUUUGAAAACAUUAUUGAGCAGAUUUAAUAAAAAAAUAAAAAAAUAAAGUGAGCAAUCAUGUUUGUAAUGGUUAGGAGGCCAUUAUGCCGCCUGACCAUCACCAUGUUUUACUUGUUUGUUUGUGUGAUAAUAAUAAAACAAAAGAAGUUAAAGCUGAAGAUCGCCUAUAAAUAGGAUGAACUUCUGCGGAGGGGGGACGAAGAACCGAGAGAGAACGAAGUGAAGCUGAGGAUUUUCUUUCUUUCUUUCUUUUUUCUUUCCUUGUUUUCUUCUGUAUCAAUUUUCUUGUAAUAUAUUCCAGAAGUUUGUCAAAUAAUAAAAAGAGUAUUCUAUUUUCUUUCAAUAUGAGUGAUUAAUUUUACUAAGCUGAGGUGCAGAGUGAAGCUCAAAGUUUUAAAUUAUAAAAUUAAUUACUUUCUCAAGUGAGUUUUAAUUUUAUUUUAUUCUUUUUUGUUAUUUUUAUGCAAUGUUAAUUUAUAGAUUUCCUUGGAUUUGUAUGAUAUUUUGACAUAAUGUCGACACAUUAAUAUAGUUGUGGCACAUUAGGUACUUGAUUCUAUAUUUAUCCACACACAUAGUUAGUUAAGAAUUAAAUGACAUAAUAAGUAACUGAUAAAAGUGAGGUAAAAUAUAAAAAUAAAAGAGUAUUAAAACCAUAGUUUGAAUACGGAGAGUGGAUCUUAUAACCUUAGCAUAUUUUUAUAUUGAUUCCUAUUAAUUUUUUUCCUCAUUUAAUUUUCUUUGUUUAACAAAUUGACUACUAGAUUUUAAAUUCUCUGUUGUUCGAUCCCGGACUUACCGGAUUAUAUUAUAACUAGACACUUUUAUACUUGAGAGUAAUAACAUUUUUGAGUCGUGUCACUUUACAUUUUGUUCUUUUAUCUUUUUCUUCUGACCACAAGACAAGAAUAUGAUGGUCUCAAGAGUUUUUUAAUUCAACUAAAUUUCAAUGCAUGUUGACCAUGAACUAUGUGUGUGUGUAUAUAUAAUGUAAUCAAUUCAAAUAAAAUAUUUUCUUUCUUAAUAUUAGUUUACUAGAUUCAGCUGUCUUAAGCUUAGUAGUUAUUGUGAAUUUCGACCUCGUUACUACUAGUCUGUUCCAGUCAACUUGUGCGCUUGUGAGUACACAAUUUGCUCAACAUUUGACAUACUAUUCAUUCAAUUAAGCCAAACAAUAAAAUAGUAAAAGCCCAUUUGGGAUUAGUUUUUGAGAUACUUAAAAAUGAUUUUAAAAAGUUAAAAACUAAUUUUAGUGUUUGGUAUAUUUAAAAAAAAAUCAUAUUUGGCAAAAUCACCCCAUUCUAUAGCACAUUUUGAUAAUAAGUUUUAUAUUUAAUACCGUUUCACAUAUAUCCUCACAAUUGUUAUAAAAAUUCAAAAUUAUCCUUAUUUAAUUAGGAAAUUAAGUCAUUAAAUUUAAACAUAUUAUUAUUAUGACUACUACUAAUACUACUACCACUAAUUAUAUUGAGAUAACAAAAUUAAUAAAAUAAAAAAAUUUUGAGUUAUUAGUUAUUUUAUGUACACAAUACAAAAAAUAAACAUUUUAUAUAUAUCAAUUAUUUGUAUUCUUAUAACAAUUAACUGUAAAAAUUACUAAGUACAUAUGACUAUUUUUAAAACUCAUAACACUUUUAAAAAUAAAUUUUACUAAACAUCUUAUCUGCUAACAUCAAUCAUCAUGUUCCAUGUAUGUUGUUCUAUCGUUUGUGUGUUAGGUUGCAUUAGUUUUUUUAUCUGAAAUUUGAAUAGGUCUAAAUAAAAAUGUCUAAAUGACUUGUUUGUUUUUUUCUUUUUCAACAUCCGAAGAGAAAAAAAAUAAAAGGUAGUAGUUUGACAUAGAUAUCCUUUUAAGUGAUGCAUAUAUUUGUUCUUCACAAUUUAUAAUUUUCACAAGUUGAUUUGUUUGGCAGCAUUAAAAAAAAAAAACUAUCAUUAUUGAUUUUAAUUUAAUUUUGUAAUAAAAGAUGUAAUUAUGAUAUUAACUUUUAUUAUAAAGUUAACAUUGUUGUUUUAUUUUUUAUUCAUCACAAUAGACAUAAUUUGAUUUGUUCAAUAUUUCAAUUUAGUUAAUGUUAUCAUGUGAAUAAAAAUUUAAAGCAAUUAAAAAAAAUAACUUCAAGAAUAAUACAAAAAUAUUAGGUUUAUAUAUAAUAUUGAAAAUACAUGAAUUGUUAAGGGUAUUUUUGAGAAUUGAAAUUAAAAUUUUCUAUUUACACUUCAAAAUUUAGAUAAAAGUGGAUUUUUUUUACUUUUCCUAUUCAGAUAAAUUUGUACAAUGAGUGAUAAGUUAAAAAACCAAACAACCUAAAAUAAAUAAAUGUUUGGAAAAAAGUUAAAUUCAGACUUCUAGCUAAAAAACAAACAGCACCUUAGUGUGUAAAAAAAUAAAGGCUUUAAAUAUAUUUAAUAUUCCUAUUAAAAUAUUUAGUACGCUAUAUUAACUUAUCCACUGGUGUAGAAUUUGAAAAAAAAAAGUUUGUUUUCCUGUUCAAUUUUAAGUACUAACAAUUAAAGAAACAGAUAAACAAAAUUUUUUUUCAGUCAAUAAUCUAUACCAUUAAAAAAAAAAUUAAACUAGGAUUGUAAAUAAAUGAAUAAAUAAACGCAUAAUUGAUUUUUUAAAAAAAAAAAUUAGCCAACAUACCAUGAUGAAGUGAGGUACCAUGAAUCUUAAAAAUAAAUUUAUUGUUUUGAUGAGAUUUUGUCUCUUUUUCUUGCAUCCAAAAUCCACUCAAAAUUAUGUAGAAGCAUAGUGGUUGUUAGAAAUGUACCCCAAGUACGUGCAUAUCCUGCCACCAAAAUAGGACUCAACUCGAGUUAUCCAAACUUAGUGAAACUUAAACUUUGUGUUUCAAUGAGCUAGUCAACCACAUCCAUGUAAUUAUCAUUACCAUUAUUGUUGUUAUUGUUAUUUUCCUUUUAAAACGGUGCCUUUGCUAUAUAUCAGGGGAAUCAUGCAUGGGAACCAGGAUGAUAGGUACUGAUUCAAAGUCCCAAAAUGAUCACAGUUUUGAGGUUUGACCCCCACAUGCACAAGGAAGAUAAGAAGCUAAAAUUAAUUACAUGGGCUGCAAUGGGUGGACUUAGAAUGAAAUGGCAUGACGGCCGAGGAAAAGAAGAACUAGAGGGAACAUUUUAUUUUGCACCACUGUGUCAUGACUGCAAUUCCUGCACAGUAACAAGCUUAUUAAUAGUCAUAUAUGCCACACUAAUAAUUAGCGUAUUUAUACAAACAUCUUAAUUAUCAAGGCACAAAUGAACUUAAUUAAAUUCAAAGAUGGCAAUUCAGAAGCGAUAAUAUAUCCCAGCGGCAACUAAUAUAUAUAAUAGAAAUUAAAGUCCAUGGUUAGCAUUAACAUUGUGACACGCGGUACUACAGAUACAGGCUUACCCUUGGUUUGUUUUGGUAGAGUUAUGCAAAUGGCUGAAGCGUUGGCUGGUGCUUGCAAAAGAUAGAGAUCCAGCUCGCAUGCUCAUUUCAACACUUGGCGCUUGGCGGGUGCAGUGAGUUCUGCAGCAGGCUCUACAAAUUAAAUAAUAUAGUUUUAUUUAUUUUUAAAAUAAUUAAAACUCUUUUAUUUGCCCACCACUUAAGUUUUUCUCCAAUCACAGGAUAGGGUCCUUUCCCGCCUUUUCCCGGUAAAUCCUUUAGGAUUGUAGACGUGGCAGAUACCAAGAGGAGGAAGAGAAGCCGUGUUUGACUUUUAGAAAGAAAUAAUAAUAAUCUUGGAGUAAGCUGACGCAAAUUGUAGGGCCUGCACCACUUUAUUAAUUUAGUUUUUUCAGCCGCUAAUUUUUUUCAUGGAGUAAUUUGUAAAAACCUCCCUUAAGGUUUGAGCUUGUUGUAAGUAGAUAAUAAAAAUAUAUUUAUUUGUAAAAAUUUUUUUACUAUCAGUUAAUUUUAAUAUUGACCGUUAGUUGAUUGUGCAAAGAUAAUAGUACCCUUAAUAAUAGUUUGUAGAUAGAAAUAAUUAAAAAAAAAUUAAAAUUAUUAGUUAUUUUAUCCUCUUUAAAUUAUUGAUAUUUUCUUAAAGUUCCUACAAAAAAAAUAAAAUUAAAAACUUAAAAAAACCUCUUUAAAUUAUUGAUAUUUCCUUAAAAUUUCUACAAGAAAGAUAAAAUAAAAAACUUAAAAAUGAAAUAGUCAUAAUCUUUACCUAUAAUAUUAACAAAAAUAAAAUUGUCAAAAAAUAAGAUUUGUGCUUUUCGCGCCAACAAUAAUCUUGGAGUUUCCAGCUGCUAAAUUGUAGGGCCUGCACCACUUUAUUAAUUUAGUUUUUCCAGCUGCUAAAUUUCUCCAUGUUACAUUACAUUACACGCAAUUUUGAAGUUUAAAUUUGUCUCUCUUUUUUUAAAAAAAAAAAAAGAAAAAAAUAAUUUUUAUCAUUUCUGUUUCCCCCCAGUAAUUGUCUUAAAAUAAAUAUUGUACUUCCGCGUAGUACGCAGCACAAGGACAUUAUGAACGGUAUUUAAUCUCGCCCCCUCUUGUUCACAAACAAUUUUGAAGUUUCAAAGGAAAUUAAAGAAAGCUUUAGUUUCCUCCCUUGACGUUGACGUUCUAAUCUCUAACUGAUUGCUUUACUUACCGUGCCGUCUUACCUCACCGAACACAAAUGUAUGGGGACUCUUGACUCAAAUCACAAUUGAAGCCUGCCCAAUAGUUUGUGUAAGUGUCCUUAAUUUUUUUCUUUCAGAAAUUAUUAUUACACCACUUUUCUUUUAUCUCAUAUUAAUUCAACCACUAUAAAAUUUUAAUAUGUUCUCUAUAUCAUAUUUUUAAAAAAAUUUAUAUCAAUUAGACACUUUUCCAUUAACACCGUUAAAUAAUUUAAAUGAAACGAUAAUUUUACUUCUAAAUAAAUUAAAAGAUUAUUUUAUCUUAUAAAAGCUUUGAAAAUAAAAAAUUAUAAUUAUAAAAAUACUCCUACAUUUAAUAAAGAAAUGUAGUGCAGAGAACAUUGUAGAAUUUGUGGUGGGUGGAUGAACAUAAGAUUAAAAAAAAUGGUGCAAUGAUAAUUUUUUUUUUCUAAGAACUGUCCUUAAAAUUGAAAACAGAACAACAAUUUUUUUUUUUUUCAUUCAACACUAUUAGAAAAAGCAAAAAACACAACAUUUUGUCUGGAAUGAAAGGUACGGUCAACCUGUAAAAUUUCAUCUAACCCCCUAUGCUCUAUAUAUUUUAUUCAUGAAUAUUAUAAAUUUUUUGAAAUGUAAAAUUUCGUUUAACCCCUUCUACUUAAUUUUAUUUUAUUAAAACCAUAGAGUAUGAAUUCGCCCCCAUAAUUUUAAAUUCUCAAAAUAACCUCUAUUUAAUUAAAAAAUAUAAUUAUUAUUAAAUAAAUUAUAAUUAUAAUUUUAUUAUAAUCAUAAAUAUUUUUUUAGAAAGCGACUCGCUCUCUUUGGCUCUUCCCCAAAAUCUGUGGGAACUUAAAGUUUAACUUCUAAUAAUUAUAAAUUUAAACUUUAAGUUCUAACUUUUAGUUUGUCCACGAGGCUUCUACUUUCCGAAAUGAUCCAUUCAAUCUCUUUUUGGCUUUGAUAAGACUCCUGGACGGUAUUUAUUGAAUUAGAUUCCACAAUCAAAGGAAAGAAACUCGAAUCUGUUGCCAACUUGAUGCCUUGUAGGACAGCUUCAGCCUCUGCAAACUCGAUGUCGCCGAGAAAAGAGCUGAGCCAACCAUGAAAUCUCCCUUGGAAUUUCUUAUUAUUAUUACACCCAAACCUGUAAUUCCAUUGGAGACAUCAAUCGCUGCAUCAACUAUUUAUUUAUUUUAACAUUCUUUGUAACGCAGCAUGAUAAUGUCUCAUUAUAUGAUAUUGUGCUUUACGAGCAUUCAAAAUUCUUUCGAAUUUAAAGAUUUUGAGAUAUACAGUAGUACUUUGAUAAAUUUAUAAUUUUGAUUAAAUAAAAAUUUAACCAACAUAAUAAAUAAUAUUUUGAUAAGUUUAUUGAAUAAUAAUUUUUUUUAAAUUUCAUUUUCUUAUAAGACCCACUUAAGAUAUAAAUUAAUAAUUACCUAAUUUAAAAUUAAAUCGAUGAUGUCAUAUGACUUUUGAAAACUAUGUUCCUAUUGUUAACUUUUUUGGUUUCUUGAAAUUGAUUUGAAAUUAUUAGAAGUUAAACUUUAACUUCUAACUUUCAGCCACUUGUUGGAAGGAAAGGAGAAAAACAGAAUGAGCCGUGCUAGCGUCGAGUUAGCAACCUCAAGUUCUAAAAGCGACUCUCAAGUAGGGAUGGCAAUGGGCACCGCCCGCAGCGGGUUUGCCAUUACCAAAUCCAAACCCGCACAAAAUUUAAAUUACUAAACCCACCCGCAACCCGCAGCGGGUUUUAAUUUUUGUACAAAAACCCACCCGCAGCGGAUUUUAACAAUUACCAAACCCGCAAUGGUAUCCGGCGGAUUUUUUGCGGGUUUCCGUAUUUAAAAUCACAAAUGUUUAAUAUAUAAAUUUAUAAUAAUAACCUCAAAUUCCAUAUAACAUACUUAAUUUUAUAUUUAAAUAAUGUAAAUGAAAAAUUAAAAUUUCCACAUCAAUUCAACACAAAUUCUCAAAUUUAAGUAUAAAUUACACAAAUCCAUUUAAAAAACACAAACUAGUAUCUAAAAAUAAUAAUUACAUUUCAUAUUAUCAUUUAAAACAAGCUCCAAGAGAAGAUAUUCAUUUCAUUCGCCACCAUAAGCACCCAUCCAACACAAUGCCUAUAAUAAUAAUUAAGAUUAAUAUUUUCAAAUACUAAUUCGAAGGAAAAUGCCUUUAGUUUUCUUUAGAUUAUGACUUUAGAAUAAGAUAUAGGCCACAUACACACAUACACAACUUUGAGCCUUUGGCUAUUUGGUAAUUUAAUUAAUGACAUUAUUUUCUUUAUACAUUUUUAGAUUAAAAUUAAAUUAAAAAUAUUUGAAAAAAAUAUUGCGGGUUUGGUGGAUAUCCAUGCGGGUAUCCACCGGAUAUAAGGUUAAUACCAAACCCACCCGCAUUCAUGUGCAGGUUUUAAUUUAUAAUACUAAACCCGCCCGCAACGAGCGGAUUUUAACGGAUGGAUCUGAGCGGAUUUGCGGGUACAAUUACCAUCCCUACUCUCAAGUUACAAAGCGACUCGCUCUCUUUGGCUCUUCCCCAAAAUCUGUGGGUGAGCGGUGCUAGCGUCGGUCGCCUUUGGGAGCGACUGACGCAGUCAGUCAGUUACUACUGCUAAGGGUGACAAGUGUCCCUUAUCUUUUUUGUGCUUUAUUAAACGAGUAAAAGAGACGACUAACGAGUGAAGCAAUAAUGACGGCACGAAAACCUGAAAAAUCUGUCUUUUCAGUGAAUAGUAUUUUGAAAAAAAUUCCUUUCUAGGACGGAGUUGGCUUCUGGAAUAAGCCACGUCGAAUAAUCAUGUCUCUUUUCAGGCCCGUCAUUCCACCAUCCCAUUUUCUAUUGUUUAGUUUCUCACUCCACAUCCAACGGCUGAUGCUGCAGUCUGUAGCUUACAGAUUCUGUAAGCUAGUCAAGUCCCUCGUUUCAUACGCAGACAAUGUCUCUUACAAUUGACAGUCACACAAAAUGGCAGCUUCCCUCGCUUGACGUGUCACCCCAUUUGGAUCAUAAUUGGGAGUCCAGGGACGGAGUCAGCAUGGGACGAGGUGGGGCACAGCCCCAGCUGGCUUUUAAUUUUUUUUAUAAUUAUACUAAAAAUUUGUAUUUUAUUUGUUAUUUAUGAAAAAUACCCCAAUUAAAUUAUAAAAUUUGAAAUCGACUCCAAUAAUUUAAAAAAUAUUUCAUACUAUCCCCAGUUUAAAUUUCUAAUUAUAAAUAAUUUAAUUAGUUAUUAACAUUUCAUGAAACUUGAUUAAAGACACGAGAAUAAAUAUUAAAAUAAAAAAACAAUCAUAACAAAAUGUUAGUAUAAUGGUUAAUGGACUGGUAUUUAAUCUUUUUAUUUUUUAUUCAAGUAAAAUCAAUUAUUUAGUCUUUCAAUACUGAACCAUAAGUUGUAAGUCUACCUAAUUCUAAUUUUUAAUUUUCUAAUUAAUCUUUUGUCUAGUUUUAAAUUUUAUAAUUUUAUCAUGCAUUUCAUAUUUAUUCUUUGUGUUGCAAUAUAUGAAUAUUUUUGUUAUUAUUAAAAGAUUUUAAGAGCAAAUUAAGUAAUAGCCUAGUAUUGUAUAUUGACAAAUAUAUUUUUGCUUAUAUUGAUAAUGCAUUAUUUUAAACUCAUCAAAUCUCAUUGAGGAGUUUUCACGGAGAACCAUUGUAAUAAAUAAAUUUAUUAUCAAUGAAUAUUAUAGUUGUAAUGUUAUAUAUUGAUAUCUAAAUUUUUAUAAAUGUAUUAUACUUUAAAUAUGGUUUCAAUUAGAUGCAUACAAAUGCACUCUAAAAGGAGUACAAUUAUACAUGUCGCAAGUUCCCAUUUGGAGUUUAUAGGGCCCACAAUACAAUUUCUCAAAUGGGAACUUAUCACAUGAGCAAUCGCUCAUUUGAGUCAUGUUUGAUUUCAAAUGUGCCCUGGCUCGAUCAAAAUUCUGGCUACGUCCCUGAUUGGGACCUACUUGCGAUGUGAUCGGUCUCCAAGUCCAACAAUGUGAUAAAUUUCAGUCGCACAAGAUCUCGCUUGACGUGUCACCCCAUUUGGAUCAUAAUUGGGACCUACUUGCGAUGUGAUCGAACUCCGAGUCCAACAAUGUGAUAAAUUUCAGUCGGGGUAAUUUUUAAAAACCACCCUUGAGAUUUGCCUUUGCUACACCUAAAUAGAAUGUAUGCAUAUAUUGACAAUAUCCCUCCUGACUGUGUAUAAGAGUUAGGCACCCGUUAGAUAGUUGAGGGCAACAACGUAAAUGCCCUAUUUUUUAAUUUUUAAAUCUUACAAAAACUGAUAUACGGUAAAUGAUUAGAUGAGCAACUAGAGAAUGCACAUGAUGCUUUGAAGCUAGUGAAACCCGAGGGGGUUAGUAACCCAUUUUCAAACCCAUGGACAAUGCUUAGCUUCAUUUCUUCUUGUUUUUUCUGAACAUAACUUAAUACCCACUGAAUUUAGCAAUAACUGAGGCACUUUGUGAUACACUAAGCUAACAAAUUUAUGAGAUCAACUAUGUUUUGAACUGAAUUCUAACGAUGACCGACAUCUGACCAACCACUGAUUGAAGAGCGUGAAAGAUGUGUAUUUCUGUGGAAGUUUAAAAUUGAAGUUGGGUUUUAUUAUUUUCUUGGAUUUUGUUUUAAGAUUUUCACAAAAUAACGAAGACUCUAAAUAUAUAUUAUUUCUAUUAAACUAUUUAAUAUGCUAUUUUAACUUAUUUAAAGGAUAAUAUUGGUGAAGCUUUUGUUUUAAAAUUGGUGAGGAAUCUAAAUUCCUCACCCAUUGCUGCAGAAUUAAAAGAAAAAGUUUGUUUUCUGUUUUCAAUUUUAAGGACUAACAACUAAAGAAAGAGGAAAACAAACAAUUUUUUUUUCAUUCAAAAAUCAAUACUACUAAAAAAACACACACACACACAACAUUUAGACUAGGAAUGUAAAUAAAUGUAUACAUAAACGUAUAACUGAAUUUAUGAAAUGAAGCUGAUGGAGUACUGAGGAGCCCUUUUCACACACGCACGCACCUCAGAAUAUAUAGCAAAAUAAAUGACACAUCAUAUAAAUCAUUAUACAAAAUACAAGAGACAACUACAUCUGCGAUUAAACAGAAAUCAGUGAAGAAUGAUGAUACACGUACAUAAAAGAGAAAUCAUGAAAGAUCAACAACUCCUGCUCAAACUGGGUUACACAAGACUUGAAGACUAGACUAGCUCAACCCUGUAAGCAGGGCCGGAUAUAUAACUAAAAAUUGAAGCAUAGCAGGCUAGGAGAAACACGUAUGUGAGGGCAACGGAGGCAAUGAUGGAAGUAUUGGCGGCACGUACAGCUACUGAGUGAUACUCAUAUAGGUUGAGGGGACGCACAUUGGAUCAAUUCGUAGGGCAUACCUGACUUAAGAGCAUGAUGUCUUAUGCCGGGCACUUUUUGACUGUAAGAUUCAUUGAAGAAUACCAAGGCUUUAUUGACCACUCUCUUGUAGGAACCAUCGGACCUACCACUUUGAUUUUCUGCACUUGGUAAAAGCGCAGAAACAACAAUCUGAGCAUUCGCUCCCUGGGUGUCUUAAUCGGCUUCGGCGCAGAAACAACAAUCUGAGCCUUCGCUCCCUGGGUGUCUUAAUCGGCUUCGGCGCAGAAACAACAAUCUGAGCCUCCGUUCCCUGGGUGUCUUAAUCGGCUUCGGCUUUUUGGCUAAAGCCGAUUCGGACCUACCACUUUCAUUUUCUGCACUUGGUAAAAGCGCAGAAACAACAAUCUGAGUCUUCGCUCCCUGGGUGUCUUAAUCGGCUUCGGCGCAGAAACAACAAUCUGAGCCCCCGUUCCCUCGGUGUCUUAAUCGGCUUCGGCUUUUUGGCUUAAGAAGAGGCAUAGCAUUUGGAAAACACAGCUCCUGAGUGUCACAAAUAUAAAUAUUAUUCACUACUUCAUUCGACCUCACCAUAAUCCAAGAAGCCCCUUCUCUUGAAUUUACACCUCAAAAUGUGCCCUAGAAAAAAUCAGCGCUCUGUGUUCUGGAACGAGGAAGAAAAACUCGUUCGCUUCAACCACCGUCUUCCAUCAGGGACGAAGCAAGAGGAUGUGAUGGUAGGCAUUGAUGAAGAUGCCAAAUUGCUUACGAUAACAAGCAAGGUGGCAAGUGCACAUAAAGAUUCCUCAGUGAUCACAUCCUCUCUCUUCAGUUUCCUGAAGAAGAAGGAAGGAGACACCACCAGCCAGGUAAUCCGGAUGGAAUUCAACUUGCCAGCAGGUCUGAAUCCAAAUGGUUUCAAGGCUGCAAUCGAUGCCGAGGGGUUGCUAACUCUCACUUUUGAGAAGCUCGUGCCCAAUCAUUCCGAAACGCCCUCGGACCUCGUAAAGGUCUCCGUGCAGUGGAAGAGCAAAAAAGGCGUCUUUCACUUCAAGGCCCAUCUGCCAGCGGGGACGAAGAUGGAGGACAUGAUGGUCGGGAUAGAAGGUCGCAAAUCCCUUAUGAUAGGCAUUUGUGAUCUGCCGAAGACAGAGGAAGGGGACACCAGUACUCUCAUGUGCUUCGAUGGCAAGAACUUUAGGAGCUUCAUUUUGCCAGAUGGUGUGAACCCAAAUGGCUUCAAGACUGCAAUGGAUGAUGCCGGCGUUCUUACUGUUACCUUCACUAAACUCAAGCCACAGAAGAAAAAGCUGUGGCCAAUAGCAAAGAAGUCGCUGGGAUGUUUGGCUCAUGCUGCUUGUUUGCUGAUAUGUGAGAAGAUAAGUGAUGGGAUAUGAGUUGAGGAGACUGCUAAUAAGGAAUUUGCCUCAAGUUCAUGCAUGUUGUUCUGUCGUUUAUGUAUUAGUGUUUGAAAAUAACUCUGUACCCGAGACCAGGUGCUUGUAACUACUACAGGGUGCUUGUAAUAACUAUGUUGUAUUGUAUCCCCUUCUUUGCAGGGAAAGAAGGGAGCUUUAUCUGAUUAAAAGAUGAUAAAUGCUGAGCGAAAAAUAAAUGUUGUGUUUGUUAAAACUUAAGCAGCAAUUUAAAUUUUUUCUCAAGUAGCCGCCAUCCUCCUUUUACUUUUUGGCCGCUGGUAUGGCAGCCGCCUCCGGCAUCGCCCAAACUGCCGUUCACCACCCAACCAGCCGGGAUCCCCUUUCCUAACCGUUGCCGCCCCAAAACGAAAAUCCAAGUUCACGGCUUCCUCAUCAAAAUCUAGCCGCCAUCUCCUCCACCACCGUUGGCGGUGUUUUACAGCCGCCUGAACCCUCCUCUGUCACCUUGCAGCUGCUGCCCAACCACCUUCUUCACCAAACCCCGUCGACAACGUAUCGUCCUUUAACGCGUGUCGGUCCAAAGCGACACAAUAAACCCUAGUUCGUUACCAUCUUCCCGAGCCGCCACCACUCUUCCUGCCACAGCUGAACCUGAUGUGCUGCCGUCGGUUCACUUCACAUCAUCCCAACAGCCACCGUCUAGCUUCACAGCUUCCAACCUUGGCCACACGCAACUCCUUUUGGCUACCGCUUUUGGCCUUGCAACGUCCCCAACCGAUGCUCGUUCUCCCUCUCAUCCCUUAACUGGCCCUUUGGCUACGACAGUCUCCUACAAUCCAAAUCCGACUCUUCACCAAAACCCUAGCUCGCUCUCUCUUAGCCAAACACAAACCCAUGCGGCUGCCCCUCCUUCCUUGGCUACUCACUCCUUCAACGGUGAUGGUAGCUGCCCUCCUUGUUGCCUUCACAGCCUCCACACAGCCAACAAACAUCCAACUCCCAACUUGGCGGCGAAGAUUCACGCUUUCUGCCUUCAACUAGAGUGCAACAGCAGACAAAGUGAUAACAGGUAUGUCGGAGGGUGUUAAAGCUGCGCUUGGCCUGCUGAAAGGUUCAGUUUACAAGCCCAUCUGUAGAUAUAUUAAUUCAUAAUUAAGAAAAUUCCGGGUUCCUUUGUGAUGAAUUAGAUAAUUAUCCUUUUUUUUCCCCUUUUGGAAUCUGCAGGGGUGCAGCUCUUUUGACAAUCCAAGUAUUCCGUGUAUUUUUUUGUCGUCACGGAAGGGCUGGUAUCUUUGUCGGAGGGUGUUAAAGCUGCGCUUGGCCUGCUGAAAGGUUCAGUUUACAAGCCCAUCUCUAGAAAUAUUCAUAAUUAAGAAAAUUCUGGGCUCCUUUGUGAUGAAUUAGGUAAUUAUCUUUUUCUUUUUUCCUUUUGGAAUCUGCAGGGUGCAGCUCUUCUGACAAUCCAAAGAUCCAUGUAUCUUUGAUCGUCACGAAGGGCUGGUAUCUGUGGCGAUUGGCUGUUGGGUUCAACUUUAGAGUAAGCUGCCUUUAGUGGCAUGGAUCUUACUGAUCAUGUAAGCAAGAAUAUGAUUUUCUUUUGCUUGUUUGGUUUUGUUUUGCACAUGCAAAUAUAUCUUUCAUGAUUGAUAAUUUAUGUCAAAUAAAAAAAAAAGAAUCCCUAUAUAUGGACAUGUAAAUAUAAAUUAGUAUAUUUGCUUCAGUUCAGUUUGAAAUAUCAGACAAAUUUCAAGCAUAAGAUUGAAGCUGGAUUAUUCAUAUAUAAAUAAUGUAAUUGGUCUAUGCAGAUCGCAGAUUAUUUACGAAUUGAUGGAGUUUGUUCUGAGGCGUUUGCUGUCGAUUUUUACUGGGCUAGGAAUGUAAUUAUAGUUGCUAUGACCUUGUAGGCACUGUUGGCAGAUGCGGUAGAGUUGGCGAAAUGAAAGACUUUUUGUGUAAUAUAAUAAUAUGGCAAAUGCUAUGUUACAUUUUCAUCGCAUCAUAUUAAUUUUAUUAGGAAAAAUACCCUUUUAUACCCUGGGAUUUGAUGGAAUAGUCACUUUCUUCCUUACUAUUUAAAUAGUAGCCCAUUUCAUCUAUUUUUUUUAAUCAAUAGCACAAAACACUCUUCCAUUAAUUUACCAUCAGUUUACUGUAUAAUUUAUUGAGGUUAAAAUAGAAUUUUCAAUUAAGUAAUAUAAAUUAUUUUAAAAUAAAACUCUCAAUCAUAAUUAAAUAACAUUUAACUUUCUGUGUAAAUUUAAAAUUUAAAGAUGAAAUAAAUAACGUUAACACUAAAUAAUACUCAAAAUAUGUAUUUAGGACAAAAUAAAAUAAAAAAAGUUUCACGGGCACUGGAGUUUUUUUUUUCAGCAUGUCCUUAACUUUAAUAUGAUCAAGAUAAAUAAAUAAAUAAUCCAUUAGUACUGUUAUUCUACAAAAAGUAAACACAAACUCCUUCAUUUACUUAAUAACAUGUGCACCAAAGACAUAAAAACACAUAUUUAAAAUACUAUAGAAUAAAACACACUACAUUAAAAUGUGUGUGUGUGUGUGUGUGUUUUUUUUUUUUUUUACUUUUAACUUAUCUCUGCUCUUAAUAUGGACAAUGACCCCUGAUUGGAUGAUGAUAAUGAUGAUGAUGAUUUUGUUGUUGUUGUUGUUAUUGUUGUUAUUAUUGUUGUUGUUGAUGUUAUAUAUUCAAAAUUUUAGUUGACUUUAUCAAAAAAAAAUUAAUGGACACAGAUCAUUAUUGUUUCUAUAAAAUUCUUAUGUACAUGAAUAUGAAUCCAUCAUCUUUUUUCUCUGUAACCACUCGUCUCAUUUACAAUCAACAUCCUCUCGAGUCCUCCUUGAGCAAAUGUAUUUCUAUGGAAAAGUCAAACAUCUUGUCAAAGUCAUUGUUAAAGAUAUAUAUACAUUGAAAACUAUGUUUUUUGUUUGAUUAAUUUAUCCUUAAAUUUUAUGUUGAUGGAGAAGGUUAAAGUAAGAUGGUUGUGUGGGAUGAGCAGGGUACCUUCCGGAGGUUAUAACUCAAGCUAUGGUGUUUGUUUUGCACAUAUAAUAUAUUGUUUCAAAGCUUGUAAUGAGACAAACCAAAUUCAAACUUCUUGGGCCAUUCUGCCCUAUGGUUUAGUCAGAAAUUCCACUUUUUUUCAGUCAUUUUUAAGUUAUUUUUCUAUUUUUCAUGUCACUUUUAAGAUUUUUAUCUUUAUAUAUAUAUAUAUAUUAGAUUUAGGUACCGUUUGUUUUGGUUUCCUAAUUAGUUAGUAGAAUUCUACUACAAAAUAAUGUUGCAGACUUUCCUAUUUUGGUAAAUUCGUGAUAUUUAUAGUAAUUAUAAAAGGGGCCCACAAUCCUAUUUUUGCUCAUUCAAACUUUUUAUAAUAAAAUUUCAUUACGUAGAAAUCUAGUUUUUCUUAUUUUUCAAUCUCCACGCUUUCGCAUCAUCAAAAGUCAGGUGUUAUAUUGCAUUUAUUUAAUUGGGAAUCCUAUUUUGCCCUAAUGAAUUAUAGAGUAAACUAACUAUGUAUUCAUGGAACGGUCUUUUGCGCUAUUGUUUGAAAAAUAAUUGUUUGAAAAAUAAGGAUGAAAUAGGCUAUUGUUUAAAAAAUAAGGAUGAAACGUGUUAUUGCGUCAAAACCUAAGGUGAAAAGGUAUUUUUUUUUCCUUUUAUUUAUAUAAAACAAUACAUUCUCUCAUUGACAACACAUAAGAUAAGUUUCACCGAAUCUUCGAGUGUGGUAUUGCGUAAUCGUUUACACUUUUCAGUUUUUAAGCCAGCAAAAAAUGAAAAAAAUUCAAAAUUACAUAAAUUGGAUAAAUUAGAUAAUUAACUCAAAUUAUUAACGGAAUAAUUGUCAUAAUACCUCCAUAAUAUUUCAUUUUGAUAGAUGUCUCUGGUUUGUAAAAUAACUUAAAUUGAUUAGAGCUAAUAAAAACUUUUUCAUUGUAAAAUAACUUAAACUAUGAGUUUAUGUAGGUUAAGUAUAACAAUUUCAUUGUAAAAUAACUUAAACUAUUUGAAAUUGUCAAAAAAAAAAACUGUAAUUUUUUAAUUAUUAACUUACAAAUUCACUGAAACUCGAAACCAAGGUCUGAGAAAAGCAUCACCGAAAGACACUUCAAAUGAGAUUUUAUAUCUCGUUUAAAGACACAUAUAACAAAAAGAAUUCCAAAGGACUUUUAAAAUGUGCUUCUUCAAAUAAAAUUGUCAUUCUCUCUUUUCAAUAUUAAAGAGAAAGAAGAACUAUCUCAUUUAAAGAAUCUUAUUUCAAAGUCUUUUAAAUCCUCUAGUUUAGUAUUAAAUUAUUUUUUGUCUCAUUAUUCUUAAAGAGAGGAAGUGUUAUAAUUGCUACUAUUUUGGUAGAGGAAGAAAUUUGAUUAAAAGAAAAUAAAUUUAUUUUUAUUUAAAGAGUUUUUUUGGGAGAUGUAUUAUUUUUUUACUUUUUUUCGUUUAAAUAUAAAUAUUAAUAUUUCUUCAGUCUUCAAAUAAAGGUUUAUCUUAUCUCUAUAGUUUCAAAGUUGAUCCUCUGGAUUGCAGUUGGCAACUAAACGCAAAAGCAUUUCUUAAUUUCUUUUCUGUUUCUUUUUCUCUCUCAAAAUAAAUACGGGGUUAAUAAAGAAAUUUUAUGAAACGGCCCUGACAGGCGCAGAGACCAAUUCUGUAAAAGUGCAAAGCUCGACGCGUGCCGACAUAGCUGCUGGUUGCAGACAUUCUUCUUCCUUAAGGGAAUAAUUUUGUGGCACUUUACUUUUUUUCGUUUAAAUAUAAAUAUUUAAAAAUUAGAUAUAAGUUUCAAAAGAUAAAUAAAGAAAUUUUAAAAAAAUUUUAAAAUUUCAGAUGUUUAAGAAAUAAGUUCUUAUAUUAAUUAUUAGGAUUUUCGCCUGAUUCCUUGUUUAAAUUAUUUUAAUUACCUAAUCAAUAGUUGUUUGAUUUGAUUCAAGUGGGAAUAGGCUCUCUUUCGAUGAUGUCACUAAGAUGACAUUAGCCCGGGUAACGUCAUUCGAUUUUCAUAUGGUUAUGCAAUGCCUUUUUUAAAAAUCUUUGCAUACGUCAAGUCAACAAGUUCGGCUGAAACGACGAAGAAAGCUGAAUUGUAAAAAAUGAGCUGGAUUCUGUAACAACCAGAUCCAACUUAGCCAGCUCCUGAUUGGUUAGCUAGCUACCAAACAAAAAAUGGCUACAACAGAGACUGAUUGGGAAUGGGAGGCUCAUUCCCACCUCUCCCUUGAGAAUGAGUCUCUCAUUCCUCAUUCUCAAAUUGUGAUGGACCCCAUGAUUCCGAUUUUGAUUCCCGACUCUAUUUUAUGAAUUAAAUGUUGUUAAUGAUUUUAAUUUCGGAUUUCGAUUCUCUAAUCUGGGAAGUAAACGUAAAAUUAAAUAUUUUAUUGUACCUAUCUACUUUAGUUAUUAACGACUAAAAUUUGUUCUCUUUUUAAUUUUUUUCUACUUUUCCAAAAUGCAUCAUAUUGAAAUAAAAUCUUACUUCUAGAACAUCCCACUUGUUUACUUUUAGCCCCGUCGUGCAUAAUUGAAACAUACUUCACUUCCAUUAUCAUCAUCGUGAUAUCAACCGAAGAUAGUUUGAAAAGAGCAAAAUCCAACAAAGUUAGUUUUUUUUUUUUAUACAUAUUUUUUCAUUGAUUAAAAUGGCUACAACAGAGAUUGAUUUAGAAAAUUUAAUUAAUUUAUCCUGCAAACCGAAGCUAGGCAUGGAGUUUGAUUCAGAAGAAGUAGCAUAUGAAUUCUAUAAAUUGACUAAUUGCCCCUCUUUUUGACACUUUUUCAUGGAAUGCAAAAAGUCCUGUACCCCGAGUGAGGGGAAAACAAUAAAAAAAAAAAAAAAAAAACAAUCACUCAAGACACAUGAAAUUCUAAUUUGGGCAAAUAUUAUUCCAAAAUGAUAGCCCAAUCGCUUAGUCUCCUUUUGUUUUGGCACCCUACCAACUCUUUUAAAACCCUUUCACUUAUUUGCUCCUUUUCCGUUUAUUACAAUAAUAACCUUAUUUUAAAAUUUCUUCAUCAAACAUGGAAACCAGUUAUCCAAUCGUCCUCUUCGAACCCCAUAAUCCUAUAUAUAUAUAUAUAUAUAUAUAUAUAUAUAUAUAUAUAUAUAUAUAUAUAUAUUCUUUCUGAUUCUUCUUAUUCUCUCACUCUUGUUUCCAUUUUUUUUCGCCUUCUCUCAUCUUUAGAUUCUUUUAAUCUAUUUUCAUUGCUUCCGAAAAUAAAAGAAAUAAAAAAUUUUAAUCAAACGUAUAAAUUAAUGAAAUUGUUAAUUUGUUGUACUGCAAAUACCAAUCAAAACUCGCAAUUCUCACUAACGAAAAUUUACUGGGGCAAUGACAAUGGAAAAAAGUAUUACUUUAUAACUCCAAACAAAAAAUGUAACAAUUAAUUUAAUGCCUAUUUGUUAAGUAUGAGCUUUAGUUUUAGAAAAGAUACCCAUGCCUAGAAUAAGCGUGUACUAGCGAAAUUACACCCAAAGUAUGUGUUUGUUGCAAACAAGGUUAUCGAUCGAAAGCCAAACAGGUCUUCCAAAAGUAAAACAUAAAGCAAAGACAAGAACCAUGGAUGAUGCUGGAUUAUUUAUCAAGCCAAAUAGGAAGAAGAAUAAUUGGUUUGUUAGUCAUUUUAUUGAGUCUCAUAUGGGUAGAUUUAAUGAAAUAGUGACAAUAAUGAUCAUAACUAAGGAAAAGAAGAGCUAGCAUGAACAUUUUGCACCACUGCAUUAUGAAUAUAAUUCCUUCAAAGUAAAGGCUCCAUAUAUGGAAUAUUAAUAUUGAAUUAAAGUUAGUUAUAUACAAUGUCUUACAUUGUACACCAUUAUUAUUAAAUUAUGUAAAUCAGUUCCUUUGUCCUUCACGCCAUGGCUAAAUACAUUUUCAUGCUUGUUGCAGAUCUCUGUGGUUAAUGUAGUGAGACCUUGCUGGAUCUUGAGCCAUUUAAUGGGAUGUGGCAAUUGAGCGAGAAUGGAAGACCUCGUGGGCGGUAUGAUGUAAUUAUCAUUGCUCGUAAUGGCGAUACAAUGCUGCUACCCUUGCUCUUUUUCUCUCAGCAGCAUUUUAUAGUCUUAAAAUUUUGCAUUAAGAAAAUGCAUGUUUUUGUUUAUUGCAGUGGCAAAAUGUUAAAUGGGCUUCGCUAUUGGGUAUAAAAAGGGAACAAUAUGAGAAAAUUUUUAAGUUUACAUUCCAUCAUUACCUUGGAUUAAGGAGCUGUGACUUUUAAUUUAUUGGGGAAUGGAGUUAAAACUUUAGCUGAUAGAUAAAAAUGGGUGUCUAUUAAAUAUCUUGGUUAUUAUGCUUUCAAAAUUAUGUAGAAGCAUAGUAGUCGUUAGAAAUGUACCCAAGUACCUGCAUAUCCGGCCGCCAAAAUAGGACGCAAUUCGAGUUAUCCAAACUUAAUGAAACUUGAAGUUUGUGUUUCAAAGUUCAGAGCUGAGUUAGUCAACCACAUCCAUGAAAUUAUCAUUAACGUUAUUAUUGUUAUUGUUAUUUUCCUUUUAAAACGGUGCCUUUGCUACAGCAGGGGAAUCAUGCGUGGGAACCAGAAUGAUAGGUACUGAUUCAAAGUCCCAAAAUCACAGUUUUGAGGUUUAACCCCCACACAAGGAAGAUAAGAAGCUAAAAUUAAUUACACGGUCACAUAAUUGGAAUUGCAUGGGCUGCAUGGGUGGACUUAGAAUGAAAUGGCAUGGCGGCCGAGGAAAAGAAGAACUAGCGGGAACAUUUUGCACCGCUGUAUCAUGACGGCAAUUCCUGCACAGUAACAAGCUUAUUAAUAUUUUAUAUAUGCCACACUAAUAAUUAGCUUAUUUAUACAAACAUCUUAAUUAUCAAGGCACAAAUGAACUUGGUAUUAACAUUGUGAGACGGGGUACAAAUACAGGCUUACCCUAGGUUUGAUUUGGUAGAGUUGGCAAUGGUGGAAGUGUUGGCCGGUGCUUGCAGAGGAUAGCGAUCCAGCUGCCAUGCUCAUUUCAAAACUUAGCGCUUAGCAGCAGAGGCGGCUCAACUAAUUUUGGGGCCAUAGAUGAGUUGUUUUAAUUAGGUCUUUUAAAAAAUUUGAGGUCAAAUAUAUAUUAGCUUUACCAAAAAGUUAUUUAUUUAAAAUUAAUUUUUCUAUCUUUCUUAGGUGGAAAAUUAUUGAUCAAAAUUUUAUAUUCUAAUUUCACUAAUUUUUUUAAUAUAGGUAAAUCAUUUAACUUUUCUUGUGACUUAGUUUAUGUUAAAUAAGUUUAUCAAUUUUAAUUUUGAAAAAUUUCGUUAAUUACUAAUUUUUCACUCUAAUUCACAUCUUUUUUAUUAUUUUUGACAAACUUAUCAAGAGCUCCUUUUUGAGAUCGAACUAACUUUUUUAUUCUUAUUUUUUCCCAGUUUUUUAUAUCUUGAUGUACAUUUUCUAUUGGACAUUUUUUUUCUUUUUUAGUGAAAGAAGAGUAAACAAGAAAACGAUUAUGCUAGAUAAUUAAAAGAAAAUAACAAUAAUAUUUAUAAAAGAAACAAUAACGAUUGAAUAACACAACUAAUUAAGAAAAGAAUAAGAAGAAAAAUCUUGAAUAUUUGAAACUUUAACUUUGAUGGAUUGAGAUUUUAAACAGUAAUGAUCAAUGGAAAUAUUUAAUUUUUUUCUUGAGCAAAAAUUACAGAAAGUGUUUUUUUUUUACCUUAUGCAUUAAAGUAUUGAAUGUGUCGUGCCUUUUUCUUUUAAUUGAUAAAAAUAUUAAUGAAUAACAAGUUAAGAAACCAAUGACUUUUAUAGAGUUUUAAAUGAAAUAUCAUUCAAUAGAGAUUUUGUAUGAAUAAAUAGAAUUAAAAUUAUUUAUUUCAACGUUAAAAAAGAGAUUUCGUAGGAAUUUAAUAAUUUAUUUAAGUAAAUAUUAUUAUAGAAUAAAAAUAAAAAUAAAAAAUUUAAAAAUUAUAAUGUUGAGAAGAAUUUGAGGCUUUCUAUGCUGGGACCCUAGGCACCUGGUUGCCUAAGAGAAAAGCCUUCCUGCUUAGCAGGUGCAGUGAGUUCUGCAGCAGUAUCUAUAAAUAAAAUAAAUGUAGUUUAUUUAUUUUUGAAAUAAUUAAAAACUUUUAUUUGCGCACCACCUUAAGUUUUUGUCCAAUCAAAGGAUAGGCUCCUUUCCCACCUUCUCAGUAAAUCCUUUUCGGAUUGGAAAAUGCUAUUUUUCCCGGGUCAAACCCCGGGUCAAACCCCGGGUCAAACCCCGAAUUAGUUCAAAACGGCGUCGUUUUGGCCUUUUUUUUUGUCUUUUUAGUUGCGUGAAACGUUGCCGUUUCAUCUUGUAAAAAAGAAAACAAACUAAACGAAGACGAUUUGCAGAGAAACAGCAACAAAGACGAUUUUUCAGCAACGAAAACAGCUCUUCAACAAACUAAACGAAGAGGAGGGCAGAGGAAUGAAGACGAUUUGCAGAGAAACAGCAACGAAAUCAGCUCUUCAACAAACUAAACGAAGAGGAGGGCAGAGGAAUGAAGACGUUGUGCAGAGAAAGUAAGGACGAUGACUAGACUUUUGGACACGUGUAUUUCUAGAAAUUCCUUCAAAAUGUUGAGAUAAAUGCAAGGCGCUUGGAAAUAUUACUACGCUUUUAAUGGCAAAAUUUUUGUUUCUUAAGCAAACGUGAUUGGUUCUUAAGAAUCUUAAUAAAGCACAUACAUAAUGGUUUUAAACUAUAUGUGAAUUGAAUAAAAUUGUCUACAACAAAAUAGUAACCGGAAGUCAUCCACAUUUUAACAAGAUAAAACCACCAAUAUUGCCGAUAAGUGUUCACAUAUAGAACACUAAUGCUUCCCGACAUCACAAUUAUAUAAGACGAUUUAAAAGUGAUAUGGAAACUGUCGAUAUCAAUUAAAGUAUCAUAUUUUUGAGUGCUAGUUGAAUCUUCCGGCACAAUUGUAGGUGGUCUGUUUUGACUUUUGAUUGCAACUCUUGGGCAAUGGCAAUCCACUAAGAACAAAGAUUUUCCUCAUAGCCACUCCCCUCAAAGGUUGUAAAUUGUUCCAGGGUAUGGCUAUUAUUAAGAGUUGAGUGGUAAGUUUAGAGUGUGAUUAUUAAUUUUUUGAAAUUUUUUUCGUGUUUUUGUUUGCUUUUAAUGGUUGAGGCAUCAAGUAUUAAGUGAAUAUAACAAACAAGGGAAAGUAAAGUUAGGAUAACAUAUACAUAUAGAAGUCUGAGUUUAAUUAAUUUGUCUCGUUUUAUUAUUAGUUAGCAGCUAUGGGCGGGCACUUGCAACUUAAUUUUCAAUCUACCUUGAUAGGGUUCUUGCUAGUGAUCAUCCUACUCCUUCACUACAAAUCAAAAGGCCACUAAAGAAGAAACUUCCCUCUUUUAGCAUAUCAUAUCUGGUUAAUUCUUCAAUUUCCUGUACUUGAGCAGGGAAAAAGUGUUUGCAUAAACAGCUUCAAGUGAGGAAACUUCAACAAUGGAGGCUACAAUGAUGAAGAAAUUGGUGGCAUUAGCUCUGUGAUCUUUCUUCUUGAACUUUGCGAGAUUGGCAACAACUUCGUUCAAACAAGCACUCAUCUUUCAUUUCUUAUAAAACCUCAAGAAUUGCCAUCUCAGUAUGUACUGUAAUAGGUAACUAGCUGAAGCCUUUUUUCCGAAUGAAGUUAUGCCCUGACCUAGUUGCCCUGAACCAAUUGCCCUGACAGCAUUAUAAUGAAUGGCAUGCAGUGCCAUUAACUUUUCAGUGUAGCUUUUGCUGGAAAGCUUUGGAUUAAUGAUGACAAGUAAUGUUGCACCCUUUUCAUCAAGACAGGAUUUGUUAGGGCCAAGCUUACUACCAAGCUCCUGAUAUAGCUCCUUUCUUAACCUCGCUAGCAGAACUCAAUCUGGAAGUUGCUAGUUUGAUCCAUAUUUGAAAUUGCACAUGCCAAAUCCAAGCAAAACAAAUUAAAACCCCACGUUAUAAUUUCGUAACAUUAACAAAUUCUAGACCAAUUCAAGCUUAAAUUGCAAACUAAAUCAGCAUAAAUUUCAGACCAAAUCAGCACAAUUUCAAGACCAAAUCAGCACAAUUUCAAGACCAAAUCAGCACAAUUUCCAGACCAACUCAAGCACAAAUUCCUCACCAAUUCAAGCACAAAUUGCAGACCAAUUCAUCACAAAUUCCAUACCACUUCAAGCACAAAUUGCAGACCAACUCAAGCACAAAUUCCAGACCAAUUACAGCACAAAUUACAGACUAAUUCAGCACAAAUGCAGACCAAUUCGAGCACACAAAUUGCAUACCAACUCAAGCACAAAUUCCAGACCAAUUCAGCACAAACACAGUUAUUUCCUUAACAUUUUAUUUUAACCGAAAAUUAAAUAAAACAGAAAUUGAUAGCUUUCAAAAUUGUCCCCAUUUUACCGUAACCUAGAAAAGCUAAAGAUCGAAGCAUUACCAGAGGCUGUGAUAACUGUGACGGUUCGUGAGUUCAUUGAGGAAUGCGCGUGAUGGCUGCCACGUUGAUGGUGACCGUGCCUGCGCGAAUGGCAGAAACUUCCAGAUUUGGGUGGGGAAGACGAGAAAACGAAGAGGGGAAUACGAAAACGAAGAGGAGGGGAAGACGAAAACGAAGAGGACAAAACGAAUGGCAGAAAACGAAUGCGAAUUUCCCUGGUGAAACGAUGAGGGGAAGAUGAAAUCGGAGAACGAAGAGGGGAAAAUGAAAUCGAAGAACGAAGAGAGGAAAACGAAGAGGAGAGCUUUUGUUAGGGUGAAACGGUAGCGUUUCAAAUAAAAGAGGAAACGACGUCGUUUUGUUUUAGUUUUCGGGGUUUGACCCGGGGCAAAUAGCAGAACUCUUUGAGAUUUCCGUACCCUUCAUAGACGUGGCGGAUAGCAAGAGGAGGAAAAGAAGUCGUGUUGACGUUUUAGAAGAAGAUAAAAUUGGAAUGAGUUCUGCUAUUUGCCCCGGGUCAAAUCCCGGGUCAAACCCCAAAAGCAACAAACGAACGACGCCGUUUCAAUCUCAUUUUUUUUCCCUCUCAUUCAACCUAAACGACGUCGUUUUGGAAAAGUUGUUACAGCCGAAAUGGGUUUCUCUUUGUUUUCGCCUCACAGCCCCUGUCCCGUUCGUUUCAGCUUGUUUGAGGCAAAAUCAACAGCCCCAACUCUCUCUCUCUUCGUUUUCUCUUCAGUCUCACUACAACCCCAAAAUAACUCAAAUUCGCAAAGUUAUACAAUCACUUCCACAACAGUUAAUAAUGAACCAAAAAUAUGCCCAAAAACUGCAAUUCGUAAAGCUAUACAAUCACUUCACAGCAGUUAAUAAUGAACCAGAAAUAUGCCCAAAAACUGCAAUUCGCAAAGCUAUACAAUCACUUCCACAACUAAAAAUCUGCCCAAAAUAACUGCAAUUCGCAAAGCUCAAAUGUGUUGUUAUAACACAAGUUAUCACAUUUCAGUCAUGAGCAAAUGGCACGAAGCUGAAACGAAGUUGUUGAUUUCAGUCAGGAGAAAGAAAGCAAUUUGGGGAUGUUGUUGAUUUUGCCCUAACGACGCUGAAAUGAAGGGGGGGAGAAACAGAGGAAUAGAAUGAGAAAGGGGAUGUGAGACGAAGACAAAGAGAAACCAAUUUCAACUGAAUUUUUAAGGGGCUUGGUUGACAGGAACCCAAAUUAUACUUUGACAUUUGCUGGGCAUUCAUUGGGGGCAGGGGUGGUGGCAUUGUUGGUAUUGAUUGUGGUUCAGAAUCUGGACAAGUUGGGGAACAUUGAGAGGAACAAAAUCAGAUGCUUUGCUAUUGCACCUACUAAGUGUAUGUCAUUGAAUUUGGCAGUGAGAUAUGAAUGGAUCGUGAAUGGUUGUGAGACAAAGGGGAAGACGGAAGAGAAAGAGAAAGCAAUGGUUUUGCCCUAGCCAAAACGGCGUCGUUUAGGGAGAAUGAAAGAGAGAAAAAAAAAGAGAAUGAAACGGCGUCGUUUGGAUGGGUUUCGGGGUUUGACCCGGGGAAAGUAGCAUUUUCCAAUUGGAAUAAGCAGAAGAGCGCUGAUAGAUGCCCCGGGUCAAACCCCGGGUCAAGCCCCGAAGCUUUAAUAAAACAACACCGUUUUAUUAGUUUUUUGGGUCGUUUUAAUUUUUCUUAAAACAACGUCGUUUUGCUUGAGCAUUCCAGCUCUGUAUCAAACUCAUCUUUCUCUUGUAAUAAAGAAACAGAAAACUCAUCUUUCUCUUUCGAUUUUUCACUUCACCACAAAACCCAACUACAUAACCCCAACUGCAAAACCCCUCAAGAUCUAUGUGUGUGUUGAGCCUUGAAAUUCUGCUGUCUCUGUUAUUUAUAAUCUCUACUACUUCAUGACAGUCUGAUUCAAGCAACACAGAGGUUCCCCCCACUCUCAAAGCAACCUGCAAUCCCCAUUUCACAGCCGCAGCUUCAGCCAUUGCCACGUUGCCAAAGUAUCUAGAAGUGUUAAUGGCAGCAGUUAUACAAUUUUGGUUCCCGUCUGUUAUUACCACCCCCAGCCCAGCUACCUGUUUCUCAGCGUUCACUGCAGCAUCUACAUUUACCUUUAGCCACCCAUUUGGAAGAGAAUGCCCCUGGUUUUCCUUAGCCUCCCUUUUCUGAUUUGGCCUUAACCCAUCAUACUGGCUGACAUUUUUAAGAGACUCCACAACUGAUUCAACUCUUGCUACUAAUCUGGCUGGAGCCUCUUGUUUCCCUUCAAAAAGCCAUUUAUUCCUAGCGUUUCAUAUCACCCAAAGUAGAGCUGCAAUUGAUUCCUUCUCUACAAUUUUUUUGCUGCUUUGUCAUAUCUUCCAUCAAUCUAAUUAUAUCAUGGAAUUGACCUUCUGGAGGUCUCCCUUCCGAUUUGAAAAGAAUCGGAAUUUAUUACUGAUUGUGGAUUGAGGACUUCGAAUGGCUGUGCUGCACUUAAUCGAUAAAGGAAAGGGGCUUGGCAAAACGGUGCGUUUUGCGGGUUAAUAAAAAUGGUGCGUUUCAUUUUCGGGGUUUGACCCGGGGCAAACAUCAUUUUCCUAAGCAGAAGCAAACUUUCCGUGCUGUGCACAUGCGCUAUCAGAUGAUUGAGUGGAGGGAAAAAUUGUAGGCCUAUUUAUCUUCAAUUUUACGGUGGCAGCUACGGGCGGGCAUCGGUUCGGUUAAUUUCAGUUUUAGGGUAAAUUUUUAGUUUUGGUUCGGUUCGGUUCAGAUUUUAAAUUUAAAAAAUUCAUUCAAUUUUUAGAGAAAAUAAAAAUCGAACCGGAUUUUAAACUGAGUUCUAAGUUUAUUAAGUGAUGUUCAAGACUGACUGGAUUUCAUAUUCAGGUCGGGUAUUACAAUACCCGAGUACUGUUCGGGUCCGGACCGGGCGGGUAUUUUACCACCCUUAAUUAUUAUCUUCUUUCGUUUUCGUUUCUACGUUUCAAGAUUUUCUAAUUAUUUAAUUAUGCUAUUUUCUUUUAAUAUGGUACUCACACACACCACACAGGCAAUCCCAUUGAUUACAACUUUCUCAUCUUAUUUGAAUAAUUAAGAUGUCUUUUUGUGUGCACAUGGGCUGUAAGAUGAUUAUGUUGUGGGAAAAAUUGUGAUAAAAUUUUGGACCCAGUUGCCUUCGAUUUUUCACUGCCGAAAAUUGCGGCUAUGUGUUCAGACUAUCUUAAUGCAGUUUAACCAUGCAAAGUUUUUGGGUAUUAUUCAUUGCGUGACAUUGGAGACAAUUUAUAUUUAAUAGUUGGUUAGGCAUUUUGCUUGAUAUUAUUUGGACUCGUAGGGGUGAUAAAAUUUUUGUUCAUAAUUUUAUAAUUCAGAUCUUAUUAUAAUAAGAUAGCAAUUUUUUUAUUGUGGGUCGGAUUCUCUCAACUGAUAUUUAGCUAAAAAUAUCUCACUAAUUCCUAUUAGUUAAGUAUUUUUAAAUUCAUAUACAUGAUUUUUAUUGUUUUUUAUAUGUGAGAUUCUAUAUAUCGUUCAUAAGAAACAAGCUAUUAUGUAAUCCAUUCGUUAAAUCUAUUUAUAUGUAGGGUGCUCUGAUUUUUACUACCCUUUCAGCCAUGCAAGUUUGGGGGAACAUGAAUGGUGCGUGAGUAUGCUGUUGCAAAUCCCAGCUCUUUUUUUUUUUCCCCCCAAUUUUGUCCAUAACUACCAACCACAUCAGUUUAAUUUCCAACUAUUUUCUCUUCAUUUCGCGAAUAUUUUUUACUACUUUAAUGCAAAUGCUUGCUGCUUCUAUUACAAUUCUUUUAAUAAAAUGGCUUUCAAUGUAAAUUGUUAAUUUUUUAAAUAGAAUUAACACCAUCUGUAUGAAUCACAUGGAGCUUUUACAAGAUUAUUGUGACCAAUUCCCGCUGUUGGCGAUAAGUUGAAAGCAUUAAUGGCUCCUUUUUAUCCACGUCGCACAGAGGUUUAUCGCUGGGGAUUACUUAAUUGGGUUGUCAUUCAACAGUAGCGUUCAACUUGGCCUAGUGGCAGCUGCUUAAAGCAAGAGUCCGAGGACCAAAAGGAUCGUCCCUUCCCACUUGAUCCGUUGAUCUUAAACUGUGAAUUCGCCUUCGUCGACGAGUUCCAUGAAAAAUGUAACUGAAAAAACGCGAUGAUCAAAUCAUGGUUUUUAAUUAUUUUAAUAAUUAGCACGGGUAGAAAUUAAAUAAAUAUAAUACUUUUAAAAUUAAAUAAAUAUAUAGUAAUAUUAUUAAUUCUUUAUGAAUAUAAUAAUAUUAUGUUUUAAACAAUUUUAACUUAGAUUAAUGAAAUUAUUAUUUUAAAUAAAUGUAAUAUUAUUUAAAUAAAUAUAAUAUUGUUAUUUUUAAGACAUUAUUUUAUUUUAAUACAUUGAAUUAUGUUACAUUUAAUAAAAAAAUGAGUAAAAGAGGAAGAGGUGGGAGUGGAAAUCUCACUCCACACUCCAAAAAUGAGUGGGACCCACGGAGUGAGAUUCCUAAUCUCCUCCUAAAAUAAGCAAGUAAACAGUAGGAGGAAUUCAUAUUCUCCACUCAUACUCGAGCAAGUAAACAUAACAUAAUAUUCUAAAUUAGUAUAUAUUUAUCAAUUUUAACAUAGUUGAUGAUGUUUCGACAAGAAAAAUAUUCAUAAAAAUUAUAAAGACAAGUAAUGCUCAUUUGAAAAAAAUAAAAAGAUAAAAACAAUAAUUAUCUACCAAUAUAUAUUAUCACAAGCUAUAGAGAUGAGUAAUAAUGCUAAUUAUUAAAUUUUAUUUAAGUAAUGAUGAAAAUUAAUUAAUUAGAUGAGAAUAUUUUAAAGAAUAUCUUUUCAUGAUAUCAUUAAGGCUUUUUUGAUUAAGUAAAAAGCUAAAAAAAUAGUUUAAUGACUCAAUAAUGAUGUACUAAAAUUUUUAAUUAAAUUAAAAAUAAACAAACUUAAUAACUUAACUGAUUAAAAUUAAGUCAAUGAAGUCAUUAAGUCAAAAAAAAAAAAAACAAACGGAAUAUUCUAGUCACGUGAAGGUACGGGAUUUGUAUGAUUAUGCUACUCAAUUUUUGAUAAUUACUGUUUCAAAUAUAAAUGUGCAAUUGAGCAUGGCAAUUUGUUGGGUGUUAAAAUAUUGUAGGGUAAGUACAUACACUUAGUACAUUAUUAUUGCUAUUUGAAUGCCACUGCUACAUUAAGGCAAUGACAUUUGGUUUGUGCCAUACUGAGAAAAAAAAAAAAAAAAAUCCUUUGAGCCUACAGGAACGGGACUAUCCUUAUAAUUGCCGUAUUUCCUCAAUGGAUGUAUCUUUUAAGCUCUUCAUUUGGCAUAUGAAAUUUAUUGAAAGAAAGCAAAUGAUCAGGAGCUGGUCUUAAAAGCAUGUUAUUCGAGGAAUACAAUACAAACAGUAAUAGGAUUUGAGACAAUUCAUAGAGCUUUCCUUGAGUGAAGAAUAGUUAUUUAAACUGACAUGAUAAGCUCUUCCAAUUUAUUCAAAGAAUUAUGAGAAUAACCACCUCAGGUAAGUUAACUGAAAAAUUGCCCAAAACUGGAUAAUUCAUAUUCAUGCCACGCAACCCCGCUUUGUUAAUUUUAAACUCCAAUUAAGUAUUCUAAUCUAUCUUCAUUUAUUUUAGCAUGUGUUUCCUUUCCAAUUAAUGCGUACGGAAUCCUUUUUAUAAUUGGUGGUCAUCGUCAGAGUGGAAGUGUGGCCAAAUCCGCCUGAGUCAACCUAUACACGUGCAUUGAGUUGAAAAUUUGCAGUUUAGUUUACUUUUUUCUUUAAUUAAUUUUUUUAUCAUUUUUGCUUUCCCUAUUCCCUUAAAAGUAAUUAUUGUAAUCUGCAUGAAGUUCAUCGGCGCCACUUCUUCACAAUUUUCAAACCUUUCUAUGACCUGACACAAAUCCGGGGACCGAGGAGUCAGGAGUCCAAUCUCAAUUGCAUUCAAGAUUUGAGAACGUGUUGCACACGACCAAAUCUUAAAAUCAAAUUAAAAGAAAAAUUAUUAUUGCAACAUCUCUUUUUUAUUUUAUAUUUAUUUAAUUAUUAUAAAAUUUUAAUAUAUUUUUUACACCAUUUUUUUUUUAAAUUUGUAUCAAUUAAUUAUUUUUACACUAAUAUUAUUUACUAAUUUAAAUAAAACGAUAAUUUUAUCCUUAAAUAAAUUAAAAGAUCAUUCUAUUUUAUAAAAAUUUAAAAAAUAAAAAAUUAUAAUUAUAAAAAUACCCUUAAAUUUAAUAUAAAAAAUCACAAAUAGAGGUGCUUAUAUUUUUAUUAAAUUUAGAAUUUGUAAAAUUUUAAUAAAUAUUUUAUUAAAAAUUAUAAUUUCAUAAAAUUUUAUUAAAAUAACUGAAUUUAUUUAUUAAAAAAUAAAUCCCAAAAUUUUGUACUUAUUUUUAUAAUUAUAAUUUUUAUUAAAAUAAUUAUUGAUUAGAAAUAAAUACAAUAGUUUUUCAUACCACGCUGUGACACUUAGUGUACAUGCAACUUAGUGUAUAUUUUAAGUUUCUUCAAUAAUUUUUUAUUAAAGAUAAAUACAUUAGUUUUUCAAACCAUGCCAUGACACUGUUCAUAGUAUAAAUCUAAAAUGAGACUUGUGACUGCACUUUUGAUAUGAUUAUUGCCAUGUUUUGUGAUUGAGGAGUUGUGACUCGUAAUCUAUUGAGGAGUGGAUAUUAAUCUUUCGGAGUUAUGUAGAGGCAUGGUAGUUGGCAAUGCACUCCAGUCAAAGGGUAGGGCCGAUGGGCUCCUUUGCCGCCUUCCCGGAACUUUCCUUUUGGGAUUAGGAGGAAGAGAUGCCUUGUUGACUAUCUAGAAAAGGAACUGGCAGACGCACACUUAAAACCUUCCAAUUCAGCCGAGUAGGAUGCCUUCCUGCGCCGGGCACAUGGGCUGGGAGACGAUUGAAUUUUCGGGCAAAUUUGCAGACGUCGUUCAAUUUUUCAGCCGGCGAAAGUUGUGGAUAAUUCACCACCAACGUGUAAUUUAAACGGCUUCGAAGAAGAAAUUAAUGUUAUCGUAUGAUAUAAUUAUAAAACGUCAAAAAGUGUAAUUAGAAAAUAGGUUAUUACUAUCUUGUAGAUGCCGGAUACAGAAAUGCUGAAGGAUUCCUUGCACCGUAUAGGGGAACAAGAUAUCACUUAUCCGAAUGGAGAGAUGGGUGUGCUCCUCAGAAUAAAGAGGAGUUCUUUAACAUGAAACAUUCCUCAACAAGAAAUGUAAUUGAGCGAUGUUUCAGAUUGCUCAAAAUGCGAUGGGCCAUUCUUCGAAGUCCUUCAUUCUAUCCAAUUAAAACCCAAUGUCGCAUUAUUACGGCAUGUUGUUUAUUACAUAAUCUGAUUAGGAGAGAAAUGCUUGUGGAUCCAAUAGAGCAUGAGUUACUUGACAUAUCUAACAAUGAAGUAGACGAUAGUGAUAACAUAAGUAGCCUUGAAGCUUUAGACCAAUGGACGAGUUGGAGGAAUGAUUUAGCUACUGCAAUGUAUAAUAAUUGGUUGGGCAAUUAGGUUGUUGUACUUUUGUUAAUAUAUAUAUUAGGAAAGUAUUUAAGGAUAUACUUUUGUUAAUAUAUAGAUGUUAUUAGGAAAGUAUCUAAGGCUGUACUUUUGCUAGUAUAUCGAUGUCUGUAGGAGGUAUAUAGUGAUUGAGCAGGGUCGUGUCCACAGAGAUCGGUAAUUAUUUAAAUCCUUUUGAAACGUAAAACGUAAAAUGGGAGAAUUGUUGACAAUAAUAAAAAUCAAAUAAAAAUAACAAGAAUGCAAAUUAAAGUUGUAAGUCAAAUUGGAGAAAGCUCUGGUUGAAGGAAUUAACUCAGCUUGAUUCGACUACUGAUCAUUGAUUCAAAUAUAGAUUAUUAUUACUUAUGAAUAGACCGGUUAUAGCUAUUGAGACCCUCUAAUAGCCAAUCUCUCCUUAACUAGUUGAUAAUCAAGGUACGACCGUUGGAUAUUUUCCUAAUCAAUAGACAAUCCUAGAUACGAUCAUAUGAUUUAAUCAAUUGACAGCCUGAAAAACCGGAGAGACCCAAAUCCUAAUCAACACAUAUGAUGAUUCAUUUAAAUUAGAUUGUUUAUUUUCAUAACACAACUCACUGCUAUGUUAUUUGUCACCAACAUUAAAAUCUUCAUACGAUGAAUCCUUUAAUUGACAAUAGAUUAAGUUGAUAAUUAAAUAGUGGUCAAUUACCUAAUUAACAAACAUAAUCAUGAAACUAAUUUAGAGAAUAAACAAAUACCCAAAAAGUAAUAAAAUAAUUAAAGCAUAAGAAAGAUCUCACAGUAGUGAUGAAUCAAAGCUUCAUUAACCUUCAACCAGAAAAAUAAGUUUAAUUCUUCAUAGAGAGAAAAGAAAAAUUAGAUCUAGUGUUUCUUUCUUUUUCUCCAAUUCAAAUCCCUUUUUUUCACAAUGGAUUCCUCCAUUAAAUACUCUCUCUCUCUUCUCUUUUAGAGUUUUAUUUAAAAUAAAAUACUAAUAUCUGAAAUAUUAAAUUCGUAAUUUCAAAAAUAGCCAAAAAUACAAAACACGUUAAACUAAAAACUGCAGGUCCGCAGUUGACAGCACGCGCCCACGCCUUAUCAACAAAGUUCUUCUGCCGCUCAUAAUUUCUCCAAGAGAGCAAUCAUCCUUAAACAUUAUCUUGUAGCUCAAUUUUAUCACUAAUUAAUAGAAUUGCACCUACAAAAGUAAAUCACUAUUAUUAAGUGCAAAACAUCGAUAUUAAGGGAAGUAAACAAUGCAAAACUAGUGCAUAAAUUGCACUCUAACAUCCAUCUCCUCCAACGACCAUCCUACUCAAAAUCCACCAUCGAAUUUUCUACAAACUAGGCUUCAAUUAAUGCAAAUAGACUUGCAAAUCAAAGUGGCGCAAGCCGUUCACUUCUUGAAUGACAAGACUAAAUAAUGUAACCGGGUAGCAGCAAAUUAGUGGCUCAUUUAGUUUCGACAAACCAACGCUGCUUGAGAGGUCGCAACCUCUAUCCUCUCCUCGGAUCUCCAGUUGUUGCUAGCCAAUUUCAAAGUCGAGUUCUUGGCUACUCAAAUUCUUAAGAGAAAGAUAAAUUUCUAGGGUUUUAAUUCUAGUUUUAUGAUAAAUUGCUGAGUAUAAUUUGAUUUUCUUGGGUGCAUUUGUUAAUCAAUCAAUUACCAAUACAUGUAAUUUACUGGAAAUUUGCAAUUCUCUGCAGGCAGCUGAUCAACACCAGUAAUGGCCUUUUUAAUUUCUAUAUUCAUUCUUCCUUAAUUUACUCAUGGUUUGGAGAUCUAUAGAAUUGGAUCAAAUCCCAUCUCUUUUUUCCUCAAACAUUUACCAAAUCCAUAUUCUCCUCCACAAUCCCUAAAUCGUUCCCUCCUCCUUUCUCAGUGAUUUUUGCCUUCUCAAACGAUGAUGAAAGGUGAAACCUUUUGGUCCGAUUACCCAUCAGUUAUCCCUAACCAAUUCAGUCGGUUCCCUUUUUUUAUUACUGCUGCAUAAAUUAAACUUCAACCGUUUGAUUGAAAUUGAAGAUAUCUAAUGGCCGAUAUUAAUCAGACUGUAAAAUACAUUAAAUACAAACUCAAGGAUUGCCUAAACUCUUUAUUAUUAAUCUAUAUCCUAUAAAGUACAAACUCUUUGUUAUUAAUCUAUAUUAAACUCAUGUCUUUUUCUAUACACAGUUGGCCUCCGUGCAAAAAGCAGCUUUCCGCGCGUAAAUCUUGUGUUAAUUUGUGUUAAUUAAUGAUUUAUUUAUAUUAAUCAUCUUAUCAGCUUGCGGAGAUGUAUACCACUUAAAUCCACAAUCAUUCAACCAAUGAGGGUCCGUUCUAACGAGCCAUCCAUUUUCAAACACGGUUUCUUGUGAGCUUCGGCAGCGUUGUUGUUGUUCAAUCCCCAAAAGGAGAAAUUCUAGAAUAUAUAUAAGGUACCAUGUUAGUUAUAAAAAAAUUAGUAUUAAUUAUUCUAGAAUUUCUCCCCCAAAAGUUAGUUUAGUAUUAAUUAUUCUAAUGUCGUUUUCCUCAAUUAGUUAAGUUAUGAUGCAUGAAACUUAUAUAAGGCUCACAUUGAACACGUAUUCAAACGCUGAAAAUAUCCAUACUAAUUUACUACGCGAGCAACUAGAUACACCAAAUACGAUUUUAAUUUCUCAGUUACUUCUCGAAUAUAAAUGGGUAAUUAAAAAAAAAUCGUGUUGUUGGGAGGUAAAUUUGAAAGGUUAUUUACGGGCUAACAACACAUUGACACAUGGUAUGAAAAAAAUGACACCUUAGUUGUCCCACACGAACCAACCAUGAAUAAGAACAGUUCUAAUUAGUUCUUCAGAAAGCAAUAGUAGCAAAAGCAUUAAUAAUUUAUUAUUAAUCUAUCUUAAACUCAUGUCUCUUUCUAAACACAAUUGGCCUUGGUGCAAAAAGCAGCUUUCCGCGCCUAAAUCUUGUGUUAAUUUAGUGCAUGAUCUUAAGCAACAUCUUUGAUUUGCCUAAUAUCAUAUCAUAUGUACUCUCUCAUACAUAAUAAAUUAUUAAAUUAGUGAUUUAUUCUUAAUAAGUUUUUUAGCAUUAAUUUGGGUGAAGGGGGACACAAUAGAUACAAUUGCACAUGACUGGAAGGUAUUGAAAUCAAAAUUAGUGUUCAGUUGAGCCGGCUGUAUUGAAACAAAUUUCCUCCGCAAGGAUUUAUUUUGACCGUGCACAAUUGAAAAAGGAUGUCCAUCACUCCCAUCCAAGUUUUAGCAGAAUAUGCAUACACUGUGAUAGCUGUCAAGUCAUCUAUUUUGACCGUGCACUACGGUCCAAAUUUCAUGAUCAAAUAGAUCACGUGGCGAGAUCAGAGUGGGGUAAUGUAGAAUAGGGGACUUAGAAAACUAAACAUUUUUAUUGGUUAACUAAAUCAUUUAUGUCUUCCUUAUGUCUUCUCUCAGUUCAAAUUGCAGAACUCAAUUUUUUAUUGUUAAAAAUAUAAAAAAGGAGAAAAUAACAAAAUCUGGGGAGAGUGAGGAAGCUUGAUGGGGAGCCGCAAAGAGUGAAGCCAGAGACAGAGAGAGGGUGAAAGUCAAGAGAGGCACAGAGUGAUGGGAAUUUGGUAGAUGUGAGUGGUCUUCUGUCAAAAUUUUCCCUCUUUUUAUAUUUUUAAUAAUAAAAAAUUAUUAGAAUGGUGAGAGAGUGAGAAGUCGGCAGCACAACUCAUUUCGCAGAAUACUAUAUUAAAGAAACAUACUUCUUUAGUUGAAACACCUCAAAGAAACCCAGAAACCCUUCAAAAUUCAAACCUAAAAAAAUGUGCCUCGGAAACAAACCAUAUCAGUUCUCUGUUUCCUGGGAUGAGGACGAAAACCUCGUUCACUUCAAGUGCCGUCUUCCAUCAACGACGAAGCGAGGGGAUGUGAAGGUUGAGAUUGAUGAACAUGGGAAAUUGCUUAUAGAAGAAAUAAGCAAAGUGGUAAGUUCACAUAUUGAUCCUCUCUCUUCAGCUUCUUCCUUGAUGAUCAGACUCAGAUCCUCUCUCCUAAGCUUCCUGAAGAAAAAUGAGGGAGACACCACCAGCCCGAUAGGCCCGAUAGAAUUCAACUUGCCACCGGGUCUGGACACGAAUGACUUCGAGACUGAGAUCGAUGACGACGGGUUGCUAACUCUCACUUUCAAAAAGCUGGUGCCCAUUCAUUCCGAAACGCCCUCCGACCUCGAAAAGGCCUCCGUGGAGUGGAAGAACAAAAAGCUCGUCUCUCACUUCAAGGCCUAUCUGCCGGCGGGGACGAAGAUGGACGACAUGACGGUUGGCAUAGAAGGUGGCAAAUCCCUUGUGAUAGGCAUUCAUGAUCGGCUGAAGAAAGAGGAAGGGGAGACCAGUACUUGCAUGUGCUUCAAUGGCAAGAACUUUAAGAGCUUCAUUUUGCCAGAUGGUGUGAACCCGAAUGGCUUCGAGACUGCAAUGGAUGAUGCUGGCGUUCUAACUGUUACCUUCACUAAACUCAAGCCGGAGAAGAAAAAGCUGGGGCCAAUAGCGAAGAAGACGCUGGGAUGUUUGGCUGAUGCUGCUGGUAUGCUGAUAUGUGAGAAGAUAAGUGAUGCGAUUUGUCCAGGAGACUGCUAACAAGCUGGUGUCGUCGUGUCGGAAUUUGCUUUAUGUUCACGUAUGUUGUUUCUAUCGUUUAUCUGUUAGUGUUAAAAAAACAACUGUGGACUCCAGAGUCUAGACCAGGUGUUGGUCAAUUUCUGUCUUGUGUGGUGUUGUAUCUCCUUUGUUUCAGUGGAAAAGAAGAGCUUUGUCUAAUAAAAAAUGAUAAAUGUUGUUGGGUAAAAAAAAAAAAAUGCUUUCUUUGCCUUUUAAAUAGUAUUGAAUGAAAAAAAAAUGGUUCGUUUUUCUGCUCCCGAUCGGGGAGCUCAAAUGUUCCACUUUCAUACGUACGUGCGUAACGAGAUAGCCACAGGAUAAAGGAGUAACUGCAGCGGGGUCAGGUGUAGAAUCUGCAAGAUGGCAGCAUGGCAUCAAAUUCUUUUUUUUUUUUCCUAACCACGAGAUGUUUUGGGAGGACCCAUCCAUAGGAGCCACCUUUAAUCAUUUUUUUUUAAUUGUUACCGCUGGGACCAUUUUUAAAUUAAAAAAAAAAAACCAAUUUGAGUGCAUGGAUAAUGGGUUUGAGCCAAUGGUCGAGCCAUAGCCCCACAUUUCCCCUUCGACAGCCUCCCAUUUCAACGCAGUAGAGACAGAGUAAAGGCAACUUUUGAAGAUAAGAACGAGACGACAAAGAAAAUAAAAUGACCCAUGUCCAUAGAUAUCUGCAUCAAAUCCUCAGGUCUCUGCACCGAUACAUACACAAAUAUUUCAAGAUCAUGACAACUUCUGCAACUCACUCCUUUGAGCUUCAAGCUGGCCAUCGUAUGAAUAACUGGGUAAUAUGCGACAACAAAGAUUUACCUUCACUGAACUGAAGCCAGAGCAAAAGCCGGAGUCAAGAUCAAAGAAGAUCCUGCGAGGUUUGGCUAAAGCAGUGCCUGUUUGUUUCUUGAUAGGUUACGAGAUAAGUUGAGCAGACUAGUAAAUUAGCUGGUGUCUGGUUAGGUAUUUGCUAACAUCAGGUUCAUGUAUGGCGCAUCAUAUUCAUGUAUGUUGUUCUGUCCUUUAUGUAUUAGUAUUUGUAAAUAACUCUAGAGUAUCUUAAUUAAUGGAUCUAUCUUUUAAGGCCUGAAUUUGGCACAUGAAGUUUAUUGAAUGAAAGCAAAUCAGGAGUUGGUCUUAAAAGCAUGCUGUUCAAGGAAUACAAUACAAACAGUAAAAUUAUUUGAGACAAUUCGCACGGCUUCCCUUUGAGUGAAAAAUGAUCUUUCAUUCGUUUUAGCGUGUGUUUCAUAAUUCUCUCUUCUUUUUUUGGGCCCUCUCCUAUUUUGGCUUGAAUUAGUUGUUGUUGAUUUGGUGAAAAAGCAAACUGCUCUACUCUAAUACAAUUGGUAUUAGAGUAGUUCGCUUCACUGAAGUUGGACUUAAGAGUGUGUGUGGCUUUGUGACCGAAGGGGUGCCCCCUAGUCAGGGUGUGUGAGUUCCACCCUCUAAAGUUGGCCCCAGGGUGUGUGAGUGGCUUUGUGACCAUGGGGUCGUCACCUAGUUGGGAUGUGUGAGUUCUACCUUAUGAGUUUGUAACAAUUGAUGUAGAGCAGUUUUAUUGACCCAGGUAACAAAUCUUUUUAUAUUUUUCUUUUGUGUUCUUUUAUUGUUGAUUUUACAUGCUUCUUUGCAUAAAAAAUGUGGAAAUUGUCUAAUUAAGUCACAAUGGUAAGAAUCUGCAGUAUUAUUUUGAGGUUUGUUGGAAGGUAGUUUUGAAAUUUGGGUACAAAGUCUCAAAGUCAUUAUAAUUUUGAGUUCUGACCAGAGAAGGAAGAUAAGAGUAUAUCAAACUUAAACCACAAUUACAUGAUCACAUUAUUUCGGUUGCUUAGGCUAUAUGGGUAGACUGAAAGAAAUAGUGACGAUACUGAUCAUAACUGAGGAAAAGAAGAGCUAGCGUGAACAUUUUGCACCACUGUAUUAUGAAUAUAAUUCCUUCAAAGUAAAAGGCUCUAUAUAUGGAAUAUUAAAAUUGAAUUGGAGUUGGUUAUAUACAAUGUCUUAUAUGGUACACCAUUAUUAUUAAAGUAUGUAAAUCAGUUCAUUUGUCCUUCAUGCCAUGGCUAAAUACUUUUUCAUGCUUGUUGCAGACCUCUGUGGUUAAUGUAGUGAGACGCUGCAGGAUCUUGAGCCAUUUAAUAGGAUGUGGCACUUGAGCGAGAAUGGAGAACCUCGUGGGCAGUUUGAUGUAAUUAUUGCUGCUCGUAAUGGUGAUAUAGUGCUGCUACCUUUGCUCUCUCUCUCAGUAGAAAUUUAUUGUCUUAAGAUUUUGCAUUAAGAAAAUGCAUGUUUUUGUUUAUUGCAGUGGCAAAAUGUUAAAAUAGGCUUGGCUAUUGGGGAAAAAAAAGAAAAAAAGAAAAAAAAAGAAAAUUUUCAGUUUUACAUUCCAUCAUUACCCUGGAUCCAGGAGUGGCAAAGGUUCAAGUUUUGUACAGCAGUGCAGGGAAACCCUAUGUAAAUCUAAACCCCUAUGAGAGGGAUCCCACUCCAUGACAAAUCUUGAGGGCUUUGAGUUGGAAUACUCUGGCAGGUUAGAAGUUGUGUCAAUUAAUUAUCUAUAAAAUAUAUGUUACAUUGUAUGACUAUAUAGUGAUUCAUUUUGGGAUACGAGGACAUCGCAAAGAGCUAAAAAUUUCAAACAGGUUUCUUCCCUAGAUUUGGUGAAAAGGUGAUGGAUAGAUUACUGCUAAUCUUCAUAGCAAUUUUCAGCUGUAAACAUCUAGAAGGCUGGGACUAAAUGCCAUUUGAUUAGGUUAGAAUAAUAUGAGAUGAGCUUUCAAUCUAUAUCAUUCAUUCAAUUGCUUUUUCAGAUGUCCACAAUUCAUCAUGUUGAUAAUAUCCUGUUGGUGCCUAGUAAAUUUCCUUUAUGACUAUGAUAUAAGGUGUUAUGGAAGAGUUGAAAACAUCUGAUAUAAAUGAGUAGCUAGAAUAGGUUCUGGAUGAUAAAAAAUAAAAAAAAAAUUAUGCCUGUUUCUCUUCUUUUUCAUCAGUUGAUUGUAGACCAUUAAUUACCUAUGUCCUUUUUUGUUUCGGCUUUGCUUUGCAGUAAUAGUGCCCAGAUGUAAUGAUAGGAAAAUGUGCAAACCGGUUGUUGGUUCAUCUGGUGUACCUCUAAUAGCUAGAAAAAUGAAGGUAUAUAUCCUUUGAAAUAUUCAGUUUUUUAGUGUUAUCUAAACAAUGCUUUGCUUAGUCGACUAUUCCUAAAUUGUUUUGAAGUUUCAUGUUGCAUUUAUCCAGUUUGUAGAGGAUGCAAUUAAGUUCUAUAUGGGCGUUCUUGCGGCAUCUGAGGAUCCCUGUCUACUAGUUAGUGCAGCAUCAUUUAAGGCACCUUUGUUAAAGGCUGUCUCAUGGAUGGAAAAUAACUCAGAGAAGUUUUUUUGUUCCCAAAGUGACGGCGCUCAUUGUUGGACCCUCUUCAGCACUGCAGCUUAUGGAAAACGAAACAAGGUUCCACAGGUCUUUUUGCACAUAAAUGUGUGUCUUGUUUAAAAUACUUGUUUUCACAUGAUUAUAUGCUAGCAUUGGCACACUUUUUUUUAUUUUUUUUAAUCAAUUGCUUGGACUCGUUGAAUCCAUUCAUACUUCAGCUUGAAAUCUGAGCUAUUGAAACAAGGCUGCAAUGAGUUCAAUUUUGGACUAUCCUUGUAGUUGUCAUAUUUCCUUAUUGGAUGUAUCUUUUAAGUGCUGCAUUUGGCAUAUGAAGUUUAUUGAAUGAAAGGAAAUCAGGGGUUGGUCCCUAAGGCAUGUUAUUCAAGGAAUGCAUUACAAAAAGUAAUAUUAUUUGAGACAAUUCACAGGGCUUCCCUUGAGUGAACAAGAGUCACUUUACCAUUUAAACUGGUAAUAUGCUCUUUCGGUUUAUUCAAAGAAUUAUGAGAAGAACCUCAGGUGUGUUAAUUGAAAAAUGCCCAAAAUGGAUUAUUCAUAUUCAUGCCAUUGAAUCCCGGGUAUGUUAAUUUCAAACUCUAAUUAAAUGUUAUAAUCUUUCUUCAUUCAUUUUAGCAUGCGUUCCAUGAUUCAUGCUUUCUUCUUCCCCUUUUAAUUUUUCCUUGUCUUCUGUUUUAGCUUCCAUGAUAUUGGGAAUUAGUUGUUAUUGAUGUGGUGAAAAAGGAAUUGUUUUAUUUGGAUCCUAAGAGGGGUAAUCCUGAUCCUGAUUAUGGACUCCUUUCUGUUUGACACUGUUCAUAUUUGUAGGUUUCUUCAAUAUAUUUCAGAGAUAGCUACUGUAGUUAUUUCAUACAAUGCCAUGAUACUGUUCAUAACAUAGAAUAUAUAGUGAGGAAAACUGAAAUUAUAGAUCUAAGAUGAGAUUUGUGGAGGUAAAACAAAUUACCUUAGCUAAGUGCAGUGUGGCUAUUGCUUUAACUAAAACAAAUGAGAUUUGUCGCUAACUGUUUGGCUUUUAACUGUGAAUAGACCCUGCAACAGCUAGGAAAUGUGGAGCUUGGCUAUUAUGUCAUGAGUUACAUGGAGUACAUAAUAGCCGACGUUGGUUUGCUAAUGAACAAAUUGUGUUACUGAUAAUAAAAUAAUAUCACGUUUGUUUUAUAGCGUAUAUGUGGCAUUGCAUUGGAAGUUUGAUGACAUUGGUUUUAUGGUUAACAGUUCAAUAGGACACCUACACUGAGGCUGAAAUAGACGAGGUUCAGUCGGAGUGGGCUAACCAUUUUUAUGAAAUCUUUGACGCAGCAUCAAAAUGUUUAGUAUAAACGUGAAACAAUACAUGUGCCUUAUUAUUAUGUCUCAUUUAUUAGAGCUUGGUGAAAUUUGAGUUGUAUUGUGAAACAAUAAUGUUUUGAGUUGACGUUGUGAUGCCACUUUUACUUCUUACAAUAAUGUGCUAAUGUCGUUAUCUGUGUGAAUAUUUUUAGUUCUUACAAUAAUGCUAUUUGAUUUCUGAUAAUUAGUGAUAGGGUAUGGAAAGCAAAACAAGGUUCUGCAGGUCGGUUCAUAAAUAAAUAUAUGUUUUUGUUGUAAAUAUACGUUUACGUUCACACACUGUUUAACCAAUUGCUUAGGGCACUAGCAUGCUUGAAUAGAUUCACAAUUCAGAUUGAAAUCCGAAGCUAUUAAAACAGGCCGCAAUGAGUUCAGUUUUUAUGUGCAUAUUUGUGUAGACUUGGUAAUAAUAUUAGCUUGAUCAUCUGCCUUAUACUUGAAUCAACAUGACAUUUCAAUUUUACAGCAUAGAUUUAUAUUGCAAUUUAGUUUUUCUUCAAUUUAGCUUCAGAAGUCGAUUUGGACAGAUCUGACAAGUGAUUUUGUGGACUUGCAUGUAGUUCUGAUUUAUUUUCGGGGUUACGCUCAUUUGGAAAACAAAAAAUAGAAGAUGUGAUUGCAAUUUCUUAAAUAUUUGGAACGUGUUAUGUUCAUUUGUUUCAAAUCACAUGCUUCUUAUUUUAGUCUGCUUUUGACUGUAUCGUUUCAUGUAAGUUGGCUUUGAUGCCUCCAAAAUUUAGAUGCUCUGAACUUCUGAGAAACGAUAAGAAGUAAUUUUUUAAUCAAAUAAUUAAAUUUAAAAUUUCUUUUCAAUGGUGUUAUCUAAAUAAUUUUUUUUGUAUCUUAAUUGUAAUUUUGAUCAUCUAGUUUUACAUGAAAUUAGAACAAAAACACAAACUUUGGAGGAAGAGAGAAGCCUGUGUGUGUGAAGCAAGACUGUAGGUGCAUUUGCUUAAGUUUCUCUGAUAAACUGUGUCUGCAAUUUUUAUUUUUAUUUAUUAAUUAUUUUUUGAAGUCUCAACAUAUCUGAAUAUAUAUAACUGAAAAAUAUGUUUGUUUUUAUCUAUUCUUUUUAAGGUCCGACUAUAGGUACUUAUGAGUAGUUUGGUUUUGUAAAUGAAUUUGAGAGUUUAAAUUUAAACUGUUGACUUCAGACAUAAGGUACAAGUAAAAAAAUCUUAGCCUUUUCUAUUAAGAUGAAAAUAUCAUACAAUCAAUGAUAAUUGAAAAAAACAAUCUAAACAGUCUAAAUGUCUUAAAAUAAGUUACCUUAAAAAAAAAAAUUCCAAGUCGAGUGAAAUCUUCUCAAGCGUGGAGAGUUGUAUUAUAGAUUCUGACAUGGAUAAGAGAACCUUUCUCAAGUGUUUAUGCGGUCUUGUUACACCACAUGUGUGCAUAUCUGAUACCAAGAAAAAUUCACAGAUUAGAAUGAAUAAUUUCUAUGUUUAAUUGAUGAGAAUUACUCCUCUUUAAAUAGAUUACAGGGGAAUAAAUCAAAUCCCACAAAAUCAGAGCUAUAAUAGCUAGAAAUCUAAUUCUAAGGAAACAAAUCAGUAAACCUAUUUAAGGAAAUAAAUCUUGCCAAAUAACAUAGAUCCUAAUAUAUACAAUUCUAAUUAUGUAUAAUUCUGAUUUCAUCCACACAUAUAUUUACUUUGCUUGAGCAAUGUCUUUAGACCAAGCUUGCCUUCAAGAAAGUCAUGAGUCUGUUCUGAGAGUCCUUUUGUGAGGAUAUCAGCCAGUUGGUGAGAUGUAGGCACAUAUUCAAGCUUGAUAAUGUUUCCAUCAAGCUUUUCUUUAAUAAAAUGUCAAUCAACCUCCACGUGUUUAGUCCUAUCAUGAUGAACAGGAUUGUGAGCUAUACUAAUUGCUGACUUAUUAUCACAAUAGAGCAGCAUAGGUUCUUCAAAUCGUAAUGAGAAACAGGAGGAGCUUUAUGUGGAAUGUAAAAAUUUUGAUGUUGAUGUAACUGACGACACAAACGACUAGCCGGAAGUGCAAAAGUCAAACUCUCUAUCUAAAUCUCGUGGUCCUGCUAAUGUGCGUACAAGUUUUACUGUUCCACUGCCCUUUGCUAUGGCAACUGAAAAACGUGCUUCGGGCACAACUAGACAUGGGGGGCCAAAACUGCAGCUGAAAGCAGUAAUGUGCAAUCCCUUAUGCCAAAGAAGAAUUCACAGGUAACUUAAAUCCUCAAUUGGAUAAAUUGUGAAAGCUACUAUUCUUUAUUAUUAAGUUGAAAGAUCAAUGAACUUAACGAGAAACUUGACAUUAACUACAGCCAAUAUAAUUGGUGGUCUGACGAGGCAAAAAAAUUCCAACUAUUUGUAAGGAGUUAGGCAACUUUAUCAAGCAAAUAGAUAACAAAUUCAACCAAUGGAGUUUGUACUUUAUAAAGUUGCCUAAAAAUAGUUUUUCUUGCAUUAAAGUGUAGGUUUCCUUAAAUCUGUUCAAGAAAAAAUUUAAAAAAAUUCUUAACCACUUUACUAUAUUUUCAUUUUAUUUUCGUGUUAGGAAUCUUUACCCACUAUAUGCCUUCUUGAUUCAGUCUGUAUGCUUGAUUUAAUUGGAACUGCUCUACAUUAUAACCUUUGUUUUGUUUUGCUUCCCUGGUGCACCUUGGGAAAGUCCUUAGCUCGUAGAUUUGUAAUCUUGUGAUCCUAUUUGCUUUACAUUCAAAAAGAAUAUCUUGCUAACUGAAUAAGCAAUUUGUAUGGUGCGUGAAGUCUGAUGGGAAUUCAAAAUCAUCGUGAUCUUGUUCGCAAUGAUCAAUGUUGUACAAAUUAUGGAUUUUAAGUUUUUGCUAGUCUUUGAUAUUCUGCAAUUUCUUUUGGCCAAACUCACCCCUGAAUCAAGGAAGCUAUCGCAACUUGAUAACAAGAAGCUUCUUGAUGAAGAACAUAGUUGGUCUGUUGCUUCCUCGCAUCCUUUGUUUCUUAUUUUAGUGUGCUUUUUAUUUCAGUGUGCUUUUAACUAUUGUUGGCUUUGAUAUACAUAGAAUGGAAGCAUCUAUACAAAAGGUAAUUGUUGGAAUGGCUCCAAAAUUUAUAUGCUCUGAACGUGCUAGGAAACAGGAGGAGGUAUUUUUCAUUUAUCAAAUAAUUAAAUAGAAAAUUAAUUUUCAAAUGUGUUAUCUAAAUAAUGUUUUUGUAUCUUCUUGUCAUUUCCAUCUUCUAGUUUUGUACUAAAUUAGAGCAAAAACACAAAGCUUUGGAGGAAGAGAGAAGCAACUUUGAAGUUGCAUUUUCUUAAGUAUCUCCGAUGUACUGUGUCUGCAAUCGUCAUUAUAUCUUAUUGCAGACAUCUGAAGAUGUUUGUGAAAUAGUAAUGUUUGAGUUGAUGUUCUGAUGCCAUUUUUAGUUCUUACAAUAAUGAGUUGAUGUCCUUAUCUGUGUGAAUAUUUUUAGUUCUUACAAUAAUGCUAUUUGAUUUCUGAUAAUUAGUGAGUGGGUACGGAAAGCGAAUUAAGGUUCAUAAAUACAUAUAUGUUUACUUUCACACACUUUUUUACCAAUUGCUGAGAGCACUGGCAUAGUAGAAUAGAUUCAUUCUUCAGCUUGAAAUCCCAAGCUGUUGAAACAGGCCGUAAUGAGUUCAGUUUUAUGUGCAUUUUUUGUCUUGGUAAUAAAAUUAGCUUGAUUUUCUGCCUUAUAUUUUGAAUCAAUAUGAUAUUUCAAUUUUACAGUGUAGAUUUAUGUUGCAAUUUAGCUUCGGAAAGAGUGGUCGAUUUGGACAGUCUGGUUUUGCUCAUUUGAAAAACGAAAUGGAGCAUGUGAUUCCAAUUUCUUAAAUAUUUGAAAUAAUUUGAGAUUUUCACUAACGUUUUCUAAACAAUCAUGAUUAGCAUAGAAAUUUAAGAAAACUCUGUUCCUUUGUAAUGACUUAGGUUGAUUUCUGUUUUCGGGGUGCAGUCGUGCAGAGGUGGCUCUUCCGACUAAUACUCCGAGUAUGCCAUGUAUCUUUUAUCUCCAUGGAAGGGAUGGUAUAUUUAGCGAUUGGUUGUGGGUUCAAGUUUAGAGUCGGCGAGUCAGCAGCCUUAACUGGGAUGGCUCUUGCUGAUCAUGUAAGCAAAUAAUAUGAUUUUCAUUUGCUUGCUUGGUUUUAUUUAUAUAGCUUCAAAUAAAUCUGGGACUUGACAUUCAUUUUUCACUGUUCUACAAUGUUAUAAACCUGGUUUACAACAUAGUAAAAGUUUGUUUACAAUUUUGUAAACACGUCCCAAACUCUAAUACAAUCCAAAAUUCUUAGAUUAGUAAGUUUUCUUGUAUGUAUAUAUAUAUAUAUAUAUAUAUAUAUAUAUAUAUAUAUAUAAUGAGAUCUGAUCAGGUAGGCGAUCUCGCUCUCUUAGAUCCAACAUGAUCAGCCUCAUCUUGAAGAGAGCUGUGCAGCUUUUUGCUUCCUACCGCACGGCUCUUUCUCGCACGCUUUUGGAGAGCGAGAUAUAUCGCCCACCUGAUCAAAGUCCUAUAUAUGUGUGUGCGCGCGCGCGUGUGAUGAUCGACAAUUAAUAUCAAGUAAAAUGAUCUGUAACACAACAUUUAUAUUCCUAUAUGGGGACAUUUAAACAUGAACUUUUAUACUUGGCAUCAAUUUAGAUUGAGAUAUCAGGGAAGGAAUUUCAAAAAAUAAGCUGGAAGCUUGAUUAUUCAUAUAUAAAUAAUGUGAUCUACAUCGAUUGCAGAUUAUUUAUGAAGUGGUGGAGUUCGUACAUCAAUAAAAUUUUUACUAUUGAUCUACAUCAAUAGUAAUGAACUUGAGAGUGGCAGUUUUUGAAAUCUUUUGUACAUUUAUACGAGUUGUAUCGAGAUUCUGUGGACAUUCUUUCUUCUAAUUUUGAUCUAUGCAUCACAAUUUUAUGAUCCUUGUAUCUUAAAUCAAACUUUGUUGCUGCAGGUUCAAUAUUCUGGACUUCUCUUAUUGAGAGGCUACCCUUCUGAGUAUCUGCUUUCAAUUAUCACUUGCAGCUUCUAAUAGUUUGCAAACCAAAUAUGGUUUUAUAUGUUCAUGCACUUGCAGUGUAAUUUGUUUAAUAUGUUUGGUUAAUACAAAUUUCAAAGACAAAAAACAAAACAAGUGAAACAACUAUUUAUUCCAACUUCCAAGUGUAUAUUCUAUAUCUUGGACAGCAUUGAACUCUUUUUUUGAAAAAAAAAAAUAUUGUUACAAUUCCCACAUUUAUAAUCUAAAAUAUAGUGGGGAUCUAAAUACAUAUAUUUAGUAAUACAACUUUGAAAUCUGUGGAGCAAUUACUUGAAAAUAGGUUUCCACUAAUAUUUGGGAAGAUAUUUACUCUUAAUUAUUCUAAGUGUAUAUUUUAUGUCCUUGAUAGCGUUGAACUUUUCUUUUGUUCUUUUUUUUUUUUUUCAAAAUUAUUACAAUUUACACAUAUAUUUCAAUCUAAAAUUUGCUGGGGGGCACUAGCACAAGAACUCAAUACAAUAAUUUAGAAAGAAGCCCGUGGAGCUGUAGCUCGAAAUUUUGUCCGCAUUAAUACUCGGAGAGAUAUAUGUGGCUAAAAUAUUUAGUAAAGAUAAAUUAAAAUCAAAUAUAUCAUAUAAAAAUUAAUCCAAAAUUCAACAUAUGAUGCGAUCUUAAUUAAUGAUAAAUUUGAAUCCUAUUAAACUCCUUUUGCAGCUACAAAAAAAAAAAAAAAGUAUUUCAGCAGAGAGCAGGGCAGCAUCAAGUAUAAAAACAUAGGAUAAGGAACAAGAUUAUAACGAACAAAACUACCAGUAAAUGAUGGCCACUUUCAUUUCCUCUGCAUCUUCAUCUUUUCUGAUUCUUCAACCGUUAAAACCCCCAAAACACUCAAGACUCUCAAAAGCAAAGACACUUACUUCAACCAUUAAAGCAACUUCUUCUCAGCCAAAACCCAACAACGCAAAUGCUAGAAAACCCACUCCAAGAAACCGCAGAAGGUCGUCCUAUGGCAGUUCGAGAAGGUCAGCUCUCAAGAAAACAUUCGCUCAAGAGCAAGUCACGUUCACUGCACCCGUCUCCAGUGACCCGCAUGUGGGGAUUAUUGGUGGAGGCAUGGCCGGUCUCGCUUGUGCUUUGAGUUUGGAUAAGAGAGGUGUCAAGUCCACUGUUUUUGACACGGUUUGUCAUUUGUCUGGUUUCUUGGCCUUUGCUUUUUUUUCUGUACUUUUGUGUUUUUUAUUGGAGAGCUUGGAGUGGGUGGCCAAUUCAAUUAUCUGUUUAAUAUGGUUAGGUUGUGUUUGUAUUUGAGAGUAUACGCUUGUAUAAUGGUAAUGUAAAAAAUUUGCUGUCAAAAGUCUAGCAUGUGUUGUUAUGCAUUGAAUUUUGAUUAUAAGCAUGUUUUGGAAUUGAGGUUCUCUGACCUUUGAUCCGCGUUUGUUGAGGAAUGAAAUUAAAACAUUAGCUGCUAAAUAAAAGUGGGGGUUUAUCGAAUAUUUUAGUCAACCACAUUUAUGUAUUCUUAACACUGUGCUUUGCUAUAUCAGGGGAAUCAUGGCUUGGGAGGAAGAAUGGGAACCAGAAUGAUUGGUCCUCAACCACUGAUAUUUGAUCAUGCUGCUCAAUUCUUUACUGUGAAUGAUUCUCAGUUUCAUGAGUUGGUUGAUGGUUGGUUGGAGAGAGGUCUGGUGCGACCAUGGGAAGGUGUGAUUGGAGAGCUUGAAGUGGGUGGCCAAUUCACUCCAUUUCCUUCUUCACCUCCAAAAUACAUCGGUGUUAAUGGGAUGCGCCCUCUUGCGGACUCUUUAUUGGCGCAGGUGACAAAUCUUUGUUUUGCUUUUGUGUUCUUUUCUUGUUGAUUCUAUCAUGCUUCUUUGGAUUAAAAGGAGAAAAUUGUCUAAUCAAAUCACAAUGGUAAAAAAACCGAAGUAUUGUUUUGAAGUUUGGUGGAAGGUAGUGUUGCUGCUUGGGUAUUCAAAGUCCCAAAAUCAUUAUACCGUUGAGGUUCUACCAGAGAACGAAGAUAAGAGUAUAUAAACUAAAAGCUAUAAUUACAUGGUCACAUGAUUUUAAUUGCUUAGGCUGCAUGACUAUACUUAAUGAAAUGGGCCGAUAAUGAUCAUAACUGACGAAAAGAAUAACCAGCAUGAACAUUUUGCACCGCUGUAUGAUGACUACAAUUCCUGUGAAGUAACAGGCUCCAUAUGUGGAUAAUGGAUUAUUAAUAGUGAGUUGGAGUUAGUUAUAUACAACAUCUUAAAUGGCAUACCUUACUUUUAAAUCAAGUAAAUAAGUUCCUCUGUCCCUCAUGCCUUGGCUUAAUUCAUUUUGAUUCUUGUUGCAGACCUCUAUGGUUAGCAUAGUGAGACCUUGCUGGAUAAGUAAUCUUCAGCCAUUUAAUGGGAUGUGGCACUUGAGCGAGAAUGUGAAACUACGUGGGCAGUUUGACGUGGUCGUUAUUGCUCAUAAUGGUGAUUCAGUGCUCCUAUCCUUUCUCGUUUUCUCUCUCUGUGGAUUGUUAUAGUCUUACAUUUGCAUUCCAAAAAUGCAGAUUAUUGUUUUUUGCAGUUGCAUUGUCAAUUGGAUUGAAUAUCUCUCAUUGUGAGAGUUCCUCUCAUUAUAUAGAAACUGUAGAGAUUUACAAGGCUGAUUUUCAGCUAUUACAUCAACCAAAUCUAGGCUAAUUUCUAGUAAUUAGAUCUAUCUAAACAAGGAAAUUACAGAUACUCCUAAUUACAAUAUAUAUACAGCUAUGAUACAUAAUUUAUGCCUUGAUAUAUGCUGUCAUCCCCCCUCAAAUUGAUGCUGAUCGAUCAAGAAGCAUCAAUUUGCUCACAAGAAACUGAUGACGCUUUCGUGUCAUAGCCUUGGUAAAUACAUCAGCUCUCUGGAGAGUAGUGGAAAUAUGAGGAAGAGAAAUAAUACGAGUGUCCAAAGUUAUAGUCUUGCAUUUGCAUUCCAAAAAUGCAGGUUAUUGUUUUUCGCAGUUGCAUGAAUGUGACAAUUGGCUUUGCUAUUGGAAAAAUAUAUAUAUAUAUUUCUGAUUUUAGUCUCUAUCAUUACAGUGGAUUAGGAAUGGCAAAUAAUCUGGUUUAUUACAGGGAAAUCCUACCCAAAUCCAAACUCCUAUGGAAGGGGUCCCUCUCCCUAACCAUCCUGGAAUACCCUGGGGGGUUAGAAUGCAUAUAGUGUUACAUUAUAUAACUUUAUAGUUGGGGAUUCAAUUAAUCUAGAUUCAGAAGCUGAAAUUUCACCUCGACCAUCAAUAGGUUUAGCCAGGGCAUUUAUAACACGACCUAAAUAAGCCUUGCACUGAGUUCUUAUGUUUUCUGGGAUACUAGGGCUUCAAAAAGGGCUGAAAACUUCAUAGAAUUUCAUACUGAUUUUUCACUGUCAAUUUGGAGAAAAUGAUGACUAGAUUACAAGUAAGAUUAAGAGCAACUUGUAAAUUUAAUCAACUGGAAGACUGGUAUUGAAUGGCUAUUAGUUAGGUUAGAAUAAGAUGAGCUAGACUAUCAAGUUGUGCCAUUCAUUCACUGGCCGUUGAGUAUUACGUAGGUUGUUAUGGAAGAGUUAAAAAAUAUCUAUAUAAAUUUAACAACCACAUUAGGUUUCUAGAUUCAGAAGUCGAGGUUAUGUUUUUUUGCUGACUCUUUCGACUGUUAAUUGCCUGUCUUUUUCUGUUUACAUUUUGGCUUAGCUUUGUAAUAAUAGUUCCUUCAUGUAAUGAUAGGAAAAUGUGCAAACCGGUUGCUUGGUUCAUCUGGCUUACCUCAAAUAACUAGACAAAUGAAGGUAUAUGCUUUGAAAUGUUCAGUUCUUUUAAUAUUAUCUAGCCUAUGUUUUAUUCAGUAGCCAAUUCCAAUUAUUUUGAAGAUUCAUAACCCAUUUUCCUGGUUUGUAGAGGCUGGAACUAAGUUCUGUAUGGGCCCUUCUUGCUGCAUUUGAGGACCCCCUCCCACUGGGCAGUGCAUCAACAUUUGAAGGCGCCUUUGUGAAAGGUGUUGAUUCUGUCUCAUGGAUGGCAAAUAACUCAGCAAAACUUUUGAAUUCUCAGAGUGAUGCUCCUCACUGUUGGACCUUCUUCAGCACUGCAGCUUACGGAAAACAAAACAAGGUUCCACAGGUCAGUUUGUAUAUAAAUGUGGGUGUUGUUUGAAGUACUUGCUUACACAUGAUAAUAUGCUAGCAUUGGCACACUUUUUAACCAAUUGCCUAGAUUUGAAUCCAUUCAUGCUUCAGCUUGAACUCCAAGCUAUAGAAACAAGGCUGCAAUAAGUUCUGUCUUUUUGUACAUAUUUAUGUUCCCUUUUAUACUUGAAUCAAUAUGACAUUUCAAUUUUACAGCGAACUUUGGUGCUGUGUAGAUACGUAUAUGUUGCAAUUUAGGCUUUCUGCAAGAUUUUUUAUGAUAUUUUUUUUUAUCAUUUAUUAGGAAAAUAUCCCAACUGCAACAGCAGAGAAGGUGAAAACAGGUAUGCUCGAGGGUGUUGAAGCUGCACUUGGCCGACCGAAAGGUUCACUUCAGAAGCCCAUUUAUUCUCGAGUCCAGUUAUGGUAAGACUCCACUUUUAAGGACAUGACCUUGUAAUUUCAUUUUUUUAUCAUGUCCAAUCUGGAUCCUUGUAACCUACUUGACCUAUAACUAUUUGCUGUUGGUGUUGGUUUAGAAUGAGUGGUUGAUUUGGACAAGCUUGACAAGUUAUUGUGUGGACUUGUGUAUAGUACUAAUUCUAUUUUCCUGUUACGCUUAUUUGAAAAAAAGAUGGUACAUGUCAUUCCAAUUUAUUAAAUAUAUAAAACAACUUGAGAAUUUCAUAAUUAAGAAAAUAGUUCCUCUGUGAUGAAUUAGGUAUUUGUUUAUUUAUAUAUCUAUUUUAUUUAUUUAUUUCUUUUUUGGGUUGGGGGAAUGUGUAGGGGUGCAGCUCUUCCAACUAAUACUCCAAGUAUUCCAUGUAUCUUUGAUCCUCAUGGAAGGGCCGGUAUAUGUGGCGAUUGGCUGUUGGGUUCAAGCGUAGAGUCAGCUGCAUUGAGUGGCAUGGCUCUUGCCAAUCAUGUAAGCAAGAAUAUGAUUUUCAUUUGCUUAUUUGGUUUUAUUUUGUGCAUGUAACCAUAUAUUUCAUGGUUGAUAUAAUAAAUAAAAUAAAUCUAGGACAACCAUUCUAUCCCUAUAUGGACAUCUAAAUAUAAUUUGUAGAUUGGCUUCAAUCAGGUUGAAAUAUCAGACAAGUUUCAAGAACAUUAGCUUGAAACUUGAUUAUUCUUAUAUAAAUAACGUAAUUGGUCUAUGUAGAUUGCAGACUAUUUAGGAAGUGAUGGAGUUCGUCCUGAGGAAUUUGCUGUCGGUUUACACAAAGACUUUCAGUCGCUCCAAGGACAUGAUAUUGGACAAUUCCCGGGUUUGAAGUCCAUGGAAAAAGAGCAAGUUCAAGCAUAUGAGCUUACUUCUUGAAUCCCUAAGCAGGCCACGAACAUUUCUAGAGUUUUUCAAGGUAUACUUCUAUUCAUACACUGUUUAUGGCUUUCUGUUUUUCACUUGGGUUACUGUCAUGUUAAUUCUCUUGGUUUUUAUAGCUAGGAUUAAGAAGUUUAUUCACAAAAUGCAGUUAUUGGCAUAGUUGCUAAGCAAGCAUCCUGAAAUUCUUUUUGUGAUGCCAUCCAUUAUGAAACGUAAUGAAUACAGAUGCAAAGGAAAGCGGAUUCUUCGGGCAGCUAAAUCCUUGCAGAAAACUUGUUUUCAGUAGCAUAGGUGACAGGAAUCGUGAUAUUUCCCCAGCUUUCAUGGAAGAAAAAUAAAAAAUUUCUAAUAACUGUAACCCUUUUGAGUUCUCCACAAAUCAGUUUGAAUAUGAAGCCAAAUAUCAGAUGCAUAUUUACAGGCUUCUUUCAGAGCAACAAAGUUUAAUGCUAUCAGUUGUUUUGGGUUCAAGUGAUCAGAGCUUCAUCCGGCACAAGCAUGCCAAACAGAGUAUGAAAAAUUUUGAAACCUACAGUUAAAAAUUCUCAAGUUCCGUAUUUGACCUGUAGUCACAUUCAAGUUUAUACACGACUGCUGAUAUAUGAAAUGACAUUUUUAUUCAGUUCCAGAAAAGUCGCAUGCAGAGGAUUUAAGUUUCAUAUUAAUGGAAUGGUUUUGAGCUUCAUUAUUAUAUUUUUUUUAAAAAUAAUUAAUGGAGUUAACAUUACUUAUUACAGGAAAACAAAGAAAGAUUAAUUCUCCAUGGGAAAAGCGUUGAAAGAAGCUUCUCAUGAGCGCAAUCAGUCCCUCAGUUGCUUGCCAUGGUAUCUUUUCCAUACUUUUACACAUGUUGAUAAAAUUCUUUCUUGGUUAAAUAAUUUGGAGAGAGAGCUGUUCAUUGGCAACACAAGCAACAAAAUAUCACACACAAAUUAAUUCCAACAAAAAUAAUAUUUUUACACGAGAGACUUGUGUGAGAGAAGAGGGUUAAUUAGAUGAUUACCAUUGAGAUCACAAGUUGGAGCGAAAUGAACACAGGCAAUUGAGCAAGCUGUGACAGAGUCUGUCGAGCUGAAGAAAUUGAAAACUCUUUGGCAUUUGUCUGCAAGCUUUAAAGCCGUCCGAAAACCAUUGUGCUUCUGCUAAUUUAACUUGAUAGCCAGCAACAAAAACAAAAAGAAGAACCCAGUACAGUUGCAGUUUCUAGUUUUUCAUGCUUGCCAUCUUUUCUUUCUUGAGAUUGAAAUGAUUUAAGAUUUAUUUAAAGGGUCUUUAUCUUAGUAUGCAAUUAAUGGUUUGAAAACAGAUUAUAUGCUAUUACAAGUGAAUUUUUCUGAUAACGAUUGCUUGACUAGGAUUCUUGUCGUAGUAUAAUUAUUAAACAUGAUUUUAUAAUUAAUGAUUCGUACAUUAAGUGAAAUAGAAACCAGGAUUUGAAAACUAAUAUGUUGGUAAAAUCGCUUGGAGCAACAGCCUAAAAUUAUCAGAUGGUGAGAAAACAGGAGAGGAUCUACGAAGAGUAAUGAAGUUUUCUAAAGUCCAACUGAAAUGAUUUCAGGAUUCGCUUCAACGAUGCAAAAAUAUAUUUGACAUCUCAAAUCUGAUGAAAUUCAUUUUCUUUACCGUUAUCUUGGACGUAUCACAUGUCAAAAUGCAUUAAUUACCGAUGCUAGCACUUGAAAUAAUAAAAAAAAAAAUCAAAUGAUAACCAAGUUAAAGAAGCAAAGUACUUUUAUAUUACAUACUUGAUUGUACCCCAAACCCAAUUUGUAAGACAUGAAGAAGAAAUCUCUUUGACAGAGUUAUUUCCAAAAUGGCAGAAUCUACCAUCUUGAACCAAAGUAUAUCAUUAGAACAAGAAGGAGAAUUAAGGACAUUCUAUUUCGAGAGCUACCUGAUAGGGUACUUCAUUCUUGACAGAGUACUGGCCUUCGUUGUCAUAUUGCCACCGAAUCUGAACUUCUUUGAGGAAAUGAAUGCUUUGGUGGAAGAAGACCUUGAGCAAGAAAGAGACCAACAUGAAAGAGAGAUGAAGAAAAUCUCUAAUUAUGCAGAUAUGGUCUGAUUGGCUUGUGAGAUAACUAACCAAACUAAUCACUACUUUCAAUCUCAAUUAAAUUCCAACAAACAAUCUAUUUUCUAUACGGACUUGUGUGGUGAUAAGCUAAAUAAAGCUGCCUGAAAACUACUCAGACGAAACUCUGGGGAUAUAGUACAUUGUUUGUUGAUAUAUAAUGGAUAAACAGAAUAAUAAAAGCCCCUGCUGAAAAUUGACGGAGAUUGAAAGUAGUGAUUAAUUUGGUUAGUUAAAACUUACAAGCCCACAAGACCAAUUUGAUUAGUUAGAGAUCUUCUUCCACCAAGCAUCCACUUCCCCACAGGAUUUCAUGGCAGCCAAUUGUAUGCGGAUCGAUCUUCAAUUUGCCGUCUCAGAGUAUGAAACAUGAUCCAACAUCAUCACAGCCUAGCAAUAUCUAAGUAGGUUUCUCUUUUAACCUUGCAUGUUAUAAAGAUUGAGUAUAUAUAAAUAAAAUUGUACUCCGAAAAUUGGCUCUUGCCCUCAAUACGUGUUAAUCCAUGAGUUAGGUAGAGUUAGUUGGCUUUGUCCUGUUCAGUAUUGCUGCCUAGUAGGUGUGGCUUUUAAGCAACAACUUCGGUUUAUGACUUUGUAUUUGAUGAAAAAAUUUUGUUACUCUCACCUUUUUUUUUUCCUCCAAAUUAUUAUUUUUAAAGCUUUAAAAAUCAUAUUUAUCAAUUACUUUCAACUUUUAUUUCAUUGCAAUUGUAACUUAAUUUUAAGCCACAACACUAAAUGGAUCCUCAGCAAUUAAUGGUCUCUUUAGCCUUGAAAUAUUAAUAACAAAACUACUCACCGUCCGUCACCAUGAGCCACCACAAACCACCAUCGGCAUUCAUAUUUUGGUGUCUUCUGACAUUAAUUUUAAACAUUAGAAUCUUCAAACUUUUGAUAAUGUAGCAAAAAAUGCAUUAACGUGGUAAUUAGUGUUGUGCAAAAUAAGUUUAUUUCAAUUGAUGCUGCACCCACAAAAAAUGCAUUUCAUUUCAAUUGCCUAUGUGGCAAACAUUUCUUUUAGGUGUUGAAAUUGGGCAAAAGUUAUGCUAUAAAAAUAUUUGAUAAACACUUGAUAUUAUAAUUUAAAAAAUAAGUUGAUUUAUUAAUAAGAUAUAAAAUUUUAAAAAAUAUUUUUUUUUAUAAAAUUUUAUUUAAAAAUCAUAUUUAUUAUGAAUUACUAAUUUUUAUAUUAAUUUAAACAAAAUUACGAAGAUGCCCAGCCUUUUUACAGAAAAUGUUAUCUUGUUAAUUUUUUAAAAUUUUUUACUAUUUAUUAUAUAAAAUUAUUUUUAUGAAUAUUAAGAAAAUUACUUUGUUAAUAUUGAUUAAGCAUAAUAAAAUGUUCAAAUGAUAAACCCAAAAAAGAAAAAAAGAAAAAAAAGAGGGAAACAUGAAGAAGUGAGCUCCACUCAUCCCGAUGCUCGCUAUUCGGUUAACGAUUCUGCAGCAGCUGUUUAAAACUUGAUUUUUUUCUCUUUGAAUCUGGUAGUUUUUCAAAAUAAUUUAGUUUAAGGGUUAGCAUUUAGUUUCAAUCACAGUUAAUUUUAUUUAUUUAUAUAUUUAUUGCUUUUUUGUUUUGUUUAGUAGGAUUGUAAUUAUCCUCGUAAAAGAUUUGAAUAGGUAUCGCAUUUGGCUUCACAUUUCCCAACUCUUCAUGUUUUUGAAUGGUGUCUGAGGUCAGGUGAGUCCAUUUCUCCCCUUUGCAUUUUUUUUCAUUUUCCUUUUAUUUUAUGUUUGUUUGGUUGCUGAGAAAAUUGAGGGGAAAAAAUAAAAAAUAAAAAACAGCAGUUAGACUUGAGUUUAACUUGAGAUUGAUAUAUAUAUAUAUAUAUAUAUAUAUAUAUAUAUAUAUAUAUAUGGUUUUAAGUUUUCUAAGUUUAAUUCAAAAUCUACCUCAAUUGACUUCAAUUCAAGUCAUGUGCAUCUGUUGGGCAUGGUUGAACUGGAGAACAGAAGGGAGUGAAAAAUUUUAGGGGCACAUGUGUGAAAUUUUGCUUAUGUACUUCGAGAAUUUUUUAAUGUUGGAAGAUUAAUGUGUUGAUCAUGUUUUGGUUUCCUUAUUAUUAUUAUUAUUAUUAUUAUUGCAAUCCUCAGUAACUAUGAAAUGAAAGUUGGUAGUAAUUAUGAAAUGAAAAGAAAAUAUCAAAUUAUAAUCGAUAGUUAAAACACAAAAAGUUACCUUUGAACUCUGCUGUAGUCUGGCAGAUAAUGAAGCAGGGAGAAAGAUUCUGAUCAUUUUCCCUCUAAACAUGCAUGAAAGUCCCGGUUCUGUAAGAUGUAUCAUUGGUAAUUUUCAAUUAUAAGCUAAUAUAUGAUAUGUUUUGGGUGGACAAAAUAAUUCAGGCCCUUAAAAUGACUUAUAAAUUAUAUUGAAAUUAAAUUUAAAAAUAAUUAAAAAAUUUUAAAGUUGGAACCCAAAAGAAGAAGAGGAACGAUUUACUCAUGACAAAAGAUAAAUAAAGGGUUGUCAGUGUCACCCAAACAAGAGGAUCGCACAUUCUUAGGGGAAAAUAUUUGGAGGAUUCACCAAAGAUGGUACCUGGGUUGUCAGCAUAACGAUUUGGGUGGUGAGAGGCAAAGAAAGCAGAGGAUGUAGGUGAUUUAAUUAGACAAAUAAUUAGGAUACAUCGAACAGAGGAGAAGACAAUUGCAAAUUCGUUGGAACAGUUGAUUUCGAUGAUUUGUUUAAGAACAGGGGCUGUCGUGGGAACGAAUCGGAUGGCGCUUUUGUAAAUGUAGCUGCGAACUGCAACCCACUAUUUGCGGUGUUGAAAGUGUAGGAAUUCUUCAUGGCCGCAAGUAGAGGGAAUAGAGCGUCUGUUUGAUUUACUAUAUGCAGUACGAACCGGAUGAAGAAGGUAAUUCGUGGGAAAAAAAUAAUAAUGGUUACUUGUGGUUGAAAUUUGAUGAAACUUAUGUUUAUUCGAAGGUAUUAACUAACAUAUAAUAAUUUAUUGUUUGAACUCUUGACUCUUGCAUAAGAAAAUCAAUUGGUAGAGAAAAUUGUUCAUUGCCAAUUUUGUAAAAUAUUUGUUGGUCCCUUGAAAGGUAUAAGAAAUUUUUGGAGUAAAAAAUAUUUAAACAGAGUUUAACAAUAUGGAGUUUACGGAGAGAGCUUUUAAACAAAUCUCGCCAUGUAAUUUUAAAUAAGGUUAAAAUCGUAAAUAUGAGAUGGGUUUUUAGAUGACUUUAGAGUAGCGCCACUUAAAUGCAAAGCAACUCUUACUUUACUCGCCACUUGGGCUUGUAGCCCAGUGGUGGACUAUUGCCCUCAAAGUUAAGCAUGACUUUGAGGGCAAUGGUUCGAGUCCCCACGGACUCAACCUCCUCCAAUUAAACAUAAUUGUGUGGAGAUUUCUAUAAACGUCUUUCUCCCUUGCGAAAUGCGAGUGGAGUAGAGACAUCCCUCCUCCGUGAGGGGUAUUUGGGAUGGGCAUGUACUUCAUAGAAUAAAAAUGUAAUAAUAUAAGUCCCAUGUAUAUAUAUCUGAUUGUAAAUAAUAUCAGGGGUAUUUGGGAUGGGCAUGUACUUCAUAGAAUAAAAAUGUAAUAAUAUAAGUCCCAUGUAUAUAUAUCUGAUUGUAAAUAAUAUCAGUGUAAUGACCUGCUGUCAUAGCAGUUGUAUAUAUAUCUGUGUAAUGCAAACUUAAUCAGUUUCAAAAAAAAAAAAAAAAAAAAAAACUCUUACUUUACUCGUCUCUAACGACCUAGGGUUCUUCUUCCACUCUCCAUUCUUUUGCUUGCCGACCUGAAAAUCCCUUCUCUUGUAUUCAAAUCUCAAAAAGUGCCAUUUCGUCAUCGAAAAUAAGCAGAUCUACACCCUGUGUUUGUAUGGUUGCAGUCCGUGUGAAGCCAUUGACGUCGAUGGAUGAUGCGGGGUUCUAACUGUCACUUUGAAAACAGUUAUGCCUAUUCUUCCUUGUACUGUAGAAGGCUCCUCUUGUACUGUAGAAGGCUCCUGUGACCUCAAAGACGUCACCAUGGAAUGGAAUCAUGCUGAAGACUUAUCCGAUGGUUGGCAUAGAAGGUGGCAAGUUACUUGUAAUAGGCAAGCUGCAGAAGAAAGAUGACGUUUUCAAGGUCGCAGGAGCUUUCUACGGUUGGGGAAAAUUUUUCCAUGCUGAAAAAAUAGACCUGUUGAAUCCAUUCGUACUUCAGCUUGAAAUCCCCCGCUCCCCCCCCCCCCCCCCAAAAAAAAAAAAAGAACAAGGCUGCGGUGAGUCCAGUCUUUUUGUGCAUAUAGACUUUGCAACAAGAUUAGCUUUAUUUUCCCUUUUAUUCUUGAAUCAAUACAAAACUUCAGUGUAGAUAUGUAUGUGUUGCUACUCAGGCUUUCUGCAAUAUUUGUAUGAUUUUUUUAUAUAUCAUUUAUUAGGAAAAUAUCCCAACUGCAACAGCAGAGAAGGUGAAAACAGGUAUGCUCGAGGACUUCGCCUGCCAGAAGGUUCACUUCAGAAGCCCUUAUACUCAAGUCCAAUUAUUGUAAGACUCCACUGUUUGGGCAUUAUCUUGUGAUUUCAUAUUUAUCGUGUCCUGUUUGAAUCCCUGUGACCUACUUGGGCUGUGACUAUUUUCUGUUGCUGUAGCUUUAGAAUGAGCGGUUGACUUGGACAGCCUUAGCAAGUUAUUGUGUGCACUUGUGUGUAAGUCCCUACUUUUACUUUCUUCUGAUACUCGUUUUUCAAAUGAGAUGGAACGUGUGAUUGCAAUUUAUUAAAUAUUUAAAACAACUUGAGGAUUUCAUAAUUGAGAAAAUUCCGGGUUCCCUUAUGUUGAUUUAGGUAUUUAUCCUUUUUUGUUUGGGAUGUAUAGGGGUGCAGCUCUUCCAACUAGUAUUCCAAGUAUUCAAUGUAUAUCUUUGAUCCCUGAGGAAGGGCUGGUAUAUGUGGUGAUUGGCUGUUGGGUUCAAGUUUAGAGUUAGCUGCCUUAAGUGGCAUGGCUCCUUGCUGAUCAUGUAAGCAAGAGUAUGAGUUUCUUUUUCCAAUUUGGUUUUGUUUUGCACAUACAAAUGUAUAUUUCAUUAUUGAUAAUUAUUAUCAAAUUAAAAAAAAAAAAUCUGCAACACCACCUUUAUAUCCCUGUAUAUGGACAUUUAAAUAUAAAUUAGUGUAUUGGCUUAAAUGCAGUUCGAAAUAUAAGACGAGUUUCAAACAUAAGAUUAAAGCUUGAUUAUUCAUAUAUAAAUAAUGUAAUUGUUCUAUGUAGAUUGCAGAUUAUUUAGGAAGUGGUGGAGUUGGACCUCAGGUGUUUGCUGUCAUUUUACACAAUGAGUUUCUGGGUUUAGAGUCCAUGGAUAAAGAAAAAGUUCAAGCUAUCAACUUACCAUUUGAAUGCAAGCAGGCCAUGAAAAUUUCUAGAGCUGUCAAGAUAUGCUUCUAUCAACACAUUGUUUAUGGAUUUAUUUCACUUGGGUUAUUCUCAUAUAUUAAUUGUCUUGCUUUUAUUACUGGGAUAAUUUGAUUGCAGUCAUCGAUGAGGGUAAUGCUUAUUUAUUGGUAAUUGAAAUAUUUUGCUAUCAACAGUGUCGCAUUUGUUCAUCAUUAUAUGUCUACACACACACACGCACACAAAAAAUAUAUUUAUAUAUAUGUUUAUAUACCAUGACAAGGGCUUUGUGCGUUAUCAUUCAUUGCUUGUAGCCAUUGUGACACUUGAGUGUAUAUGCAACUUAGGCCAUCGCAAUCCUUUUUGGAAUGAAAUUUUGAUUUGAUUAUUGCCAUUUUUGUGAUUGAGUUAUUGUGACUUUUGGUUCAAAUAUCAAAGUUUUUAUGCUUUCAAAAUUAUCCUGCCACCAAAAUGGGACUCAACUUGAGUUAUUCAAACUUGUGAAACUUGAAUUUUGUGUAUCUGAGUUGAGUGCUGAGUUGGUCAGCCACAUCCAUGCAAUGAUUCGUUGUAUUUAUUUUGUUUAUUUUAAUAUGCUUUGCUUUAUCGAGGGAAUCAUGGCUUGGGAGGAAGAACGGAAACCAGAUUGAUAGGUCCUCAACCACUGAUAUUUGAUCAUGCUGCUCAAUUCUUUACCGUGAAUGAUUCUUGGUUUGGUGAGUUGGUUGAUGGUUGGUUGGAUAGAGGUCUGGUGCAUCUGUGGAGAGCUUGAAGUGGGUGGUCAAUUCACCCCAUUUCCUUCUUCACUUCCAAGAUACAUUGGUAUUAAUGGGAUGUGCCUUCUUGCCGACUCUUGAUUAGCCCAGGUGACAAUCUACGUUUGCUUUUGUGUUAAUUCUUUUAUGCUUCUUUGCAUAAAAAAAUAGGGGAAUAUUGUUUAAUUAAACCACAAUGGUAAGCAACUACUAUAUUGAUUUGAAGUUUGCUGGUAGGUAGGGUUGCAACUUGGGUCGAUCCUCCCAAGUGCAGUUCUAUGCUAAUGAUUCAAAGUCCCAAAAUCAUCACAGUUUUGAGGUUUAAUUGCACAAGGAAGAUCAGAAGCGAAUUUUACAUUGUCAUGUGAUUUCAAUUGCUUAGGCUGCAUGGGUGACAUAAUGAAAUACUGGCUAUAAAGAUUGUAACUGAGGAAAAGAAAACUAGCACAAACAUUUUGCACCACUGUAUUAUUAAUACAAUUCCUGCGAAAUAACAAGCUUCUAUAUGCAGCAUUAAUAGUGAAUGGAGUUAGGUGUAAACAACAUCUUAUCAAGGCAUUAGAUUAUGUAAAUCAAGUUCCUUUGUCCUUCAGCUAUGUUGUUUAUAGUCUAACUCUGUUUUGAUAUGCUUGUUGCAGACUUCUUCAGUUUAAUGUAAUGAGACCUUGGUGGAUAAGUAAUCUUGAUCCAUUUAAUGGGAUGUGGCAUCGGAAAACCAUCUGUUUAAAUUUAAUAACCAGAGUGGUUUUAUAGAUCAGCUUUUUAUUUUUUUUCCUUUCAGUUUCUUGUCAGAUUGUAAGACAAUUUAAGGUGUAUAUACUUUGAAAUAUUCAGUUUGUUUAAUAUUUUCUAGCCUUUGCAUUAUUGAGAGUCAGACCAUCUUUUAGUUGUUUUGAAGAUUUAUGAUGCAUUUCGUGGGUUCUUAGAGGCUAUACUUAAGCUCAAUAUGGGCUCUUCUUUCUUCAUUUGAGGAUCCCCUUCCGCUAGACAGUGCCGCGACAUUGGAAGGAGCCUGUGUUAAGGAGUUGAUUGUGUUUCAUGGAUGGCGAUAACUCAGCAAGGCUUUCAAGUUCGCAGAGUGUUGGCCUUCGUUGUUUGACACCCCCACUUUAAUCCAAGCUAAAAUAACCUUAUUUCUCCCCACUCGUUAAACUCCUUACUGGUGGUGACUUCAUUUUCAAUACCCAUACUUGUAUAAUGGCUAACCUAACAGAUAAAAUCAUUAGUGGUGGUGAGCGAAGACUAAGAUGCCUUCGGCAACUGGUCACUGCUAAUAACAAUAAUCUUGAUUCAAAUAAUGGCGGAUCCUUAGCCCGUCUGUCCAUGCGUCAAGAGUUAUUGGCUGGUAAAAAUCACUUUGAUGAUGUGCUUACUUCCCGAUUAUUUUAAAACGAUUAAUUUCAAAUAUUUCCAUUGAUUUUAGACCACAAGAAAACCAACCAUAGAAUCUUCAAAAUGGCUUUCUACGCAAAUGCUGCUCGGAUUACAGUUUCGUUGGGAUAAAGUUUUGAGUUUCUUAUCAUUCUUCAAAGCCCCUGAUAUGUGGGAGUGAAGAACUUCAGAAAUAAAUUAUGUGUAUUAAACUCAAAUCUGGUCAAGAAUUAUGGGAAUAGUAAUCUAUUUACACGAGUUUAGUUGGGAUUAGAAAUAAAGAAAAUUUUGUGACGUUUCCGCCGUAAGAGACCGUAGGAUUGGCAAAUUUUGACCAUGGGGGGCCGAGAUUGUGCCACGUCUCCACGCGCACCAUAUACCUUACUAUAUGGUUCUUACACACCCAACCAUUCUUGUCUUAUUAGGGAGCAAUCUUGGCCGUUCACUGUGUUCGAUCGGACGCCCCACGUCUCUCUUUCUUUCAGCCACCACCGCAUCUGAAAGAACCGUCGGAUCGUGCAUCAACGGUUCCUGAAGGCGUGCUCACCAUGCUUAUUGUUGAAUGGUGACAUUACCCAUUUUCUCACCCCCAUCAUAGAUCACAGCUCGUUCAACUGAAACCCUUGUCUUGAAGUCAUAAAUCAAAAUGCACUCUGUGUUCUGGGAGGAAGAUGAGAACACUGUUCUCUUCAAGUUGCCUCUUGCAUCAGGGACGAAGCAAGAGGGUGUAAAGGUUGCGAUUGAAGAUCAUAAGUUGUUCAUAUCAGAGGAAGCAGGCACCUCUCUCAAUCAAUACUUUGGUAUGUAUGUCAACUUGCCAGUAGGUCUCAACCCGGAUAGCUUCGAGACCUCAAUGGAUCAGACGGGGCUCCUUACUGUCCGUUUCAAAAAACUUAUGCCCAUCAAUAGUAAGCUUUCAUGUAGUACCGUAAAAAGCUCCUGCGACAUGGCCCCCAUGGGCUGGCUUGAGCCUGAUGAUAAAGAAGCCAACGGAGUUAUCCACUCCAAAGCGGGUCUUUCAGCAGAAACGAAGAAAGAAGAUCUCGUCGUCGGCGUCGUAGAUCGACAAUUUCUUAUAAUAGGCCAGCAGCUGAACGAGAAAAAGGAAGGAGGCUCCUGCGAGAGCUUCGUAUUGCCGCAUGGUGUGAACCCGGAUGGGUUUGAGACCUCCAUGGAUGAUCCCGGGGUCCUGACGGUCACGUUCAAGAAGAAGCCAUCGAAGGAUGGCAAGAAAAAGAAAGAAAAGAUAUUAAAAUCAAGGUUGCUCGGAGGUUUGGCUGAAGCUUGUCUCCUGGCAGGUUGCAAGUUCGCUUGCGAUGAGCUUACUGGCGACGACUCCUAACUAAUAAUUAAGCUGGUGUGUUUGGAAUAUGGUAUUUCCUAUAUCGUGUUCUCCUUGUUGUGUCGUUUUUGUAUGAGUGUUUUGUUUGUCUGUUUGAAAAUUGGAAAUAAACUCUGGACUAGUACUGGAGAACUCCAGAGCAGAUGUUCCAAUUUACUAUGUUGUACUUCUUCCUUUUAUUUUCUUUCUUUGGUUUGUCUGGGAGUUUUGUGUGUAAUAAUAUUAAUAAUUAAAAUAAGACCUUUGUCUAUUUCCUUCUUCUUCUUCUUCUUCUUCUUCUUAUUAUUAUUAUUAUUAUUUCUUUUUUUAAGAACCAGUAAUUUCAGUUGUGUUAAAUGAUAUUGUGUGCGUUAAAUUUUUUUUUUUUCCUUUUUCCAAUUUUAAGGAUGGACUUUGAUUACCUAUAUAAUGACAAUCACAUAGGUAAACCAAGCAAACUAGAGUAGUUCAUCUAAUACAAUUUUGUAUUUGUUUAAUGUGAACUCCGCGAUUGAUGCAACUUACAUCACUAUUAUAACGAAUCUCUUAUCUUUAAGAAUAAGUAACAGAGUAUUGGACAGCUGCGCUUAAAUCUUAAUUGGGUCAGAGUCCCCUAAGGUACUCAAUACUCCACUCACAUGAAGGUAUAGGUGGGGGUACAUUCAAUAACACUACAUAGGUUUUUUUCAAUUGUUAGCGUCGAAAUUUGUUUGAUUAUGCUAUUCAGUUUUUGAUAAUCACUAUUUCAAAAUAUAAAUGUGCAAUUUGGUCAUUAGGAUACAAAUCAUAGCAAUUUUGAUAUUAUUUGUUAGGUGGAAAAAAGUUGUAGGGUAAUUACGUACGCUUAGUAUAUUAUUAUUGCUAUUUGAAUGCCAUUGCUACAUUAACUGCAAUGACAUUUGGUUUGUGGCAUACUGAAUAAAAUUUCCUUUGAGCCUACAGGAAUAGGACUGUCCUUGUAACCGUCCUAUUUCCUUAAUGGAUGUAUCUUUUAAGUCUUGCAUUUGGCAUAUGAAGCUUAUUGAAAGAAAGCAAAUGGUCAGGAGCUGGUCUUAAAAGCAUGUUCUUCGAGGAAUACAAUACAAACAGUAAUAGGAUUUGAGACAAUUCAUAGAGCUUUCCUUGAGUGAAAAAUAGUCACAUUCCUAUUUAAACUGACAUGACAUGCUCUUCUAGUUUAUUCAGAGAAUUAUGAGAAUAACCUCAGGUAUGUUAAUUGAAAAAUGCCCAAACUGGACAAGUCAUAUUCAUACCAUGUAACCCAGGUUCGUUAAUUUUAAAUUCCAAUUUAGUGUUCUGAUCUGUCUUCAUCUAUUUUAGCAUGUGUUUCAUAAUUCAUGCUUUAUUCUUCUUCUACUUUUUUUGCCCCCCUUCUUAGCUUCCAUUGGAUUAUUGAUGUGGUGAAAAAGGAAAUGUUCUAUUUGGAUCCCGAAAGGGCAAUCCUAAUCCUAAUUUAGACCAGAUCCUUAAAGCAUAUGUUUCCUUUCCAUUCGAUACCAUUCAUAUUUUAGGUUUCUUCAAUGUAUUUUGGAGAUACUCUUGUAGUUUUUCAUACAACGCCAUGACACUGUUCACAAUAUAUAUCUAAGAUGAGAUUUGUGGAGGUAAAAUAAAUUACCUUACCUGAAUGCGGUGUGGCUACUACUUUUACUAACACAAAUGUAAUUUGUAAUUAACUUUUUGGUUUUUAACUGUGAAUAGACAUAGCAACAACCGGACAACAUGGAGUGAGGCUAUUAUGUCAUGAGGUACAUGAAGAAUAUAAUAGCAUACAUUUAUUUGGUAAAGAACAAUGUGUGUUACUGAUAAAUAAUAUCAAUAGGUUUGGUUUGUAGCAUAUAUAUGUGGCGUUGAUUUGGAAGUCCAACAACAAUGAUUUUGUGGUUAACAGCUCAAUGCAAAGGACACCACACUCUAGCUGAAAUCAACAAACGACAUUCGUUUGGAGUGGGCUAAUCUUUUUUCUAAAAUCCUUGUUGCAUCGUCAUACUAUAAAUGUGAAAUUAUAGUGCAGGGUGAUAGGGAGGGAACUCACAGAUGUACACAUGGAUAAGAAGUCAAAUGGAGUUGUACCGAAUUCAAAUGAUGCAUCUUGUGAUAAAGUUCACGUGGCUCGAAAAAUCUCAGAAGACAAUGUUGAUCUAAAGGACUACAAGGUGAAAGAAUGCACUGAAGAAAUCUCGUUCAAAAAUUGUAAUGAGAAACAAGAUGAACUUGAUGUGGAAUGUAAAAAUUUUGAUGUUGAUGUAACUGAUGACACAAAUGACUAGCCGGAAGUGCAAAAGUCAAACUCUCCAUCUAAAUCUCGUGGUCCUGCUAAUGUGCGUACAAGUCUCACUGUCCUACAGCCCUUUGCUCUGGCAACUGAAAAACGUGCUUCAGGCACAACUAGACAUGGUGGGACUGAAACUGCAGCUGAUAGCAAUAAUGCGCAGUCCCCUAUGCUAAAGAAGACUUCACAGGUAACUUAAAUCCUCAAUUGGAUAAAUUGUGAAUGCUGCUAUUCUUUAUUAUUAAGUUGAAGGAUCAAUGAACUUAACGAGAAACUUGACAUUAACUACAGCCAAUAUAAUUGGUGGUCUGAAGAGGCAAAAGAAUUCCAACUAUUUGUAAGGAGUCGGGCAACUUUACCUAGCAAAUAGAUAACAAAUUCAACCAAUGGAGUUUGUACCUUAUAAAGUUACCUAAAAAUAGUUUUUCUUGCAUUAAAUUGUAGGUUUCCUUAGAUCUGUUCAAGAAAAAUUUUUAAAAAAAUCUUAAUCACUUUACUAUAUUUUCGUUUUAUUUUCGUGUUAGGAAUCUUUUCCCACUAUAUGCCUUCUUGAUUCAGUCUGUAUGCUUGAUUUCAUUGGAACUGCUCUACAUCAUAGCCUUUGUUUUGUUUUGCUUCCCUGGUGCAGCAUGGGGAAAUCCGUAGCUCAUAGAUCUGUAAUCUUGUUAUCCUAUUUGCUUUAACUUCAAAAAGAAUAUCUAGCUAACUGAAUAAGCAAUUUGUAUGGUGCGUGAAGUCUGAUGGGAAUUCAAAAUCAUCUUGAUCUUGUUUGCAAUGAUCAAUGUUGCACAAAUUAUGGAUUUUAAGUUGUUGCUAGUCUUUGAUAUUCUGCAAUUUCUUUUGGAAACUCACCCCCGAAUCACAGAAGCUAUCGCAACUUGAUAACGAGAAGCUUUUUGAUGAAUUCGAAUCCUUUGUUUCUUAUUUUAGUGUGCUUUUAACUAUUGUUGGCUUUGAUAUACAUAGAAUGGCAGCAUCUAUACACAAGGUAAUUGUUGGAAUGGCUCCAAAAUUUGGAUGUUCUGAACGUGCUAGGAAACAGGAGGAGGUAUUUUUCAUUUAUCAAAUAAUUAAAUAUAAAAUUUAUUUUCAAAUGUGUUAUCUAAAUAAUGUUUUUGUAUCUUCUUGUCAUUUCCAUCUUCUAGUUUUGUACUAAAUUAGAGCAAAAGCACAAAGCUUUGGAGGAAGAGAGAAGCAACUUUGAAGGUGCAUUUUCUUAAGUAUCUCUGAUGUACUGUGUCUGCAAUCGUCGUUUUAUCUUAUUGCAGACAUCUGAAGAUGUUUGUGAAAUAGUAAUGUUUGAGUUGAUGUUCUGAUGCCAUUUUUAGUUCUUACAAUAAUGGGUUGAUGUCCUUAUCUGUGUGAAUAUUUUUUCAGUUCUUACGAUAAUGCUAUUUGAUUUCUGAUAAUUAGUGAGGGGGUACGGAAAGCGAAUUAAGGUUCAUAAAUACAUAUAUGUUUACUUUCAUGCACUUUUUAACCAAUUGCUGAGAGCACUAGCAUGGUAGAAUAGAUUCACACUUCAGCUUGAAAUCCCAAGCUGUUGAAACAGGCCGCAAUGAGGUCAGUUUUAUGUGCACUUUUUGUCUUGGAAAUAAUAUUAGCUUGAUUUUCCGCCUUAUAUUUUGAAUCAAUAUGAUAUUUCAAUUUUACAGUAUAGAUUUAUAUUGCAGUUUAGCUUCAAAAAGAGUGGCCGAUUUGGAUAGUCUGGUUAUGCUCAUCUGAAAAACGAAAUGGAACAUGUGAUUCCAAUUUCUUAAAUAUUUGAAAUAAUUUGAGAGUUUCAUUAAAGUUUUCUAAACAAUCAUGAUUAGCCUAGAAAUUUAUGAAAACUGCGUUCCUUUGCAAUGACUUAGUUUGAUUUGUCUUUUUUGGGAUUGUGUUUUCGGGUGCAGAUGCGGCUCUUCCGACUAAUACUCCGAGUAUGCCAUGUAUCUUUAUCCCCAUGGAAGGGAUGGUAUAUUUGGCAAUUGGCUGUGGGUUCAAGUUUAGAGCCGGCGAGUCAGCAGCCUUAACUGGCAUGGCUCUUGCUGAUCAUGUAAGAAAAUUAUAUGAUUUUCAUUAGCUCAUUGGCUAUACUUAUAUAGCUUCUAAUAAGUCUGGGACUUGACAUUCAUUUUUCAUUGUUCUACAGUGUUAUAAACCUGGUUUACAACAUUAUAAAAGUUUGUUUACAGUUUUGUAAACACAUCCUGAACUCUAAUACAAUCCAAAAUUCUUGGAUUAGUGUGUGUAUGUGUGUGUGUGUGUGUGUAUAUAUAUAUAUAUAUAUAAUGAGAUCUGAUCAGGUAGGCGAUCUCGCUCUCCAAGAUCCAACAUGAUCAGCCUCAUCUUGAAGAGAGCUGUGCAGCUUUUUGCUUCCUACUGCACGGCUCUCUCUCACACGCUUUUGGAGAGCGAGAUAUAUCGCCCACCUGAUCAAAGUCCUAUAGCUCUGCGUGUGUGUGUGUGUGUGUGAUGAUCAACAAUUAGUAUCAAGUAAAGUGAUCUAUAACACAACAUUUAUAUUCCUAUAUGGGGGCAUUUAAACAUGAACUUUUAUACUUGGCAUCAAUUUAGUUUGAGAUAUCAGGGAAGGAAUUUAAAAAAUAAGCUGGAAGCUUGAUUAUUCAUAUAUAAAUAAUGUGAUCUACAUCGAUUGCAGAUUAUUUAGGAAGUGGUGGAGUUCGUACUAAGCAGUUAACAUGGACUAAAUUGUUGUUUCAUCUGACAUAUUGUUAGCUCAAGCAAUAGUAAUGAACUUGAGAGUGGCAGUUUUUGAAAUCUUUUGUACAUGUAUACGAGUUGUAUCAAGAUUCUGUGGACAUUCUUUCUUCUAAUUUUGAUCUACGCAUCACAAUUUUAUGAUCCUUGUAUCUUAAAUCAAACUUUGUUGCUGCAGGUUCAAUUUCCAAUAAAACACUUAUGCCAAAUAAUUUAUAGAACCUAGUAAUAUCCAACUGAAUUCUCCCCUGCAAAUAAUUAAAAUUUUCAAGUUAGUCAAUAAGAAAAAACAGCCAUCAAUCAUAAUAAGAAGCAACAGCAAAUUACACUAAAAAAAGACAAAAAACAAAACAAGUGAAACAACUAUUUAUCCCAAAUGUAUAUUAUAUAUAUUGGACAGCAUUGAACUGUUUUUUUUCCCCCUUCAAUUGUUACAAUUUUCACAUAUUAUAAUCUAAAAUCUAUUCGGUAUCUAGGUACAUACACUUAGUAGUAUAAUCAAAAGGUCUGUGGGUCAUUAACUUGAAAAUAUGUUUCUACUAAUAUUUGGAGAAGUGUAUAUUGUAUGUGGCAUUGAACUUUUCUUUCUAUUUCUUUUUUCAAAAUUAUUACAAUUUACACACAUAUUUCAGUCUAAAUUAUUUAGUGAAAAUAAAUUAGAUAUCAAAUUAUGUCGUAACAAGAUAAAUCAGAGAGCAGGGCAGAAUCAAGUAUAAAACGUAGGAUAAGGAACAAGAUUAUAACGAAUAAAACUACCAGUAAAUGAUGACCACUUUAAUUUCCUCUGCACCUUCAUCUUCUCUGAUUCGUCAACCCCUUAAACGCCCAAAAUCCUCAAGACUCUCAAAAGCAAAGACACUAACUUCAACCAUUGAAGCAACUUCUUCUCAACCAAAACCCAACAACGCCAAUGCUAAAAAACCCACUUCAAGAAACCGCAGAAGAUCGUCGUAUGGCAGCUCGAGAAGGUCAGCUCGAUAAGAAAACAUUCGCUCAAGAGCAAGUCACGUUCACUGCACCUGUCUCCAGUGACCCGCGUGUGGGGAUUAUUGGUGGAGGCAUGGCCGGUCUCGCUUGUGCUCUGAGUUGGGAUAAGAGAGGUGUCAAGUCCACUGUUUUUGACACGGUUUGUCAUUCGUCUGGUUUCUUGGUUUUUUUUUUUCUGUACUUUUGUGUUUCUGAUUGGAGAGCUUGAAGUGGGUGGCCAAUUCAAUUAUCUGUUUAAUAUGGUUAGGUUGUGUUUGUAUUUGAGAGCAUACGCUCGUGUAAUGGUGAUUGAAAAAUGUGCUGUUAACGGUCUAGCAUGUGUUGUUAUGCAUCGAAUUUUGAUUAUAAGCAUGUUUUGGAGUUGAGGUAUUGUGACUUUUGAUCCGCAUUUGUUGACGAAUGAAAUUAAAACAUUAGCUGCUAAAUAUAAGUGGGGGUUUAUCAAAUAUUUUAGUCAACCACAUUUAUGUAUUCUUAACACCGUGCUUUGCUAUAUCAGGGGAAUCAUGGCUUGGGAAGAAGAAUGGGAACCAGAAUGAUAGGUCCUCAACCACUGAUAUUUGAUCAUGCUGCUCAAUUCUUUACUGUGAAUGAUUCUCGGUUUCGUGAGUUGGUUGAUGGUUGGUUGGAGAGAGGUCUGGUGCAACCAUGGAAGGUGUGAUUGGAGAGCUUGAAGUGGGUGGCCAAUUCACUCCAUUUCCUUCUUCACCUCCAAAAUACAUUGGUGUUAAUGGGAUGCGCCCUCUUGCAGACUCUUUAUUGGCCCAGGUGGCAAAUCUUUGUUUUGCUUUUGUUUUCUUUUCUUGCUGAUUCUAUCAUGCUUCUUUGCAUUAAAAGGGGAAAAUUGUCUAAUUAAAUCACAAUGGUAAAAAAACCGAAUUAUUGUUUUGAAGAAGGUAGUAUUGCUGCCUGGGUAUUCAAAGUCCCAAAAUCAUUAUACCGUUGAGGUUCGACCAGAGAACGAAGAUAAGAGUAUAUGAAACUAAAAGCUAUAAUUACAUGGUCACAUGAUUUUAACUGCUUAGGCUGCAUGACUAUACUUAAUGAAAUGUGCCGAUAAUGAUCAUAACUGACGAAAAGAAUAACCAGCAUGAACAUUUUGCACCGCUGUAUGAUGACUACAAUUCCUGUGAUGUAACAGGCUCCAUAUAUGGAUAAUGGAUUAUUCAUAGUGAGUUGGAGUUAGUUAUAUACAACAUCUUAAAUGGCAUACCUUUACUUUUAAAUCAAGUAAAUAAGUUCCUCUGUCCCUCAUGCCUUGGCUUAAUUCAUUUUGAUUCUUGUUGCAGACCUCUAUGUUUAGCAUAGUGAGACCUUGCUGGAUAAGUAAUCUUGAGCUAUUUAACGGGAUGUGGCACUUGAGCGAGAAUGUGAAACUACGUGGGCAGUUUGACGUGGUUGUUAUUGCUCAUAAGGGUGAUUCAGUGCUGCUAUCCUUUCUCGUUUUCUCUCUCUGUGGAUUGUUAUAGUCUUACAUUUGCAUUCCAAAAAUGCAGGUUAUUGUUUUUUGCAGUUGCAUGAAUGUGACAAUUGGCUUUGCUAUUGGAAAAAAAUAUAUCUAUAUUUCUGAUUUUACUCUCUAUCAUUACAGUGGAUUAGGAAUGGCAAAUAAUCUGGUUCAUUACAGCGAAGCCCUACCCAAAUCCAAACUCCUAUGGAAGGGGUCCCUCUCCCUAACCAUCCUGGAAUACCCUUAGAAUGCAUUUAGGUAGUGUUUACUUGUUGGAGUGGGAGUGUGGAGUGUGGAUUCCUCCCACUCCAGUGUUUACUUACCUUAAAAAAGAGGGGAGUGGGAGUGGGAAUCCGUGGGUCCCACUCAAUUUUGGAGUGGGGAGUGGGAUUCCCACUCCCAUGGGGGGAGGUGGGAGUGGGAAUCCACUCCCUCCUCUUCCCAUUUUAUCAUUAUAAUUAAAAUUAAAAUAAAUAAAUAAUAUUUAAUAAAAUAAAUAAUAUCAUAUUUAUUAAAAAUAAUAAUUAUAUCAUAUUUAUUUUAUUAAAUUUAAUAAAAUAAAAAUAAAUAAAUAUUAUAUUUAAAUUAAUAAUAUUAAACAUUAAUUUUAAUAAAUAUUAAUUAUUUAUUUAAUUAAUAAUAAUAAAUAUUUUAUUCUAAAAAAAUAUUAAUUUUGUACUAUAUUAUCAAUAAUAAUAUUUCAUUUGUGUUGCUAUUAUUAAUAAUUUUUAUUCACAUAAUUUAAAUUUAAAUUAAUAAAAAAUUAUGAUUCACAUAAUUAAGAAUAUUAGUAAUUAUUAUUAAUUUAUAAAUAUAAUAAAAUUUUUAUUUUAUUUUCUAAAUAUAUUUUUUAUUAAUUUUUUAAUUACAAAUUAUGAUUCUGUACAUAAGGAUAAAAUUAUAAUUUAAAAUAAUUUACUCUCAAUCCAAGACAAAGUAAACAAUAAUUGGGAUUCUGAUUAACAAUCCAUACUUUCAUUUAGUCUAAGUAAACACCCUACUCCCACUCCCACUCCACACUCCUAAUCCAAGGAUUCCCACUCCUCAGGAUUCUCACUCCAAUCCAAAAAGUAAACGCAGCAUUAGUGUUACAUUAUAUGACUUUGUAGUUCGCUGAGUUCUUAUGUUUUCUGGGAUACUAGGACUUCAAAAAGCGCUGAAAACUUCAUAGAAUUUCAUACUGAUUUUCACUGUCAAUUUGGAGAAAAUGAUGGCUAGAUUAGAAGUAAGAUUAAGAGCAACUUGUAAAUUUAAUCAACUGGAAGACUGGUAUUGAAUGGCUAUUAGUUAGGUUAGAAUAAGAUGAGCCAGACUUUCAAGCUGUGUCAUGCAUUCAAGGGCCGUUGAGUAUUACGUAGGUUGUUAUGGAAGAGUUAAAAAAUAUCUAUAUAAAUUUAACAACCAGAUUAGGUUUCUAGAUCCAGAAGUCGAGGUUAUGUUUAUUUGCUUACUCUUUCGACUGUUGAUUGCCUAUGUCUUUUCCUGUUUACAUUUUGGCUUAGCUUUGUAAUAAUAGUUCCUUCAUGUAAUGAUAGGAAAAUGUGCAAACCGGUUGCUUGGUUCAUCUGGCUUACCUCAAAUAGCUAGACAAAUGAAGGUAUAUGCAUUGAAAUAUUCAGUUCUUUUAAUAUUAUCUAGCCUAUGUUUUAUUCAGUAUUGGCCAAUUCUAAUUAUUUUGAAGAGUCAUAAUGCAUUUGCCUGGUUUGUAGAGGCUGGAACUAAGUUCUAUAUGGCCCCUUCUUGCUGCAUUUGAGGACCCCCUCCCACUGGGCAGUGCAUCAACAUUUGAAGGCGCCUUUGUGAAAGGUGUUGAUUCUGUCUCGUGGAUGGCAAAUAGCUCAGCAAAACUUUUGAAUUCUCAGAGUGAUGCUCCUCACUGUUGGACCUUCUUCAGCACCGCAGCUUACGGAAAACGAAACAAGGUUCCACAGG